UAGGAAUUUCUCCGUGCAAUCUAUUGAAUGAGACAUUCAAAUACUUGAGAUACAAGAGUUUUUGCAAGGACUUUGGAAUAAUUCCAGAAAAAUUAUUCCUUGAUAGAUCCAAGAAUUCCAAUCCUAUCAGCCCACCAAAUAACUCAGGUAUAGACCCAUACAAUUUGUUACGGGAUAAAGAAAGAUAAGCUAGGUCUUCAAGAGCACUAAUGCUACUCGGAAUUUCACUUGAUAAUUGAUUGUUGGAAAAAUCAAUAUGAAUAACAACUUUCCACUUUCCAAUGUCGAUUUGGGAGAGCCCCACUAAGAAAAUUGGAAGACAAGUCUAGUUCCAAGAUAACUAUAAGCCUUGUGAAGGUGGAAGGUAUCGAGUUUGUAAACUUAUUGGAGCCCAAAUAUAGACCUCUAAGAGAAACGAGAUCACCCAAGCAUGCUGGUAUUGGUCCAACCAAUCUGUUCUCUGUGAGAUCCAAGAAACCCACACUCUUCAGACGGCAUAAGUCAGAUGGAAUAAAUCCUUCUAACUUAUUGCCUUCAAGAGAAAGACCUUGUAACUUUUCUAAUCUUCCUAUUGUGGUGGGAAUAGAUCCAAUCAGUUGAUUGUUACCUAUGGACAAGGUGAUCAAGUUGCUUAGGUUGCUAAUCUCUUCCGGAAUGUUGCCUCCAAUGUUGCAGCCCCUAGAAUAGAAAUAUUGUAGCGCAAUAGAAAGAUUUCCUAUAGAAAUAGGAAGUUCAGCAUCGAUCAAUGGAUUAUAACUAAAAUCCAAGACUCUCAAGUCUUUGCAAUAUGCUACAGAUGAGAGAAAGCUCAAUUUUGGGGAUGAAAGUGUGCUAGCUAAAUUAUUAGAAUGUAGUUUGAGGCAUUCUAGAUCUCUUAGAUUGCCGAGAUCAACAGGAAUAUAUCCAGAAAAUGAAUUCACUGACAAGUCAAGCGUUGUUAGCUUAGAGGCAUUGGAGAUGGAGGUAGGUAUUGUUCCGUUCAACUCAUUUAUAUCAAGUAGAAGCCGUUCAAGCUUUGGAAGCCAUAGUCCUGUGCUCCAUGGAAGACAACCUGAGAGAUGGUUUGAAUUGAGGUCAAUGAGCGUCACAGUUGAGCUAUUAAAGAUACCAGGAGGGAUAUGUCCGGAGAUACUGUUCAAUCCCAAAUUCAAAAGUACCAAAUUUGGUAGGUUGCCUAUCUCAAGUGGUAUUUUACGUGCCAUAAAAUCACAAGAGUCAUUUGGAUUUGUUCCAAUGAUCCAGAAGCAAAUAACAAAAUUAAUCAUCAAAGUUUUACACACAUUUCUAUUUUUAUAUUUUAUAUUGUAAAUAUAUAUAACAAAGAGUGAAACAGUUGGGAUUUGUAAAUAAUAGUUUUCAAAUAUUUAUAACAUUUGCAACUAUGCAGAAACUCAACAUACAUAAGAAUAAAUGUAACAUAUUACCUGUCAAGUUAUUUUCGCCAAAAGCAAGUUCUUCCAAAAGUGUUAGGUUGCCAAUUUGUUGUGGAAUGUCACCUGCGUAAUGUAAUUGAUCCAUUAAUUAUUUUUAAAUUUAGCAACAAAUAUAAGGUCCAUUUAUUUGUCAAAUGAAACUAUCAAAAUUAUCAAACAAAGUUUAGAAUUUAGAUAAUACAAAGCAAUGCAAUCUUUCACUUUGUGAAUAAUUUAUUAUUUUCUGUUGUUAAAUUUAUAUAAUAUAAUGAAAAUAUAUUAGAAAAAGUUGGAAAAAAAAAGAACAUAGAUAAGUAGAUAGUAUAUUUGAAUUUUUGAUUGAAUAAUUCAUGAACAGAAUAGAAAUAAAAUUCUUGAUUAUUUAAAAAAGAAAUUAAAAAGGUGAAAAUGAACGGUAAUAAUUAAUUUAAAUAAAAAUAAUUAUUUAAAUAAAGAGUGCGACACUAUGAUCAAAAAGUAGAAAGAUAUAGAAAAGAAAGAUGUGGAAAAUUCACAUGAUAUCAUAAGCCGAAAAACAGGUAAAACAAUUAAUUUUCUUUUACCUUUAAGGUUGUUCCGACCAAGAUAGAGAAUUUUAAGCAUAGCCAAAUUCCCAAUUUCUUUUAGUAUAGUUCCCUCCAAAUCAUUGUAAGAUAAGGAUAAUAUUUCCAACUUUUGACAUUUGAAAGACAUGUUGAGCGGGAUGGAACCAAUUAGCUGGUUGUCGCUAAGAGCAAUCCGUUGCAAUGAAGAUAUGCUGAAGACCGAGGAAGGUAUGGAGCCUGAAAGCUGAUUGCCGCCCAAAUAUAAAAAUCUCAAGCUAGAAAGAUUUCCGAUUUCCACAGGGAUACGUCCUUGCAGAUUGUUGUUAUACAAGCUCAAUAACUCUAGUUUUGACAAAGAGCACAAAGAAGAUGAGAUAUCUCCCACGAAGUUAUUACCGGCCAAACUCAAGUUUUGAAGUUUAGAGAAGAAACCAAACCAAGAUGGGAUUUCUCCGUUGAAAUUGUUGUUUCUCAACAGUAGAGAUUUCAACCGGCACAAAUUAGCCAACUCGAUGGGCAACGAACCAUGAAAACUGUUGUUUCCAAUGCCAAGGAAAGCAACGAAAGACAGAUUUCCCAUGUCUGGUGGUAUGGUUCCAUAGAGAUUCAUGCCAAAUAGAUCCAAAGCAAUGACUCUGUGGUGUCGAGAUCCACAAGUGACACCAACCCAAUUGCAAAUAGUGGUAGCAGUUGACCAGUUGGUGGCUAGAAGAUCACUGUUGACACGGGCUUUCAGUGCAAGAAGAGCCAAUCGGUCUGUACUGAUGUUGGUUGUUGAUUUCAUAGAGAAUGAAACCCCAAAAUUAGGCAGCAACACCACCACCAUAAGAGCCAGAAUGAACUUAGUGUUUCCCAUGAAGUUAUGUCGAAGUGGAACUUGUGAAAGGAAAAUUUCUGAAUUAUAAAUGGGAAAGAUGAUGUUUCUUUUCCAAUAUAUAGAAAAUGCCAAAAUUGUGAUGGGACCGAUUUCCACACGCUUUCCCCGCCCUUCCACAGUGAGAAAAUUUACCGCUUUGGCAUAUUGGAAAAAAUUCUUAAAAUGCAACAUUAUAAUUUCUUAUUCAUUUUUAUUGACAUGUUUAAAGGCCAAAAAAAAAAAAUUUAUUUAUAAAGUUUAUUAGAGCAUCAAUUUAUUUUUUUUUAUAGAUGUGUUACACGAUUACAUAAGGAGAAGUAACUCGCUUUCAUCCCAAAAAUCUCAUUCUCCUCUCAAAUCAUGAUUGAAAUCUGAAAUUUCAAGUUAAAAUUUUAAAAUUAAAUUAUCGAGUUAUUUGUUCAAUUACUAAAAUAAACAAUUAUGAUUAAGGAAAAUAUAUGUAGAUACGUUAUAAAAUUUAUUCUGACUGCAAAAAUGAACAUCGAAACAGAUAUAACCAUUAAAAUAUUAGCUUCACAGAAUAGCAUAUGAAAAUGUGAAUUAUAGACAAAUCACUUUCUGUCAAGCUCCAUUAAUUCUAACGAAGAUUUUUUUGGUGGCUAUAAUUAAUUAAAUCAAUUUCUGUCAAGGCCCAUUAAUUCUAACAAAGAAUUUUUUGGUGGUUAUAAUUAAUUAAGUCUUCUCAAACGCAGACGUGGUUCGAAUACUUCAACCCAAUCAUGCAUGACGAACUCAUUUGUCAUUAAGGUUGAAAAUUUCAAGCUACUAGUUUUUCUUGCAAUGCGCUUUGCAGGUCCAUGUAUCUAUUUAUUAUUUACUCCACCGAUAAGUCUACAUUAUCUUUGUUUUUUAUUUAUUUGAAAAUUUAAAUUUAACUUUUUAAAUAAAAAUGUAUAUAUGUUUAUUAUUGAAUCAAAUAUUAGGGUCUAUUUAGUAAAAUUUUUUCAGUGUAAAAUAUUUGACAAGAAAAAUUAAUAUUUUCUAUUAUUUAAAUAAACAGUUGAAAAUAUUUAAAUUUAUUUGGACCAUCUUGUAAAAAAUAUUUUCCACAUCAUUGGUGGAGUUAUCUUGUGUUAAAUGAUAAAUAGGAGUUGAUGAUGUCAUUUGGUUUUCACUAAUUUGAGAUCAAAAUUUAUAAUAAAAAUGAAAGUGGGCAAAAUCAAUAAUGAUGUUUGCCAAAAUAUUUAACCACACAUCUAUAAUAAAAGUAAGCUCUAAUUUUCAAGCAAUUUAAUUUCCUUCUCAUUGCUUUUUACCAUAACACUUCAAAAAUAUCAAUAUUCAUCAAUUGUGUAUGACAUCCAAAACCUAUACUUAUAAAUUUGUAUUCAUUAAUUUACGAUCAUCGAAAUAUUUUUUAUUAUAAUUAUUAGUAAGAUUUAUUCAAUUUGUAAAUAAAAAUUUUAUUACAUUAAGUGAUUUCAUUAAAAAUAUAUAUAUUUAAAAUUUUAAUAGUAUUGAACAAUUUAAAUAUUUAUAUUUAAAAUUAAAUUUUUUAAGGUAAAUAUCCUUAGGGGCAUAAGACAUUUUAUGUUGCCAACAGGUGUUUUUCCCGUUGACCUGUAAAAUGUUUUACUUUUGAAAUAAAUUUUUAAUUUUUUAAAUAAGUCAUGAGAAUGUUUUCUAAAAAAUAUUUUAUGUCAAAAUAAAUAGACCCUUAAAUACAUUUUUACUUUCUGUUUGAACAACAAACUCUCUACUAUCUUUCUUUUUAGUAUGGGAUUCAAUUCCCACUUCCAAUUUGAAAAAAUUGUGGGAAAAAUCACAUCUUUCAGUUUCUUUCACAAAUGUUAAUGUGGUCAAAUGUCUAAGAUAUGGAGUUAACCAUAAAAAAAAAAAAAGAAGAAAAGACCCAAGAUAAGGGGCAGCCAAUUUUCAAUUGAGAUGGAGGAAAUUGAAGACCACUCAAUUAGUGCAAGAUUCAAUGAAUGAUUAUCACUUAUAGAUGGAGUUUUUGGAAGCAAUGCUUUUGGCUAAGCUUCAUUUUGUCAACAAAAUCCAGAUAAGUGCUUCUUUAGGGAUCAAAUUUUUGAGCAAAGUUUAAACAUUUAAGAAAGUGAGUUAAUUAAGUGUGGUAAGACAAUACAAUCUGUUUCUGACAUCUUAAUUCUUUACAUAAAAGAAGCUUUAAAAUUAGUUCAAUGCUCACUUUUCAAUUAGGAAAAACCGGAAUAAGAUACAGGAUCAAUACUGUAGAAAUAUUUGACUCCUUUUUUAAUUAAAAGUUAAAAACAAUAAUUUCUGAGUCGAUUAUUAGUUGUCAUUUUAAUGCUGAAUUAGAAAACCAAUGAAGUUUUCUAACCCAAACAAUACUCUAUAAUGGUACAUAUGACUUGAAGGCAACAUUUUUCCUGUAUUUACAACUUGUAACUUAGAAAGAUUGUGGUUGACUUAAGACUUAUAUGAUCACAAUAUUCUACCACCUAGCUCAAAAAGCAAGUUCAAGUUGCACUCUUGUCAAUUCCAUUAUUUUCAAUAAGACAUUCAUAGCUAGAAAUCAACCAAAUAUUGACAAAAGGAGAAAAUGUAAACCAUUUUACAACAGCAAAAGACUACUGAAGAGACAUGAGAUGUCUCUUUGACAUUUCAACUGAUUUAUCACAAAGCCACCUGCCACCUUGACUAAUGUCUCUUUUGAGAAUUAACAUGGAAAGAUGGUAAGGGUAUAUGAUCUUUGUGUAGCAUCCUCCCACUACUCGUGUUUUUUUCUUUUCCAGUCAGAGUAGGAAAUGAUGGAAUCCUAUCCAGAAGAAAGUUGUUGCCUCAUCCUAAUCACUCUCAAAUAGAAAUUAAAUGCAUAUUUUCAACAAUGAUUUACUUCAAUUAAACGUUAUACAUUUAACUUGAUUCUUAUGAAAAAAGAAAAGCAUGCUCUUUGAGGUCCAGGUUUUGAAUGUCUCUCUUUUUCCUUGAACUUCCUCGUAUAAAUGAAAUGUCCCAAAAUGAAACACGUCACAUGUCCUGCCCUCAUGAAUUCAUCACUUGGUUUUAAUUUGAUUUGUUGCUUCUUAAAGUCAAGGUACACUACUUCCAACAACCAAUCAUAAUUUUUAGUAAUUACAGAAUACUUCUCCCGAUCAGGCACGACGAAGACCGCAUUGCGUUGGCUCUUCAUGGUAAUGACCCUUGAAUUUAAUCGAUUUCCAUUAAGGUUAAUAUUCUUCAAUUUGUCAAUUGGUAUGCCCAAACUUCAAAAUUAUGGUUGAUUAAGAUCUAUUCUACAUUGAGUUUAGUAGUUGCAAGAAAUUCUUUCGAAAUAAACUUCCUUUGUGUUAAUCAAAUCCAGGUACGUGCUUCAUUCGGAGAUCAAAUCUUGAAAUUUGCCUCCAAUCUCGAUAAAUUGAGCAUCUCAUCUCAGUGAAACUUAUUUUGAGAUUCAGGUGUUAUAUAAGACAAUACAAUCCAUUUCUAACUUCUUUAUUCAUAAUAGCACCUUCAAAAUCUAGUGCUCACUUUUCAACAAGAAAUUAAUACACUGCAUUACUCAAUUUCCAAUUAAAAUUAAUUAGAAAAGGGGAAAAAAUCUUCUGAUUUGGUUAUUAAUUGUCGUUUAAUUAUUUUCCACACUGAAAUAUAAAACCACAAAACUUUUCUAACUCCAACAGUACGCUAUAAUUAACCAUGUAAGACUUAGAGGAAAAUUUUCCUGUAUUAUUGACUACUUAAAAUGGAAAUAUUUUGAUUGACUUAUGACUUAUAUCAUCAAAUUCUGCCAUCAAGAAAGCGAGUCAAGCUACAGUCUUAUCAAUUUAAUUGUCUUCAAUAGAGCACUUAUGACUUAUAUCCUCAAAUUCUACCACCUAGAAAACAAGUUAAGCUACCCUCUUGUCAAUUCAAUUGUUUUCAAUAAGACAUUUCGGCUUUAGAAAUCAACCAUUACUGAUAAGAAAAAAUGUAACCAUUGUAAUACAGCGAAAACGACUACUGAGGAAAUGCUAUUAAUAUUUAUCAACACACCCUCUAAUUUCUCAGAAUCCACAUUAUUCCAGCUUGACUAAUUAAUGACUUUUUUGACAACAAUUAACAUGGAAGGAAGUUAAGGGUUAUCACUCUGGUACUCUUUUCCUGAAGAAAUUUAAUACAUAUCAUUCUCUUUCUAUAUUCUAAAUCAAAGACAUAAUAGAUAGGUCUGUACUUACUUCAGCAUAUAUCAAGUAGAGAAUCAAGAUAUAUACCGAAAGAAAAAAAAUAAAUUGUUUAUAAAUCCACUCGAGUUGAAAUUUAUGUUCUGCAAUUAUCUAAACAUGCAUUUGAAAACUUAAAUUGGAACUAAACUCAUGAAAAAUAACUUUCAUAUUUAGACUUCACAGCUAGUACAAAUUGUGAACUCAUGACAAAUGAUUUCCACAGUUAGAUGAAAGUCAUUUUUCAUGGCUUCUCAAUUUAUUUAUUUAUUUGAUGCUACAGCCAACUUCAAAGAUACGAGGAAUAAUUCAAUUUUAUUGGCCGAAGUCUAGGAAAAGACAAAGGGAUUUUUGGACUCACAAGAGGGGCCUUGGUGAGCAAUUACAUAGGCAAGAAUGACAAGAAAAGCCUCUCCUCUGAGUAUUGAUAAAAUAAUAUAUUUCUCUUUUUUUUUUCAUAUAAUUUUGAUUACUGUCAGUAUGAGUUGUAAUUAUUAAUUUUUAAGAAUAUUUUAGGCAAAAUAUUUCCUUAUUUUCUUUUUACUUUGCUUGUACUCCAAGGAAGUCUAGGGUUAAAAUACUUCCUUAUUUACUAUUUUCUUUACUUGCACACCAAGUAGGUUUAGAUUUAGUUAGCUAUUAUAAUUAUUUUACUUGUAAACCAAGUAGGUUUAGAUUUAGUUGGCUAUUAUAAUUAUUUUACUUACACACCAAGUAGGUUUAGGUUUAGUUAGCUAUUAUAAAUAGCCCUUAUGUAAUUCUUUAUUUUUUGAUCAAGCAGUUUAAUUCUUUACUUAGAUCUUGAAUAUUUUCUACAUGGUAUCAGAGUAGUUCUAAUCUGAAAAGAACUCUCUAACACAAAUCUCGUAUUAAAAAAUCACCAUCACAUUUGUUUUUUUUUUCUAUUUAUCUGAAACUACAUGGCAGAAACUAAUUCUAUUGUUUUAACCGAACCAAGCAAUUCCAUGGUUCCAACUGUACCCGGUAACCCAACACCACUAAUUAUUGUCCACCAAGACAAUUCUGUGUUUCCUACCGGUAUUACAUUGGAUGAGACAAAUUACUCAUUAUGGUCUCAACUCAUGGAGAUGCGUAUUGGCACUUGCAACAAAGUUAGAAAUCUCACCGAAGAAGCAAAAAAACCCUACACCUGGAGAUUCGAAUCUUGGAACAUGGAUUACUGAAGAUCACAAAGUGAAAAGCUAGCUUAUUGAUUCAAUGAGUCCAUCACUGAUAUAACAAUUUAUUCGUCUUCCCACAGCCAAGGAGAUAUGGGAAGCUGUAUCAAAAACCUUCUAUGAUGGAUCGGAUGAGACUUGUAUUUUUGAAUUGAACCAAAGAUCUUUCUCUACUGAACAAAAUGGUCGACCAUUAUCAAUAUGCUAUUAUGAACUUGUGGCUAUUUUUCAGGAAAUUGAUCACAGGACUAUGUUGUAGGAAGGAAUAGUUGAAGGUGUAUUCCAAUUGUAUUCCACGAUGGCUAGGCUUUGAGUCCAUAUUUUUCUAAGUGGACUUGACUUUGAAUUUGAUCAGCUUUGUGGAGAAAUCUUACGAAAAGAUCCAAAACUUGAUUUGGAAAGCACGUAUGCAUAUGUCAGGAGAGAAUAUCAACAAAGACAAACAAUGGGAGGCUCUCAUCUGAAUCUUGAGAGCAUAGCUAUGCUAGCUAACCGAACUCGGCAAGGACCAUCAUCUAGCUCCUUAAAAAAUUAAACCAAUCAAUCAAUUAGAAAAUUUGAUAUUCUGGUAUGUACUCAUGAUGGUGAAAUAGGUCAUUCGAAAUAGCGAUGUUAUGAAAUCAUUGGCUAUCUUGAGUGGUGGGACUUCAUAAAGAAACCUUGAAAGAAGAUUGCAGGGAAAGCCAUGGUGACAUCCACGGAAGAAAAACAAUCGAAGCCUACGGCAAACAUUGCCUACUCAGGUAUGGGUGGUAAGGCAUUUGUAUUCUCUACAACUUCUAAGAAUAAUACUUGAAUUAUUGAUACAGGUGUAUUUGACCAUAUGACUAAGGACUUUAGUCAGUUACAAUCAGUCCUCCCUUCUUCUUAAUCUGUUAUCUCCAUAGCUAAUGGUAGUAGAGACAUAGCCUCUUUAUGGGAUGGGGCGGCCAUAGCCCCCCCAAAAUUGUAAAAAUAUUUUACAUAUUAUAUAAUUUUUUUUUAUAAAUUUUCUUAAUGGCACCCCUAAAAUAAUUUUUAUUUAAUAAUUAAUACAAAUAAAGAAUAACAAAAUACUUUCAUAUGUUUGACUCAAUUUUAAAGUUUUUUUUAUUUUUUUUAAUUUAUAUUAUUAUAUAUAUUUAUUUAGUUAUUUGUUUCUAUUCUAUUUACUCAUAUAUUUUAAAUCUCUACAGAUUUUCUUUUACAAAUUUUUACGAAUCAUCAGUCAUAUUCUUUUUCUUUCUUUUUUAUUAUGUUAUAUGUGAAUUCUAUCUUCUACUUGUCAUGUUCUUCUUUUCUCUGUUAUGUGGAUUUUAUUUUCUAUAAUUUUAAUCUUUAAAAAUAAAUAAAUUAUUAUGUAAUUCUCAAAAAUAUGUUGCACUGUUGCAUUGUUGUUCAGAAUUUCAUCAAUAUAUAAUUUUUUAUUCAAAAUAAUCAAUGCAUUCUAGCAUGUAUGUUGCAAACUUUAAGUAACAAGGAUAUACCUACAAAUUGAUAGAAUGAAAUAAUUAUAUUUUUUUCAAUACAAUUUUAUUUAUUAUAUUUAUUUUUAAUGGCUUUCAAAAUAAUUUUUUAUUUAAUAAUUAGUUUUAUUCUUCAAACUGUUUGAUAAAAUUAGAGUCAUUAUGGUUAGCAUAUUGCUAUUUAAGCCCAACAAAUGAAUUCUAAACUAAUAUGUUAAGCUUACCAAAUUUAAAAAAAAAUAAAAAAAUAAAAGUGAGUCUGCUAAUUCAAACCUAUUAAGUUUUCAUAUAAAUUUAAACCUAUCUUAGCAUAUUAUAUCUUAACAGUCCAACCUAAUGGCCUAUAAUAACAUAUUAUAUCUCAAUAGCUCAAUCCAGUAACCCAAUAUGUUAAUUAGAAAUUUAAAAAGCAAAUAGAAAAUAAGAAGAGAGUUAGGGCAUAUAAAGUAAAGAGGCAAUUCAUUUGAGUUUGAAAAAUUAUUUUCUCUCUCCACUCUUGCGUGCAAAGAGUGAGAGAGACUCCUUUUAUAGUUUUAUUCAAUCAUAUAUAUAAAUGACACCAUCAUUAUUGUUAAUGUGUAUUUUUUUGUAUGUUCAAUGUCUUUUGAAUAUUAUUUAAUUUUUUAGAUAAGUGAUAAUUGAAUUAUAUAUAAAGUUAUCUUUAACUAUUUAAUGUCCAUUUCUGUUUAGCCCCCUUUUGAAAAUGUUCUAGCUCCGCCCCUGAAUGGUAGUGCAUGUCCUAUUAUCGGAAAAUGGAUCUGUCAUAUUAUCCAAUACUCUUACAUUGGAUACAGUUCUUGUUAUUCCAUCCCUUGAAUGUAAUCUUUUGUCUGUUAGCCAAAUUACCUCUGCUCUUGAUUGCACUGUAACCUUGUGGCCCUUAUUUUACAUUUUUCAAGACAUUCUGACUUAGAGGGUUCUUGGUUAUGGUGUUAGGCGGACAAACUUUACUAUUUGGAGUUAAUAGAACGUGGGAGACCAAAAUUCAGCAAGGCGAAUCUAACUAGUAGUAAAGACAAGGCUCGAACGACUAUAUGGUUAUGGCACUGAAGACUGGGAUAUCUUUCUUUCGGUUAUCUUAGGAAGUUACAACCACAUCUCUUUUCAAGUCUAAAUAAUUUGAAUUUUCAUUGUGAUAUUUGAGAACUAGAUAAGAGCCAUCGUAUUUCUUAUCCACCAAGUUUGAAUAAAAGUUCAAAACCUUUUGCGGUUAUUCACUCUGAUGUUUAGGGUCCUACAAAAAUUUCUUCUAUCUCUAAAGCUCGUUACUUUGUUACAUUUAUUGAUGAAUGUACUAGAAUGACUUGGGCAUCUCUACUUCAAAAUAAGAGUGAUGUAUGCACAACAUUUUAGAAAUUUUAUACUAUGGUGGGCACUCAGUACCGAAAGCAAAUUCGUGCUUUACAAACAGACAAUGGUAUUGAGUAAGAUAGGUCUCUUAACAAUUUUUUGAGCCAUCAUGGGAUUCGUUAUCAAACUUUUUGUACCUAUAAUCUGUAGCAAAAUGGAUUGGCAAAGAGGAAGAAUAGACAAAUAUUGGAAGUGGUUCAUGCUUCUUUUUUUGGCAUGAAUCUGCUUCAGUUUUAUUGGGGAAGAGUUGUAAAAUCCAUUACCUACCUUAUUAACCGAAUACUUUCUCGAGUAAUAGACUUUCAAACCCCCUACAAAAAAUGUGAUCUUUACUUUCAGUUCCUCAUCUCCCUAAUCUUGAACCAUGAGUUUUUGGUUGCACUGCAUAUGUUCACAUUCCUAAAAGCUUGCAAAACAAACUUGAUCCAUGUGCAAAACAAUGUGUCUUUGUUGGCUAUUCUCAUUUUUAGAAAGGGUAUAGGUGUUAUGACCUUCAAACUCAUAAAUUACAUGUAACCUUAGAUAUUUCUUUUCAUGAAUUAGAGCUUUAUUAUUUAGGGGGAGUCUCUAGACAUUCUCUUCAGGGGGAGAGCUCUAGUGAAGAGAAUGUGUUACAACGAGAUGGUAGACGAAAGGAGUUUAUGGAGUUAGAGGAAGUGACUGAAUGCUUUGGGAAAAGUGUUCAACAAUGUUGUGAUGGUAUUCCUAAAAUUGAGAUGAGUUAGUUCUUCCUACAAGUAAAUCAAGUGCUUCCAUUACAAUUACAGAGUCUUCAAAAUUACCCAUGCCUACGCCUACACUAUUAACUGAAGAAUCAACCCAGAACGUUCUCCCUUAGGUAAUCCCAAAUCCAAUAUUGGAUGAGGUAAUCUCAAAUCCCAUAUUUGAUGAAUCCUAUGAAAUCCCGAAUCCCAUACUAGAUGAGUCCCAUGAAACACAUGUUCCUAUAGAAAAGGAUAGUUCCUAAAUAUUCACAAAGAUCGAAUAAGGGCGUCUCAAAGAAAUAAUAUGAACUUGAUCCUAAAGCCGAGGUCAAAUACCCAGUUAAUAACUAUGUGUCCUCCCAUAGAUUGUUUGAAUUGUAUGCACUCACUAUUAUCAAUUAUCCACUGUAUCUAUUCCUAGUAGUUUGCAGGAUGCAUUAAAAGAUCUUAAAUGGAUCAAGGCGAUGAACGAAGAAAUGGAGGCUUUGCAAAAGAAUGCUACUUGGGAACUAGUUCCCUUACCUAAAGGAAAGAAGACGAUUGGAUAUAGAUGGGUAUUUACAGUGAACCUCAAAGCAGAUUGCCGCAUUGAUAAAUAUAAAGCAAGGUUAGUUACAAAGGGGUAUACACAGAGGUAUAGGGUGGAUUAUGAAGAGACUUUUGCAUUAGUAGCCAAGAUCAAUACAAUUCGCAUUCUUAUAUCUAUAACAGCAAAUUGAGAUUGGCCUUUACAGUAAUUUGAUCUUAAAAAUGCUUUCCUCAAUGAAGACUUAGAGGAAGAAGUCUACAUGGAGUUACCACCAAGAAUUAAACACAGUUCUUUGUGUAGAAAGAACGUUUGUAAACUGAAGAAGUCACUAUAUGGGCUGAAACAGUCACCUAGAGCUUGGGUUAGGAGGUUUUCUUCUAUAAUGAAAGCAUUUGGUUAUAAGCAAAGUAACUUAGACCAUACUUUGUUUAUAAAACACAAAGAGGGGAAGGUAACAACUUUAAUCGUGUAUGUUGAUGAUAUGGUCUUGACGGGAGAUGGCCCAUACUAAAUGAAAGCAUUACAGGAAUAUUUGGCUGCUAAAUUUGAAAUGAAGGAUUUGGGGAAACUUAAAUAUCUCUUAGGGAUUAAGGUUGCAAGAUCGAAACAUGGGGUUUUCUUUUUGCAACAAAAAUAUGUGCUAGGUCUCUUAAUCGAGACCAAAAUGCUUGCUUGCAAACCAACAAACACGCCUAUAGAGAUGAAUCAUAAGUUUGGAAUUUUUACAAAUAAAGUUCCAACAGAUAAGGGUCGUUAUCAGCAAUUGGUUGGAAGAUUAAUUUAUUUAUCACACACAAGACUGGAUAUAGCUUAUGUUGUAAGUGUCGUAAGUCAGUUUAUGCAUGCAACAAUCUGUCGUGACGUGCGGGUCCGGGAACCCGUCCGUCAGACGCGGGGCGAAAAUUAAAAAUCUCAAAAGUGUGGGAGUCGCCACCAUCUUUUUUAUCUAGGUGUGUUUGGUCACCUAUUAACCCGAUUCUAAUCGACGAAGUCCUAAAUUAAUUUUAGGUCCGUCAAAAGAACGAGAACUGGUCCACGUUUUUAGAGAUUGGUUCGGGAGUGCGGUUACGCAAGGAGAAGGGUUAGCACCUCCGUGACGCCCGUUCUACGAACGGUACCAUUUAAUCUUAAGUUAUCUUAAUAUAGCCUUUUCUUAGUUUAAUCCCUAUUUUAUUAAAAAAAAAAAAUUUUUUUUAAUUGGAUUGUUAGACUGAGUUUUUCACUUGGUCUCACGUAUGCAUAUGAUGCAAGCAUAGAAUGAUGUCAUGACUUGUUUAUUUUAAAUGAUGGAGUCGGUAAUCUUUUUUUGAAAAAUUAUUCGAAGAUCAUUCCAACGCUUUGGUGAAGUCUCGCAAUUCUCCUCACCUAGAGAUAUCCCCGGAAGAAUUCGUCUCUACAAGCUCCUCGGGAAAAUCCCAUCAUCGGGAUUCCCGCGCCAUUUGCAAAAUAAGAGUGGCAUGCAAUGACAGUAUAAAANNNNNNNNNNNNNNNNNNNNNNNNNNNNNNNNNNNNNNNNNNNNNNNNNNNNNNNNNNNNNNNNNNNNNNNNNNNNNNNNNNNNNNNNNNNNNNNNNNNNNNNNNNNNNNNNNNNNNNNNNNNNNNNNNNNNNNNNNNNNNNNNNNNNNNNNNNNNNNNNNNNNNNNNNNNNNNNNNNNNNNNNNNNNNNNNNNNNNNNNNNNNNNNNNNNNNNNNNNNNNNNNNNNNNNNNNNNNNNNNNNNNNNNNNNNNNNNNNNNNNNNNNNNNNNNNNNNNNNNNNNNNNNNNNNNNNNNNNNNNNNNNNNNNNNNNNNNNNNNNNNNNNNNNNNNNNNNNNNNNNNNNNNNNNNNNNNNNNNNNNNNNNNNNNNNNNNNNNNNNNNNNNNNNNNNNNNNNNNNNNNNNNNNNNNNNNNNNNNNNNNNNNNNNNNNNNNNNNNNNNNNNNNNNNNNNNNNNNNNNNNNNNNNNNNNNNNNNNNNNNNNNNNNNNNNNNNNNNNNNNNNNNNNNNNNNNNNNNNNNNNNNNNNNNNNNNNNNNNNNNNNNNNNNNNNNNNNNNNNNNNNNNNNNNNNNNNNNNNNNNNNNNNNNNNNNNNNNNNNNNNNNNNNNNNNNNNNNNNNNNNNNNNNNNNNNNNNNNNNNNNNNNNNNNNNNNNNNNNNNNNNNNNNNNNNNNNNNNNNNNNNNNNNNNNNNNNNNNNNNNNNNNNNNNNNNNNNNNNNNNNNNNNNNNNNNNNNNNNNNNNNNNNNNNNNNNNNNNNNNNNNNNNNNNNNNNNNNNNNNNNNNNNNNNNNNNNNNNNNNNNNNNNNNNNNNNNNNNNNNNNNNNNNNNNNNNNNNNNNNNNNNNNNNNNNNNNNNNNNNNNNNNNNNNNNNNNNNNNNNNNNNNNNNNNNNNNNNNNNNNNNNNNNNNNNNNNNNNNNNNNNNNNNNNNNNNNNNNNNNNNNNNNNNNNNNNNNNNNNNNNNNNNNNNNNNNNNNNNNNNNNNNNNNNNNNNNNNNNNNNNNNNNNNNNNNNNNNNNNNNNNNNNNNNNNNNNNNNNNNNNNNNNNNNNNNNNNNNNNNNNNNNNNNNNNNNNNNNNNNNNNNNNNNNNNNNNNNNNNNNNNNNNNNNNNNNNNNNNNNNNNNNNNNNNNNNNNNNNNNNNNNNNNNNNNNNNNNNNNNNNNNNNNNNNNNNNNNNNNNNNNNNNNNNNNNNNNNNNNNNNNNNNNNNUCCAAUUUUUUGGACAACCCGGCGAGGGGGUUCUGGCACCCCUGGAGUUGGUGGCCAGAACCCCCCAUCCCGCGUAGUGGGUGGGGGAUGGGACGGCGUACGCCCAGCCAUCCCGAUUUUUUUUUUUUUUUUUUUAUUUUUUUUAUUUUAUUUAAUUUAUAUUUAUAUUUAUAUUUAUUUAUUUUUUAAUUUAUGUGUUUACACAAUCGAAGAACAUACGAAUGUAGUAUAUCGAAUCUUAAGAUACUUGAAGAGUGUUUUGAGCAAAGAUUUGUUGUUCUCGAAAAAUGGUGUCUCUGACAUUUAAGGAUUUACAGAUUUUGACUGAGCAGGUGAUCAAACAUCCAGAAGAUCCACAUCUGAUUAUUUUACUUUCGUGGAAGGUAAUCUUGUUACUUGGAAAAGCAAAAAGCAGAAAAUUGUGGCAAGAGCAAGUGUAGAAGCUGAAUUUUGAGGUAUGGCUCAUGGUUUAUGUGAAUUAUUGUGGAUUAGGAGUACUCUCAAAGAGUUGGGAAUUGAAUAUGCAAAACCUAUGAAUCUUUAUUGUGAUAAUAAGGCAGCCAUUGAAAUUGCACAAACUCCUAUACAACAUGAUCGCACCAAGCAUGUUGAAAUUGAUCGACAUUUCAUCAAAGAGAACCUUGAUCAAAAAAUUAUACAAUUUUCAUUUGUCCAAUCUGAAGGUCAAUUAGCUAAUAUUCUCACGAAAGCAGUUUCAGGGAACGUGUUCCAUGAUGUAAUUGACAAGUUGGCCAUGAUUGAUAUCUAUGCUCCAACUUGAAGGGGAGUGUCAACAUGAGUUGUAAUUAUUAAUUUUUAAGAAUAUUUUAGGGAGAAUAUUUUCCUAUUUUCUUUUUACUUUGCUUAUACUCCAAGGAAGUCUAGGGUUAGAAUACUUCUUUAUUUACUAUUUUCUUUACUUGCACACCAAGUAGGUUUAGAUUUAGUUGGCUAUUAUAAUUAAUUUACUUGCACACUAAGGAGGUUUAGGUUUAGUUAGUUAUUAUAAAUAGCCCUUUAUGCAAUUCUUUAUUUUUUGAUCAAGCAAUUUAAUUCUUUACUUAGAUCUUGAAUAUUUUCUACAAUUACAUGAUAGUUGUUUUAUAGCAUGAGUAGCUGGCUAUAUUUGGAAGGAAGUCAACAAUGGCUAUAAACAUGAUUUUAGACUCGGAUCGUUGAUUGUAUGAUCCUAGUAAUUCCUCCAUGAAAUCUUCUAUUUACAGCUCAUGUUAAUACUCCCUUAAGUUGGUGCAUAGAUGUCUCUAAUGCCGAACUUGUUAAGUGUGUUAUGGAACACUUUACUUGGAACUGCUUUAGUGAAGAUGUUUGCCAACUAUUCUUCUAACCUCAAAAAUGGGAAACAUAUUAUUGUACUUCAAGUUUUUCGUUGAUAGAGUGUCGAUCUACUUCAACGUGCUUUGUUCAAUCAUGUUGAACUGGAAUUUGAACAAUCUUUAUAGCUGAUUUGUUGUCACAAAACAUGUUCAUUGCUGAGUUUGAUGAGUGAUCGAUCUAUGACAAUAGUUCCUUUAGCCAAAGUAGUUCACAGAGUUCCUUAGCCAUACUUAUACACUCAGCCUCUGCACUAGAUAAAGCAACCACCUUCUGCUUCUUGCUCCUCCAAGUGACUAAAUUACCCCUAACAAAUGUGAAGUAUCUUGAUGAAGAUUUCUUGUCCCUGAUGCUCCCAACCCAGUCUACAUAUGUAUAGCUAGCAAUAUCCAAGUGGUUGUGUUUUCUAAGCAUGAGUCCUUUCCCAAGGGAUGUCUUCAAGUAUUGUAGGAUUUGGACUACUGUGUUCAUGUGAUCUUCACUUGGAUUGUGCAUAAAUUGACUGACUAAGCUCACAACAUAAGCAAUAUCUGGCCUUAUAUGAGACAAGUAAAUUAACUUGCCUACAAGCUGUUGAUACCUUUUUUUAUUUAUGGGGGUCUGAUUGGGACGUUCUUAUAGUCCAUGGUUUUGGAUUAUAAGAGUGUCGUUUGAUUUACAUUCAAGCAUUACCGUUUCGGCUAACAAGUCAAGAACAUAUUUCCUUUGUGAAAGAAAAAUUCCUUGGCUAGAUCAAGCUACUUCUCUUUCUAGAAAAUAUUUGAGUCCGCCAAGUUUCUUCAUUUCAAACUCAGCUACUAGGUACUUUUGCAAGUUUGUAAUUCCCUCCGCAUCAUUCCCUAUGAUUAUCAUAUCAUCGAUGUAGAUUAUUAAAGUUUUCACCAUUCCUUCUUGAUUCUUCAAGAACAAGGUUUGGUCGACAUUACUUUGUUUGAAACCAUGCUUCUUCAUGGCUAAGGUAAAGCAUCCAAACCAUGCUCUUGGUGAUUGCUUUAAACCAUAUAGUGCCUUUUGUAGCUUGCACACAGUUCUAGGUUGAGAAGUAGUAAAUCUCAGUGGGAUGUCCAUGUAAACUUCUUCUUCGAGGCCUUUGUGUAGAAAGGCAUUUUUUCACAUUGAACUGGUGUAGUGGCCAAUCCAAGUUAGCUACUAGUGAUAAUACCACCAUGACUGUAUUUAGCUUUGCUACUGGAGAGAAAGUUUCUUUAUAGUUUACGUCGCAAGACUAAGUGUACCUUUUUGCUACAAGUCUCACUUUAUACCGGUUUAUUAAUCCAUCAGCUUUGUAUUUAAUGGAAGACACUCACCUACACCCAACUACUUUUUUUCCUUUAGGUAGUGGUGUUAGUUUCCAUGUCUUCAUGUUUUUUAGUGCUGUCAUUUCUUCAUUUAUCAUUGGAUCCACUUUGAGCCAUUCAAGGCUUCUUCUAUUAUGCUUGGAGUGUGUUUGGAAGACAGUUUGUGCACAAAGGCUUUAAGGGGUCUUGAUAGUCUUUGUGUACAAAGGUGGUUCGCAAUAGGAUACCUUGUCCUCAUUUCUUCAUGGUUUGGAGAGUAUCGACAUGGUGGCUUGCCAUGAUUAUGUUUGAAAGGUAAUUUAUAGCCAAUAAAUUCAUUAGUAGCAUGGUCAAUAUGGGAAUUUCGGGACUAUACUUCAAAGUUAUUUGGCGCUAGAGUAUGAGGGAGGAGAAGCUGCUCUUCUACAAUGGGUUGUUUUCUACUCAUUCUAUUCGUCUUCAGUAGACUGUUCUUGGUCACUCAUUGAAUAGGUAGCAUUAUCUUCUUUCAUUCCUGUUAUUGCCAUCAUUAGUUCAAUGGUUUGAGCAUUUUCAUUUUCUGUAGGUCUUGAUUGAGUCUUUGCUGCUUCUUGUGAUAGUGGUUAAGCUCCGUUGGAUUCCAUUUUCCCAUUGGUAGUAUCUUCAUUUUGUUUUAGAGAGGUUAAGGGGGUUAUACCUUAAAGAGGGGGUGUACCUUCAAAUCCUGGUCAAUCUUCCCACGUAUUCUGCUUUUCACAAAAUAGCUCCCCUUAAGAGAAGAAUGGCAAUUUGAUUUUGAAAAAAACAUUUCAGACUCUCUAAAGGUAACAUCAAUGGUGGUAUAGAGGCACCUAGUUGUAGGAUCAUAACACCGGUAGCCCUUUUUAUGAUCUCUAUACCUUAGAAAAAUACACCGAACAACACAAGGAUCAAGUUUGGUUCAUUAUGUUUUGUGAAUGUGGACAAAUGCUACACAUCAAAAUAUUCGAGGUGGAAGCAUCAAGAUCAAGGUAAUGGCAUGUAUUGAGCAAGAGCUUGUAAUGGAGUUUCAAAGUUUAAGACUUGAGAUGGUAUUCGGUUGAGUAAGUACAUGAAGGCUCUAACUGCAUUUGUUCAGUAUUUGUGGGUGCAUGGGCUGCUAUCAAGAGUGUUCGAGUCGUUUCAAGAGUAUGUCUUAUUCUUUCUUUUUGCAAUACCAUUUUGUUAUGGAGUAUCCUUGCAAGUAGUUUCAGGAUAUAAACCAUAUUCUUGAAAAUAUUGUCACAAUUCAUUAUUAUCAUAUUCUCCGCCAUUAUUAGACCGAAGAAUCUAAAUGUUGGCUAAGAAUUGAGUUUUGAUCAUGUUAUGGAAAGAGCGAAAACUAGCAAACAUUUUACUCUUAUUCUUCAUCAAAUAAAGCCAAGACAUACAUGUGCAAUCAUCUACAAAUAUCACAAACCAUCUAAUGCCAGAAGAGAUUGUGAUAGGGGUUGGCCCCCAAACAUUUGAAUGGAUUAUCACAAAAGGUUCCUAACAUUUUUUAAAACUAAUAGGAUAUGGAACAUGGUGACUUUUAGCCAAAAUGCAAGUUUCACAGAGAAAUAAAGAUUCAUGUCAAGUUGAAAACAAACUUGGAAAAAGAUGCUUUAAGUAUGAAAAGGACAGAUGUCCAAGUCGGUAGUGCCAUAACCAAAUUUGUCUUCCUUUGUCACUGGUUCCACGUGUAGUGUUUUUUUGUCCAACACUAAGAUCAUCAAUAUAAUACAAUCUUUCUCUUUUAGUACCAUGACGAAUAAUCUUCUUGGUGAGAAGAUCUAAAAAAAAAACAAAACUUAGGAUACAUUGGUGCGCAACAAUUUAAUUCUUCAGUGGUUUGGACGACAGAUAGUAGUUUAUUAGAAAGGGAUGAAGCUAACAGAGUAUUUAGAAGUGAAAAAAAUGGUGAAAGUGCCACCUUUUCCUACCCCUGUAACCGGGUAUGUUACUCUAUUGGCAUUGGCAAUGCAUGUCCAUUUUGGUUGGCUAGUCUCAAUGACAACUUGCGAAUCAAAUGUUAUAUGACUAGUAGCUCCUGAAUUAAUAAUCCAUCUUUGAUUACCUAGGUUACUAAAGGCCAUUGUUUUGUUCGCUACAGCCAAUAGUGAGUCCUUUUUUGGUAUGAGGGACAACUGUGGCUCAGUAGAUGUAGCAGCUGAAGUAUCUUCGGUGUUCAUGAGGGCAGCUCGACCAGCAUCACUUUCCUUUUUUGCUUUGAGUUCAUGCCACCAUUCUAGAUAUCUGUGUAGCUUAAAGCAAGUGUUUUUCUUGUGCUUUGCAUUCCCACAGCGUGUUCAACCUACUUUUUCUACUUGUGACCUUGGCUUUGUUGACAUAUUGGGUUUCCCAUUAGAGAUCAGUUGAAGUGAAGUUUGUUGCUGUGGUUUCUGUCUUUUUGAGAUCAUAACUGCACCGUGCACACUAUCUCUUUUUUCAACAUUAUGGAUUGCCUUAAAUCUUCUCGGUGGACAUGUGCAUAUGCUUGUUCUACUAUUGAAAAUGGUUGAAGUUGAAGCACAAUACCUCGGAUUUAUCAAGUUGAUCAUCUAGCCAAUCUAGAAAGGUAUUAUAAACUCUAUCUUCUUGUAAAAUAGAGUUAUAUUUCUAUAUAUCAAAUUUGCAAUUCAUAGGGUUUGGUUGCUGAAAAUCAAUCUCUCGCCUUAAACCUUGAAGAUUGUUGUAAUAUGUCUUGAUAGAUCCUCCACCUUGUUUUAGCCUUGUCACCUUUCUUUUGAGAUCAUAGACUUAUGAAGUGUCAAUCCCAUCAAAAUACGCCAUAUCAAUAAUGUCCUAAACUAUUUUCGCUGUUGGAAAUCGAAUAUAGUUGCUGAUUAGUUUUGGAUCCAUAGAGUUGAUUAGCCAACCCUUCAUUAUUGCAUUUUCUAUCCUCAAUUUGUCUUAUGUGGUUGUGGAAGAUCCCCAUUUAUGUAUCCAGUUUGUCUUUGCCCUUCUCCACAACUUGGAACCAAACCUAAGAAGCACCUUUACAUUAUUCAAAGCUCUUAAAACUCAUUUAAUACAUUUUAGAUGUAGAGCUAGUUUCUUCUUCCUUUAUUCUUGGGAAUCAACCUUGUAACAUCCUUUUACCAAUCUCUCUCAAUCAUUCUUACCCACCACCAUGGUUUUCCAGUUGUGAAUGCGAUGUAUCCCAUUCUCAAUCCUAACAAGUGUAGCAAAGUGGGCCUAGCUGAAUAUCAGACUCAUCAAAAUAAGCAAGUUUUGAAUCAAGAAUGACAUCAAAAGCCUUCUCUAAAGAUAUGUCUAAUUGAGAUCAAAUCUUUCUUAGUUAUUACUCCAAAAUGGAUAUCAAAUCUGUAAGUUUACAACAAGGAUUUAGAAUACUAAACAAUUUCAAUAUAGAUGACAAAAAGUGGUUUUAUUCAAACAAAUUAAACAAACACCAAGAGCCAAAGAUUUUGACAAAGAAAAAAUAAACCUGAAAAUAAAAAUGACACGCCGUACAAAAGUUAUUAAAGGGAUUGAAGUUAAAUAAACCCAAGUUAUAUGAGAAUGACUCUACAUCAGAUUGAUGAACAUCGGGCUAGAGAGGAAAAAAGUAAACAAAAGUCAAGAAGAAGGCAAUGAAUGUUAAUGUCAUGAUAUAUUACUAUAACUUAAAAUAGAGAGAAGCUUGAAGAGAACUAGUGAGUUGAUAAGCAAAACAAGGGCAUUCAUAUCAGUACAUGAUGAUCACACAGUGAUCAUAUAUAUUACAAGAUGUUAGAGUUUAUAACACCUGUAACAACCGCUUAACAGGUGUUCAAUUAAGAUGAAAACAACACAGUAUCAUCCUAUCCUAACAUCAGAGGUAUUGACAACAAAGUAGACAUACUAAGCACUGAUUAUGUUAUUAAAAUGCUUGCACGUGUCCAUGCAAGUGUUAUCCUCUAACACUGAACUGUUAAGUUAGUUAAAGUGUAAUUAUAGCUUUUUCUCAAAUUCGAAUGAUUGAGAUCAACUUAAACUAGUUCUGACAAAGGAGAAAUUUAUGGUGUAACAAAACGGAAGAAGCUUGUAAAGGAAAGAUUGAGAGAAGUUAGACUCCUCAACUUACUAAACUCAUAUGGGAUUUCAGUUUUGAUUGAAAAGUUGUCUGCAAGGUUGAGCCGUUGGAGGUUUCAAAGUUGAAAGAGGUUAGUAUUUGAUUGAAGAGCACCUAUCAGCCCAUUACAGUUGAGUGCAAGCGAUCUUGUAUUUUUCUCUUUUUUUUUUUUAUUGUGGUUGUUUCUGGUUGUUAGAAAAUUACGAAUUUUUUGGUUUUCUUGCUCUUGUUUCCGCUAGGUUUUUUCAGGAAUUUUCUAGGGAUCCUGCUGCUUCUCUAGCAUUGGAGUGUUAUAUAUCUGCCCUGGAUGUUGGGGAUGUAGCCACAUAGGCACCCCCAACAUCGGAGGGCUACUGCCAGAUGUGAAAAUUUCGCAUCUGGCGAGGCGACUGCCCAGGCAAGGCGCGAACGCACCCUGUUGAGCUAUUGACUCUCUCUCUUUUUCUCUUUUUUAUUUUUUAUUUGUUGUCCUUCUGGUUUCCAGAAUACUUUGGAGCUAAUUUAGUUUUAAUCCCUUAUUAGCUUAUGUUUAGUGUAAUUGAUCUGUUUCAAAUUACUUUGGUUGCUGUGGGCCUGUUUGCCAAUCCACAUUUCCCUGGCCCAUGCCACUUUAUAACAUUAGGAAGUAAUUUGAAACUUUAAAGCCCACUGGAUCUUUUAACUAACUCGGACCAUAAAGAUAGACACAUCAAUAAAAAUGAAGGACUAAGUAACAAAAUGAACAAAUAAUAAAGAUAGAAUGAAAUAAGAGGAGAUAAACAAAUAAAUAGGAAAAUUAAAACUUAUAUAAAAUUACAGUGUCUACAGGUCUGUGCUGAUUAUCAAGGUCCACACCAACUCUUGUAAGGUAUUGUUCAUUUUGACUCGUUGGCCUUACGGUUUUGACCCACAACAAAAGGCACCUCCCAGGUUAAAGGUGAUGUGAACUCUUAUAUGUCCAGUAUCACUCUAAUACAUAAUCAAUGUGAGAUUCAUGGCUCCCUUCUUUACGACCAUGAAAUCAGCCCUUACUCCUUGUUGGGAGUUUUUCUUCGAUGUGGUAUUUUGUGGUUUUUCUCGUUGGGAGCACUAUCUCAAUGAUGUGGGAUUCACGUCCACACGAGGAUCGAUGUAGGAUUCAUGUCUAUGCGAGGAUCGUGACAUCCUCCCCCACUUCAACAAAGGUCCACUAUCCUCAGUGGCACAUUGCUAGUACUCAAAGUCUGCUAUGAUACCAAUUAUCAAGGUCUACAGCAACCCUUAUGAGGUAUUGUCUGCUUCGACCCACUGGCCUCAUAGUUUUGUCUCACAAAAGGCACCUCUCAAGUUAAAGGUGGUGUAAACCCUUAUACACCUAGUAUCACUCUAGUACGUAGUCAAUGUGAGAUUCAUGACUCCCCUUUCUAGGACCAUGACAUCUACCCUUACUCCCCGCUGAGAGUUUCCUUUCGAUGUGGGACUUUGUGGCUCUACUUGCUGGGAGCACUAUCUCAACGAUGUGGCAUUCACGUCCACACGAGGACCAUGAUACUGAUGUUGGUUGUUGUGGAUUUGAUAGAGAAUGAAACUACAAAAUUAGGCAAUAGCAGCAACACCACCACCAUAAGAGCCAAAAUGAACCGAGCGUUUCCCAUGAAGCUAUGUAGAACUGGAACUUGUGAAAGGAACAUUUUGAAUUAUAUGUGGGAAAGAUGAUGCUUCUUUUUCAAUAUAUAUUAGAAAAUGUCAAAUUUGUGAUAGGACCUAUUUCCACAUGCACCCUUCCAUAGUGAGAGAAAAUUUACCACUUGCAUAUUGGAGAGAAUUCUUAAAGAGAAAUGUUAUCAUUUCUUACUCAUUUUUAUUGACAAAUCCGAAGGCCAAAAAAAAAGUAUUUUUAUUUAUAAAAUUUAUUACAAUAUCAAUUGAAUUUGUUAUGCAUAUGAUACACAAUUACAUAAGCAAAAGUAACGCUCUUCCUUUUCAUAAAUCUCAUCUACUCUCAAAACACGAUUGCAACUUGAGAUUUCAAGUUAAAAUUGUAUAUUUUAAUCACCGAGGUAUCGGUUCAAAUAACAAGUUGGAAAUUCUUUUUUAGCUCUGUAACAGUAAAAAUGAACUUUUUUACUAUCUUGUGAGUAUAAGAGCUUUCAGUAAGUAUUGGCCCCUUGGACGAGUAAGCACCAAAGAAACCAAUUUAUUUGAUUAAAUGUCCAACAAAAAAAAAAGGUUAUCUUACAAGGCAAAGCCAAUCUCAAGUUUAUUUUAUUUUAUUUUAUUUUAUUUCAAUCAGAGUAGGAAAUGACAGAAUCUUAAGUGAGUGUUUGAGUUAGUUUAUAGAAGUGAUUUUCUACUGCAUAAGGUGAAACAAUAUGUUUGGUUGUCAAAAUUUUAGAAUUUUGGGUGUAUGUGUGAAAUUCAUUUGUUGUUUUAGAUGAAAUUAUGAAUCAAAAUUUGUUUAAUAGUUUUGGUCAAUCGAAUCAAAACUGCUUCAAAAGUAUUUACUCAAAAUUUGUUUAAUAAUUUGUAUAGUAACAACUGUUUACUCAAAAGAAAAACAUAAAAUUGAAAAAUUAUCCACACUUUGAAGAGCUCUAAUGGUGUAGCUGAACAAUUGGUAAAAGAUGGCAUAUAAAGGGAGAACGAUUUGUUAAACAUCAUUCCGUAAGCUUGAAGUUUAUUUGAGUUCUGAUUGUGGUUUUUUAAUGGCCUGCUAUAAUCAAGUUCCCACAUCUAUUUUCUCUCACUUCCCACAUCUUAUUAAUUCUCAACUAUUUAUAUCAAGUUUCAUUAAAAAUAUGUAAAAGUUAAGAUAAUUAAUAAAAUGACAUAUUCUAUCACUUCCUUAAUAUUAUGUACGUAAUAAAUCUCUAUUUUUUAUAACUUCCUAAUUCCCACAAUACUAUUAAUUCUCUAUUAUUUCUUCUAUUUCCAAUCAACAUAAUAUGUAUUUAAUAAUCUCUAACUAACGAUAAAUUUUUUUUUUUUAAUUUCAAAGAAAAACAGCCUCAUUUAAAUAUUUAGAUGCUUUAGGCCUUUAAUAUUAUUGAGCCACCCCUGACUAUUUCUAAUUGUAUUUUGCAGUUUAUAUUGUCCCCAUAUGAUGCUGUAAGUUCUGCUUCUAGUAUAUGCUUUACUACAAAAAAUGACAUUUUAAGAAUUUGGUGGGUAGCUGGCUGAAGGGGAUGAUUGAUGAAUGGUGCAAAUAUGGUUAUUGAUUUGGUUUUUAUGGUUUUUUUUAAAUUGGAAUAAAGAGGAUUCGAAUCGUGUUCUUUAAGUAAGGGGAUCAUGCACCAACCAAUGAGUUAAAUGUUCGGGUGUGAUUUGACUUUUAUGGUUGAGUGUUUUGGUUGGGUGUUAUUAUAAGUAAUGGUAUUGUUUGGGAAAGUGGGUGAUUAUUUAGGCUUUUGUGGUUUUUCAUCAUUGGUUUUUGGUGGUCGGUUACUUUGUUUCCAUUUCUUAUGACCAAAGUCUAAUGGUUAAUAUUCUGGUUCAAUAGCAUGUUAAUUAUUGGCUUCGUUUCUGUAAUGGGAUUACCCCUGCUUCAUUUUAAUAAUAUUAAAUAAUUUUCAAAAAAAAUAAUUAUGUAUGAAUAAAUUAAAGCAAGAAAUCCACAAUAAUUCCAAACCCAUAGAAUGGAAAACUGCCAACAAGUCAAGCAUAGUGAGAUCUAGUCUUUGAGAAAUUACUUGAUUUAGACUUUGUCGACCACUUCAUCCAAAAUUCCAGAAGUAAGUCUUCGUUAAUCACUUCAUCCAAAAUACUCAAAAACAAAGGCAAGUCUUCAUCCCCCACUUCAUCCAAAAUUCUCAAAAAACCAAAAGCAAGUCUUCAUCAUCCACUUCAUCCAAAUUCCAGAAAACAAAAGAAAGUCUUUGUCAAUCAUAUCCCCAAAAAAAAAAAAUGCCAAAUAGUAUAUUUCUAAUGCUCUGAUUCUACAUCUGAUCAUAAAAUGGUCUUGACUUGGGUCUCCUUCCCACUAUAAUUCUUCUCACAAGUCUGUCAAAAUGAGUAAGUGCACCCGUCAAGAAUGACAUCAAAAGCCUCCUAUAAGGAUAUGUCUAAUUGGGGUCAAAUCUUUCUUAGUUAUUACUCUAAAAUGGAUAUAAGAUCUGUAAGUUUACAACAAGAAUUUCGAAUACUAAUUGGCAAGACGUGCCAGUUGACCCAGUUUGAUUCUAUUCUAGGCUUGACUACUACUUGAUCCUAACAAACGUGUAGGAACUUGUAAAAGGAAAACUUUUGAAUUAUAUGUGGAAAUGACGAUGGUUUUCAAUAUAUAUAUAUUGAAAUUGUCAAAAUUGUGUUAGGAUCUAUUUCAACAUGCACCCUUCGACAGUGAAAGAAAAUUUACCACUUGGCAUAUUGGAGAGAAUUCUUAAAGAGCAAUGUUAUCAUUUCUUAUUCAUUUUUAUUGACAUAUCUAAAGGCCAAGAAAAAGUAUUUUUAUUUAUAAAAUUUAUUACAAUAUAAAUUUAAUUUUUGUAUACAUAUGGUACACAAUUACAUAAACAGAAACAACUCUCUUUCCUUUCAUAAAUCUCAUCCUACUCUCAAACCACGAUUGAAACCUGAGAUUUCAAGUUAAAAUUGAAUAUUUUAAUCAUCGAAGUAUCCGUUGACUGAAAACUUGAACUAUUACAAGUCAAUGAAAUACAUAAUUUUUUUUUAAAAAAACCUAAUCUUUGGACACCUCUAAACACUGUAUUUGUAUAUAUUUCUAACUUUUAUUUUUCUUUUUUCCUAUAAGAAAUAUAAGCAAUAUAAACUAAAUGUUAUAUCUUUAUAAGUGUUUUUUUAUGAGAUUAUAUUUACAUGUAAAAAUUAUAAUUACAUCAAAUAACUUUUAAUAUUAUUAUAAAAUAAAAUAAAUUAAUAAAUAAACUAAGAAGUUAUUCAUGCAUAAAAUAGAUCUAUAUAAUACAAGAAUAAAAUUUAUUUAGAGCUGGGUUAUCAUAGCAUAACAUAAAACUAAAAAUAGUUUUGAAAACUCAACAAAUUAAAGACAACAUCCAAAAGUAACCAUCUCGCAAAGAAAAGGAAAUCAAGGCAGGUACUCGCCUCCAAAAUAAAGAAAAAGGAAGCAAGCAAUUAUUGGGUAAAAUAAAAGCACCUUGACAUUGAUAAGUUGAACCUGCACUCAAACUUCAUUUUCUCGAUUUGGGAUUCAAAGGAGUCAAAUGCAAACGUUAGCAACAUGAUAAUAUUUUCAUCAAGCCCGUUUGUUUGAAUCCUUCAAAAACUUGAUUUUGAUCUUCUUCAACUUAGCAACAACGUUUUUCAUGUCAAUCCUCUCUUCUGGCAACUCUUCUAAACAUUCUAAUGCCAAUUGCAAUACAGAUGAUGCACAUUCCUUUAUUGCAAAAAGUUCUCGCUUCCUCUUAUCGAUUAGCAAAUUGGCAUCUACAACUUGAGUUAAUGCAGAUGGUAUGGACUCAUUCACCCAAUGUUUUAAACUCAUUUCUCCAACAAACAUUUCAUCUGUGGGCUUCUUUCUUGUUAAGGUUUCAAUUAGAAGAAUACCAAAACUGUACAUGUCGCCUUUUAUGGAAACCAUUCCUUGUGUUCCAUAUUCUACAUGCAAGUCAUUAAAGCAAUCAUCAAAGUAUGCAAUGAUUUUACAUGAAUUACCAUAAUGGAUAAAAAAAGUCUAAAGUUUAAGCAUUACCUGGUGCCAUAUACCCAAUUGUUGCUAGUGUUAUGGUUUGUACCAUUGAAUCCUCUUCACCUAACAGCUUUGCAAUGCCAAAAUCAGCUAAAUGUGCAACCAUAUCUUCAUCUAACAGAACAUUGCUGGGUUUUAAAUCACAAUGGGCCACAGGAAUUGUCUGACCAUGAUGGAGGUAUUCUAAUGCAGCUGCCACAUCAAUCAUAAUGUUCAACCUAUGCAACAUAUCAAGAAAAUAGUUAUGAGAAUACAACCACUUCUCGAGGCUUCCAUUGGGCAUGAACUCAAGCACCAAGGCUUUAAAGUCAACAUUGCAGCAACUACUAAUGAUUUUGACUAAAUUUCGGUGGCGAAUGUUGCGCAAGACCUCACACUCAACGUCAAAGCUCUUGAAUGAUCCUUCUACCUCCAAAUUAAAGACUUUUAUGGCAAUGUUCAAUCCAUCUGAAAGAGCACCUUGGUAUACCGAGCCAAAACUCCCCACACCAAGUAGUUUGCUUUCACAAAAACCAUUUGUCGCUUGAUAAAGCUCUUGGUAUGAAAUUCUUCUCCAUUUUGCUAAACCAAUCGAAUUUUCUAGAUCAUUUUUUUGCUUUGAAUGCUUUCUUCGGCUUUGGAAGAAAAAGACUAUUAAGGCUAGAAUUAAUAGCGUUGCGCUAAUUGGCAAUAGGAUACAUUCCAUAAGCUUAGUAGCUUUCCUUGAAUGUUUAGCAGAAUUAUGUGUGCAUGGUGGGAGUUGCAGUUGAGGUGCACCACAUAGCGCUUCAUUCCCCAUAAAUGAUUGAAUCGAGCAAUUGGCAAAGGGUCCUUCGUUAGGAAUUUCUCCAUGCAGUCUAUUGAAUGAGACAUUCAAAUACUCAAGGUGCAAGAGUUUUUGCAAGGACUUUGGAAUAAUUCCAGAGAAAUUAUUCCUUGAUAGAUCCAAGAAUUGCAAUUCUAUCAACCCACCAAAUAACUCAGGUAUAGAUCCGUACAAUCUGUUACCGGAUAAGGAAAGAUAAGUUAGGUCUUUAAGAUCUCUAAUGCUGCUCGGAAUUUCACUUGAUAAUUGAUUUUCGGAAAAAUCAAUAAUUGUAACAACCUUCCACUUUCCAAAGUCAAUUGGGAGAGCCCCGCCAAGAAAAUUGGAAGACAAAUUUAGUUGCAAGAUAUCUAUAAGCCUUGUGAAGGUUGAGGGUAUUGAGUUUGCAAACUUAUUGGAGUCCAAAUAUAGAUGCCUAAGAGAAACGAGAUCACCCAAGCAUUCUGGUAUUGGUCCAGCCAAUUUGUUACCUGUGAGAUGCAAGAAACCCAAACUCUUCUGACAGCAUAACUCAGAUGGAAUGGAUCCUUCUAAGUUAUUGUCUUCAAGAAAGAAACCUUGCAACUUUUCUAAUCUUCCAAUUGUGGUGGGAAUAGGUCCAAUCAGUUCAUUGUUAGCUAUGUUCAACCUGAUCAAGUUGAUUAGUUUGCCAAUCUCUACAGGAAUAUUGCCUCCAAUGUUGCAGUCCGAGGCAUCGAAUGUUUGUAGAGAAAUAGAGAGAUUUCCUAUAGAGAUAGGAAGUUCACCAUGAAUCAAUGGAUUAUUACUAAAUGCCAAGACUCUCAAGUCUUUGCAAUAUGCUAAAGAUGUGAGAAAGCUCAAUUUUGGGGAUGAAGGUGUGCGAGCCAAAUUAUUAAACUGUAGGUUGAGAAAUUGUAGAUCUCUUAGAUUUCCGAGGUCAUCGGGAAUAUAUCCAGAAAAUGAAUUAGCUGACAAGUCAAGCUCUAUUAGCUUAGAUGCAUUAGAGAUGGAGGUAGAGAUUGUUCCAUUUAUCUCAUUGGAACCAAGUAGAAGCUGUUCAAGUUUUGGAAGCCAAAGUCCUGUGCUCCAUGGAAGACAACCUGAGAGAUGGUUUACAUCAAGUGCAAUGGUCCUCAUAGUUGAGCUAUUAAAGAUUCGAGGAGGGAUAUGUCCAGAGAUAUUGUUAGAUUCCAAAUUCAACCUUUCCAAUUUUGGUAUGUUGCCUAUCUCAAGUGGUAUUUUACCUGCCACAAGGAGUCAUUUGGAUUUGUUCUGGUGAUCCAGAAGUAAAUAACAAAAUUUAUCAUAAAAGUUGUACGCACAUUUGUAUUUUUAUAUUUUAUAUUAUAAAUAUAUAUAACAAAGAGUGAAACAAGUAAAUUACUUCCAAAAGUGUUAAGUUACUAAUCUAUUGUGGAAUUCAACCUGCAUAAUGAAAUUGUUCCAUUAAUUAUUUUCAAAUUUAGCAGAAAAUUAUAUGGUCAAUUUGUUUGUCAAACGGAACAAUCAAAAUUAUAAAACAAAGUUUAGAAUUUAGAUAAUACAAGGUAAUAUAAUCUUACAGGCUAAUUUAUUAUUUUUCUUUCAAUUUAUAUAAUAUAAUGAAAACAUAUUAGAAAAGUUGAAAAAAAAACAGAACAUAGAUAAGUAGAUAGUAUAUUUCAAUUUAUAUAAUAUAAUGAAAACAUAUUACUAUAUUUGCAUUUUGAGAAACAAUUUGUUAUAAUUAUUGGUUGAUGCAAUAUAAUCAUAGGCAAAUUUGCUAAAUUUAAGGGUAUUUUCAUCUUAGUUUGUCCAUUUGUGUGUCCAAGAGAAAAAGGAGGCAUGGGACUGUGGAAGAAAGGGAGGGACGACGGAUAGGGCGGAGGAAUGGGGGAAGGGGGGUUGACAAGUCAGCGAAAGAAAGGCAGGAGCCGAGGAGAGAGAGAGAGGAGGAGUCAUACCAGUUUAGACAAGUUUAUUUAAAUAAUGUAUGAGUAGUGGAAAACCAGUCUUGACGAACAUCAAUCUUAUACUUUACAUCUAAAAGAAGAAGGAUAAAAUUUAAAUAAACUAAAAUGUAAUCAUAGUGAAUUUAAUAGAAGAAGUAAAAGACUUACGAGAUUGCAAAAUGUGUCAUUAUUAAAAGAAAAAACCAAUAAAAAAAAUGGAUUAGAAAUAUGUUAAAAAUGCGUCACAAUAAUAUUUAUUUGGAUUUGUUAAUAACAAAAUAACAAAAUUAAUGAUAAAACUUUUACACACAUUUCUAUUUUUAUAUUUUAUACUAUAGAUAUAUAUAUAACAAAGAGUCAAACAAUUAGUAUUUGUAAAUAAUAUUAUUCAAAUAUUUACAACAGUUGCAGCUAUGUAGAAACUAAACAUACAUGAGAGAAAAUAUAACUUAUUACCUGUCAAUUUAUUAGCGGGAAUAUCAAUCUCUAUCAGAAGUGUUAGGUUACCAAGCUGUUGUGGAAUUUCACCUGCAUAAUGAAAUUGAGCCCUUAAUUAUUUUCGAAUUGAACAACCACUUGUUUGUCAAAUGGAUCAAAAUUAUCAAAGAAAGUUUAGAACUUAGAUAAUACAAAGCAAUAUAAUCUUGCACAUUGCAGUUAAUUUAUUAUCUUUCUUUUCAAUUUAUAUAAAAGAAAAAGGAUAAAAUAUACAUAAACUUAAAAGUGAUCACAAUGAAUUUAAUAGAAGAAGUAAUAAAGAAUUGAAAGAAUUACUAGAUUGCAAAAAUGUGAUUGCGUUAAAAAAACCAACCCAAUAACAAAAGAAACUAAAAUAUUGUAGGCCCAAAAAGAGAAAAAAAGAAAAAGGCUUUUGUUAUUGUGAGAAAGAAAGGGUUAGAAAUAUGUUAAAAAUGCAUCCCAAUAUUUAUUUUUCUUUUACCUUUGAGGUUGUUCUCUGCAAGAUAUAGAAAUUUGAGCAUAGUCAAAUUUCCUAUUUCUUUCGGUAUAAUUCCCUCGAAAUGAUUAUAAGAUAAGGAUAAAUCUUUUAACUCUUGACACUUGAAUAAACUCAUUGGGAUUGGACCAGCAAGGUGGUUAAAACUCAAGUCCAGCCCUUGUAAUCUAGGUAAACGAUCAAACAUAUCUGAUGAGAUAUCACCAGUGAGGUUAUUAAAUGUAAAAUCAACCACUUCCAAGGAAGACAUGUUGAGUCGAAUGGAAGGUAUGGAACCAAUGAGCUGGUUGUUUCUGAGAAAAAUCUUUAGCAAUGAAGAUAUGCUGAAGACCGAAGAAGGUAUAAAACCUGAAAUCUGAUUAUUAUGUAAAUAUAAAAAUCUCAACCUAGAAAGAUUUCCGAUCUCCAGGGGGAUAUGUCCUUGCAGAUUGUUGUUAUACAAGCUCAAUAACUCUAGUUUUGACAAAGAGCACAAAGAAGAUGGGAUAACUCCCACGAAGUUAUUACCGCCCAAACUCAAGUUUUGAAGUUUAGAAAAGGAACCAAACCAAGAUGGGAUUUCUCCGUUGAAAUUGUUGUUACUCAAUAGUAGAGAUUUCAGCCGGCGCAAAUUAGCCAACUCGAUGGGCAAUGAACCAUGAAAACUGUUGUUUCCAGUGUCAAGGAAAGCAACGAAAGACAGAUUUCCCAUGUCUGGUGGUAUGGUUCCAGAGAGAUUCAUGCCAAAUAGAUCCAAAGCAAUGACUCUGUGGUGUCGAGAUCCGCAAGUGACACCAACCCAAUUGCAAAUAGAGGUAGCAGUUGACCAGUUCGUAGCCAGAAGAUCAUUGUUGACGCGGGUUUUUAGUGCAAGAAGAGCCAACUGGUCUGUGCUGAUGUUGGUUGUUGAUUUCAUAGCGAAUGAAACCCCAAAAUUAGGCAGCAACACCACCACCAUAAGAGCCAGAAUGAGCCAAGUGUUUCCCAUGAAGUUAAGUAGAAGUGGAACUUGUGAAUUAUAUGUGGGAAAGAUGAUGUUUCUUUUUCAAUAUAUAUAGAAAAUGUCAAAACUGUGAUUGGACUUAUAUCUUUUUUUUAAAAAGCAAUUUUAUUAGCCGCAUUAACCAUAUUGCCAUUCCAAGUCUCCUCCAAUUAGGAGACUUUCCAUGAUAUCAAGACAUGGUUAGGACAAACAAAUGUACAAUUACAAAAACUACCCCGCUCCUGCCGCUACCAGCUGUAAAAAACAUGAAGCUCAUCAAUCCUAUCAAGACCAAAAUCCAUCGACUCACUACCUCAAAAGCAAAAAGAGAGGCAUAAUCAGGUUCACUAAGCUAGAAAGUCCCUUUUGCACCCAAAAAAGAACAUAACACAGGAGGCCAUUCGACAAACCGUGGGAACCACCCCCAACAGAUCAUGCACACCGUCAAAGGCCAAAAAACAAAAACCAUAAUUCAACCAGCACGGUCGCGUCAAGCAAAUACGGGAGCAGGAAACCCCGUCUCAACAGCUCCAACCCACAGACCAGACAACAAGCACGGGCAGAAACAGAACCUUGUAACCAGGACACCUCAACUUCCAGCCUAAAGAAUAUCUAUUUCUUAUUCAUUUUCGUUGACAUAUCUAAAGGCCAAAAAAAGGUAUUUUUAUUUAUAAAAUUUAUUACAAUAUAAAUUUAAUUUUUUUAUGCAUACGGUACACUAUUACAUAAGCAAAAGUAACUCUCUUCUUCUUCAUAAAUCUCAUCUUACCCUCAAACCACAAUUGAAACUUGGGAUUUCAAGUUAAAAUUGUAUAUUUUAAUAACCGAGGUAUCGGUUCAAAUAGCAAGUAGGAAAUUCUUUCUUAGCUCUUUAACAGUAAUUCUGCCCUGCAUUUGUAGGAAAACAACAGAAUGAACUCUUUUACUAUCUUGUGAGUAUAAGAGCUUUCAGUAAGUAUUGGCCCCUUGGACUAAUAAGCACCAAAGACACCAGUUUAUUCGAUUAAAUGCCCAAAAAAAAAAGGUUAUCUUACAAGGCAAAGCCAAUCACAAGGUUUUUUUUUUAAUUUUUUUUCAAUCAGAGUAGGAAAUGACAGAAUCCUAAGUGAGUGUUUGACCUAGUUUAUAGAAGUGAUUUUCUACUGCAUAAGCUGAAACAAUAUGUUUGGUUGUCAAAAUUUUAGAAUUUCGAGUUAAUGUGUGAAGUUCAUUUGGUGUUUUAGAUGAAAUUAUUAAUCAAAAUUUUUUUAAUAGUUUUGAUCAAUCGAAUCAAAACUGCUUCAAAAAUAUUCACGUAUAGUAACAACUAUUUAAUGAAAUUUUUUAUAUUUUUACUUUAUUCUUGAAUAAUUCAUAAAAUUAAGAUAUUAGGAAACAAAUGCUCAAGUGUAAAUUUCCUCAAAAUUUCUAAAAGAAUAUACACGUAGAUAAUAAAUAAGUCAAAAUGGUACUUAUGAAAUAAAACAUAACAUAUUUUUAUUAUUAAUGAUUAUGUCUCUCAAAAGAAAGACACAAAAUUGAAAAAUUAUUCACACUUUGAGGAGCACUAAUGGUGUAGCUGAUCAGUUGGUUAAAGAUGGCUUAUAAAGGGAAAACGAUUUGUUAAACAUCAUUUUGUAAGCUUGAUGUUUAUUUGAGUUAUGAUUGUGGUUUUUUAAUGGUUUACUAUAACUGAGUUCCCACAUUUAUUUUCUCAUAUAAACAAAUAUCUAUUUUCUCUCAUGUCUCACAUCUUAUUAAUUCUUAACUAUUUAUAUUGUAUCUCAUUAAAAAUAUAUAAAAGUCAAGAUGAUUAAUAAAAUGACAUAUUUUCUUACUUCCCUAAUAUUAUGCACCUAAUAAAUCUCUAUUUUUUAUCACUUUCCAAUUUCCACAAUAUUAUUAAUUCUCAAUUAUUUCUCCUAUUUCCAAUCAACGUAAUAAAUAAUUCAUAAAAUGACAUAUUUUCUCACUUCCCUAAUAUUAUGUACCUAAUAAAUCUAUAUUUUUAUCACUUCUCAAUUCCCACAAUAUUAUUAAUUCUCAAUUAUUUCUUCUAUUUUCAAUCAACGUAAUAUGUAUUUAAUGAUCUCCAACUAAUGGUAAAAUUGUUUUCUUAAUUUCAAUGAAAUAAAAGACCUCAUUUGAAUAUUUAGACGCUUUAGGCUUUUUAGGUUUUUUUUCUUAAUUGAGGAAAGGGGGAUUCGAACCUUGCUUUCUAGGCAAGGGAUCAUGCACCAAGCAAUGAGCCAAAUACUCAGGUGCAUUUUUUAGGCUUUUAAGGUUAUUGAGCCACCCCUGGCAUUUCUAACAAUACUUUGCAACUAAUAUGUGACAAUCUUUCAGAUUGCAAAAUAUGUUUUAUGUUGUCCCCAUAUUAUGCUGUGGGUUCUAUUUUCAGUAUAUGCUUGACCACAGACAAUGACUUUUUAAGAAUUUAGUGGGUAGCUAGCUAAAGAGGAUGAUUGAUGAAUGGUGCAAAUAUGGUUGUUGACUUGGCUUCUAUGGUAGAGUAUUUUGCUUGGGUAUUAUUAUAAGUGAUGGUACAGUUGACUCCAUAUGUUUUUUAUGAUAACAAAAUAUUCUCAUUCAUUGAUGUCUAAUUACUUUAUUUAAGUGUGUGAACCCUUUAUAUAUUUGUUUUUUGGAAGCAAGUCAAGAAGCUUGCUUAAUUACAAGAUGAGUUAAUCAGUUAAAGAAGCAAAGAAGAAAAGGCUUAGUGAAGACAAAAUGUUGUUAACUGAUUAACGUGGAGCCUUAACCAAUUAAGGCAAAAGCUAGGAACUAUACAAAAGCAAGACAAUAAAACCUUAAUUAGUUACCACAAGGUUUAACUGAUUAAGAAGGUGCUAGAAGCUAAAAACAAAGGCAUGCUAAUCAGUUAAAGAAUUGGGAUAAUCAGUUAGAGCACAAGACUUAGUACCUUCAACGCCAAAAUUCAAAGUUGAAAGAAGAUUGACUAUAGAAGGGAGCCAAAAUGAAAAAGUUCAAAUUUCGAAGAUUUUCUAAUUGAUUAAAGCUGAUUUUAAUCUGUUAAGGUUGAAGGAAGUGAAGCCUCAACUAGUUAAGGGAAGAGCUAACCAAUUAAAGGAAGACUGUUGUGUAGAGGAAAAUGAAAACAGAAAGUUUGUAAUCAGUUAGAGUUUCCUCUAAUCGAUAAACACAAUGUACAUAACUACAAGACAGUGCAAGGCAGAGAAGCUAUAAUUUGUUAGAACUGCUUGUAACCAAUUAACGAAACACUGUCUGCCUAUUUGAAAAGAGCCGCUAGAAGAUAAAAUAACGGCUAUUAACGGCUAAAAAUUAUCUCUAACAGCCAGAAUCAAUCUUCUAAGUAUUUAAAGGCUCUCUAACAAUCAAAAAUUAUAUAGAGAAGCUACCAAGAGUGAUUUUGAACUUAAAACAUACAAAAACCUUCUUUUAACACUUGUAUUCCACUCAUAUCUUUGUGAAAGUGUUUGUGUUGAAGCUUUUACAACUUAAAUCAGUAAGGUGCUCAUUUGCACCUCCUUUUAUCUUCUAUUUCUUGUUUACUUAGAUUGUGAGAGAUACUCUAAGGGGUAGUCUAAGUUAGGAUAAGCUUAAGAUUUGUUGUAAAAGGGUUGAAGCUAGGGUUAGAAGCUAAUCUUGUAAAAGCUUGUUGGAAGCUAUUAAUUUCACUGGUUUUUUAAUGAAGUUUGGCUGAAAAUCUAUAAUUAGGAAUAUCAAGGUAGUGGAUGUAGGUCAGGUGGACCAAACCACUAUAAAUAUUGUGUUUUAUCCACUUCUCUUAUCUCUCUUUACUUAAUGUUUGCUAACUACAACAAGUUUUCAAACCAUUCAUCUUAAAUCUUCCAAAUGGAUUUUAAAUUUCAAAAAACUACCAUAAAAAAUAUUUUUAAAUACUAUUCACCCCUCUCUGACACUCCUUUUAGGACCAACAAGUACUGUUUGGGAAAAUGGAUGAUUAUUGAGGCUUUUGUGGUUUUUCAUCAUUGGUUUUUGGUGGUCGGUUACUUUGUUUCCAUUUCUUAUGACGAAAGUCUAAUGGUUAAUAUUCUGGUUCAUAGCAUGUUAAUUAAUGGCUUUGUUUUUGUAAUAGGAUUACCCCUGCUUCAUUUUAAUAAUAUUAAAUAAUUUUAAAAAAAUAAUUAUGUAUGAAUAAAUUAAAGCAACAAAUCCACUAUAAUUCCAAACCCAUAGAAUGGAAAACUGCCAACUAGUCAAGCAUAGCGAGAUCAAGUCUUUGAUAAAUGACUUGAUUUAGACUUUGUCGACCACUUCAUCCGAAAUUCCAGAAGUAAGUCUUCGUUAAUCACUUCAUCCAAAAUACUCAAAAACAAAGGCAAGUCUUCGUCCACCACUUCAUCCAAAAUUCUCAAAAAACCAAAAGCAAGUCUUCAGCAUCCACUUCAUUCAAAUUUCAGAAAACAAAAGAAAGUCUUUGUCAAUCAUAUCCCCAAAAAAAAAAUUUUAAAAAUGCCAAAUAGUAUAUUUCUAAUGCUUUGAUUCUGCAUCAGAUCAUAAAAUGGUCUUGACUUGGGUCUCCUUCCCACUAUAAUUCUUCUCACAAGUCUGUCAAAAUGAGUAAGUGCACCCGUCAAGCAUGACAUCAAAAGCCUCCUAUAAGGAUAUGUCUAAUUGGGGUCAAAUCUUUCUUAGUUAUUACUCUAAAAUGGAUAUAAGAUCUGCAUGUUUACAACAAGAAUUUCGAAUACUAAUUGGCAAGACGUGCCAGUUGACCCAGUUUGAUUCUAUUCUAGACUUGACUACUACUUGAUCCUAACAAACGUGUCGGAACUUGUGAAAGGAAAACUUUUGAAUUAUAUGUGGAAAUGACGAUGGUUUUCAAUAUAUAUAUAUUGAAAUUGUCAAAAUUGUGUUAGGAUCUAUUUCCACAUGCACCCUUCGACAGUGAAAGAAAAUUUACCACUUGGCAUAUUGGAGAGAAUUCUUAAAGAGCAAUUAAUGUUAUCAUUUCUUAUUCAUUUUUAUUGACAUAUCUAAAGGCCAAGAAAAAGUAUUUUUAUUUAUAAAAUUUAUUACAAUAUCAAUUUAAUUACAAAAUGAGUUAAUCAGUUAAAGAAGCGAAGAAGAAAAGGCUUAGUGAAAACAAAAUGUUGUUAACUGAUUAACGUGGAGCCUUAACCAAUUAAGACAAAGCUGGGAGCCAUACAAAAAGCAAGACAGCAAAACCUUAAUUAGUUAGCAUAAGGCUUAACUAGUUAAGAAGGUGCUGGAAGCUAAAAACAAAGGCAUGCUAAUUGGUUAAGGAAUUGGGAUAAUCAGUUAGAGCACAAGACCUUAGUACCUUCAAGCACCAAAAUCCAAAGUUGAAAAAAGGUUGACCAUUGAAGGGGGCCAAAAUGGAGAAGUUCAAAAUUCGAAGAUUUCUAAUUGAUUAAAGCUGAUUUUAAUCCGUUAAGGUUGAAGGAAGUGAAGACUUAACCAAUUAAGGGAAGGGCUAACCAAUUAAAGGAAGACUACUGUGUAGAGGAAAAUGAAAACAGAAAGUUUGUAGUUGGUUAGAGUUUCCUCUAAUCGAUUAACACAGUGUACAUAGCUACAAGACAAUGUAAGGUAAAAAAGUUGUCAUCAAUUAGAGUUGCCUGUAACCAGUUAACGGAACACUGUCUAUUUAUCUGAAAAGAGCCACUAGAAGACGGUUAGUAAUGGCUAGAAAUUAUCUCUAACAGCUAGAAUCAAUCUUCUAAGCAUUUAAAGGUUCUCUAACAGUCAAAAAUCAUAUAGAGAAGCUACCAAAAGUGAUUUUGAGCUUAAAACAUCUAAAAACCUUUUUUUAACACUUGUAUUCCGCUCCAAUUUUUAUGAAAGUGUUUCAGCUGAAGCUUGUACAACUUAAAUCAGUAAGGUGAUCAUUUGUACCUCCUUUAAUCUUCUAUUUCUUGUUUACUUUGGGUGUAUGAGAUACUCUAAGGGGUAGUCUAAGUUAGGGUAAGCUUAGGACUUAUUGUAAAAUGGUUGGAGCUUGGGUUAGAAGUUCACCUUGUAAAAGCUAGCUGGAAGUUGUUAAUUCUACUGGUUUUAGUGAAGUUGGAUUAAAAAUCCUUGAUUGGGAAGAUCAAGGCAGUGGAUGUAGAUCAGGUAGACCAAAUCACUAUAAAUAUUAUAUUUUGUCUACUUCUUUAAACCUCUCUUUACUUGGUGUUUGCUAAUUAUAACAAGUUUUCAAACCAUCCAUCUUAAAUCUUCCAAAUGGAUUUUAAAUUUCAAAAGCUACUCUCAAAAAUAUUUUUAAGUGUUAUUCACCCCUUUUCAACACUCCUUUUGGAACCAACAGGUACUAUUUGGGAAAAUGGAUAAUUAUUGAGGCAUUUGUGGCUUUUCAUCAUUGGUUUUUGGUGGUGGGUUAUUUCUUCCAUUUCUUAUGAUGAAAGUCUAAUGGUUAAUAUGCCGGUUCAUAGCAUAUUAAUUAUUGAUUUCAUUUAUGUAAUGUGUUUAACCCUGCUUCAUUUUAAUAAUAUUGAAUACUUUUAAAAAAAAAUCAUUAUGUAUGAAUAAAUUAAAGCAAGAAAUCCACUAUAAGUCCAAUUCCAUAGAAUGGAAAACGGCCAACUAGUCAAGCAUAGUGAGAUUAAGUCCUUGAGCAAUGACUUGAUUUAGACUUUGUCGACCACUUCAUCCUAAAUUCCAAAAGGAAGUCUUCGUUAACCACUUCAUCCAAAAUUCUCAAAAACAAAGGCAAGUCUUGGUCCACCACUUCAUCCAAAAUUCUCGAAAAACCAAAAGCAAGUCUUCAUCAUCCACUUCAUCCAAAUUCCAGAAAACAAAAGAAAGUCUUUGUCAAUAAGGGAAAAUAGGUAGUAGAUGUCAGAAUAAUUUUUUUACUUUUAAAAAAUUCCAAAUAGUAUAUUUCUAAUGCUUUGAUUCUGCAUCAGAUCAUAAAAUGGUCUUGACUUGGGUCUCCUUCCCACUAUAUUUCUUGACACAAGUUUGUCAAAAUGAGUAAGUGCACCCGUCAAGCAUGACAUCAAAAGCCUCCUUUAAGGAUAUGUCUGAUUGGGGUCAAAUCUUUCUUAGUUAUUACUCUAAAAUGCAUAUAAGAUCUCUAAGUUUGCAACAAGAAUUUCUAAUACUAAUUUGCAAGACGUGCCAGUUGUCCCAGUUUGAUUCUAAGACUUGACUACUACUUGACCGUAACAAACGUGUAGGAACUUGUGAAAGGAAAACUUUUGAAUUUUAUAUCGAAAGGAUGAUGUUUCUUUUUCUAUAUAUAUAUAUAUAUAUAUAGUAGUUUGUCAAAAUUGUGAUAGGACCUUUUUCCACAUGCACCCUUCCACAGUGAAAGAAAAUUUACCACUUGUUGGAGAGAAUUCUUAAAGAGCAAUGUUACCAUUCUUAUUCAUUUUUAUUGACAUAUCUAAAGGCCAAAAAAAAGUAUUUUUCUUUAUAAAAUUUAUUACAAUAUCAAUUUAAAUUUUUUAUACAUGUACUACACAAUUACAUAAGGAGAAGCAACUCCAAUUUAAAAUCAAAUAUUGUAUAAAGAUGGUUUGUAUAAAAGGUGGGUUUUUCUGAUCUGUUGUAAGCUUCCUCAUACGUGGCAACAUUACUGAUUUUAGGAUAUUAUGCAAUACAAAGGUAUAACAUCUUGAAAUCAGGAUUUUACAUAUUUCCUUCAUUAAUAAACCAUCUCCAUAAUUUUUUUUAAAAUGUUGGCAAAAAAACAAGAACAAGGAAUCCUAAGUGAGUGUUUGACAUAGUUUAUAAAAGUGAUUUUCUAUUGAAAAAGCAGAAACAAUAUGUUUAUUUGGUUGUCAAGAUUUUAAAAUUUUUGGUUUAAAUGGAAAGUUCAUUUGGUGUUUUAGACGAAAUUAUGAAUCAAAAAUGUUUUUCAUAUUUUUGGUCAAUUAAAUUAAUACUUCUUCAACGAUAUUAAUGUAUAGUAACAAAUAUUUAAUGAAAUUUUUUAUAAUUCUACCUUACUAUUCAAUAAUUCAUAAAAUUAAUAUAUCAGGAAACAAAUGCUCAAGUGUAAAUUUCAUUGAAAUUUCUUCAAAAAUAUACACGUAGGUCAUAAAUAUCUCAAAAUAGUAUUUAUGAAAUUAAACAUAGCAUUUUUUUUUAUGUAUGAUAUAAAUUAAAGCAGGAAAUCUAGUAUAAGUCCAAAACCAUAGAAUGGAAAACUGCCAACUAAUCAAGCAUCGUGAGCUCAAGUCUUUGUGAAAUGACUUAAUUUAGACUUGUCAAACACUUCAUACAAAAUUCCACAAAAACAAAAGCAAGUCUUGGUCAUCCACUUUAUCCAAAUUCUAGAAAACAAAAGAAAAUUUUUGUCAACCAUCUCCCCAACAAAUUUUUGUCAACCAUCUCCCCAACAAAAUUUACUUUAACUAAACGUUAUACACAUAUUUAACGUAAUUCUUCUGAAAAAAAAAAUUACAAGCUCUUUGAGUAGGUGUUUAUAUUUUUCUGUCUUCCUAGACAUACUCUUAGAUUCCUUUGUUUAAUAUAUUGAUUAAUAAUGGAUAUCAAGUUUAUGAUGACAAUAUUCCUUUUCAUGUAUAUGAAUAAUAUUCCUUUUACUAGUUCACUGCCAGAAUUGAACUAAAAGGAGAAUGAAUUUGUCCUUUUGGCCCUUUAAGGAAAAAGAACUGAAUAAUACAUGUUCUUGAUUUAUUGCAAACUACGAUUUGAAUCAGGUAGCCAGUAAUUAACAACCACUAGUGAGGCCUAAUCACAUAUUAAGCAACAUUAAUAAUCAAUUGGAGGUAUUAAUUAUGCCAGUGAUUGCUACGUACAUCAUCAACACUGAAUUUCAGUGUAGGCAAUCUUCCAUAAGAAAUUCCUAGGUCCUCUCAAUCUUUCUGAUCUAGUUUCUCCCAAAGACAGGAUGUGUUGGUCAAAAUCAUUGAUGAAGCUUCCUUUACAAAUUACAAUAACAUCGAGGAAAAUAAUUAGUAGAUGUCAGGAUAUUUUUUUUCUUUAAAAACAUGCCAAAUAGUAUACUUCUAAUGCUUUGGUUCUGCAUCAGAUCAUAAAAUGAUCUUGACUUGGGCCUCGUUCCCACUAUAAUUCUUCUCACAACUUUGUCAAAAUGAGUAAGUGCACCCGUCAAGCAUGACAUCAAAAGCCUCCUCUAAGGAUAUGUCUAAUUGGGAUCAAAUCUUUCAUAGUUACUACUCUAAAACGGAUAUCAGAUUUGUAAUUUUACAAUAAGAAUUUCGAACACUAAUUUGCAAGACGUGCCAGUUAACUUAUUAAUUUACAAUGAUAAUAUAACUUCAAUGUGAGGCCGAACAAAAAAAAAUAAAAGGAACAAAUAGAACUUUAAGUUAUCUUUUUUAAUAUAAGCCUAACAAUAUGGAAAAACAAACUAUAUUAUCAAUUGCAUUCAAUUAAUAUUAAUUAUGUGAGGAUGAAUUUGCUAAUUUGAUAAACUAAUUAGAAUUUAAAAGUGCAAAUAAUAAGAAAUAUAUAUACCUCUAUAAAUUUCAAAUCAAUAAUUUAUCUUCAAAUGUUUAUUUAAAUUAUAAUUACAAUUAAUAUUACUUUUAGUAGUUUAUUUAAAUUCAAAUGUAAAUCAAACUAAAAGAAAUUAGAUUCCUAAUUAAUUGAAUUAACCUAUCUCAAAGAAGGCAAACCUUUCUACUUUUCAUGUCGGUAACCUUCCAACAAAUAUUGGAUAACUAAUUAGAGCAUGACCCCAACAUUUUUAAACUUAAUUAUUCAUUAGACAUGGUCUUACUGGAUUCUCUCUUUGUUCUUGGCUGUUUUAAAUGACUAGUUUAGGACUUUGGUCUUUGAAUUAUGAUUAAACAAAUGCUCCUGAAUAUCAAGGCAUCACUGUACAUAACAUCUUCAUCAAUUCAUAAGAUAUGUCCUAGUGCAUCUAGAUGGUUAAUCCUAUUAUUGCUCAUGCUAUUUUACACUUCUAUAUAUAUAUAUAUAUAAUGUUGUUAAAAAAAUGAAUGUACUUACCCAUUAAGGAUUUAUCAAUCAUUUUUUUAAUAUAUAUAUUUAUCUACACACACAUUGAAUAAUUGAUAGUUAAAAUACUAUAUAUUUGAAAAACCGUUUUUUCAUUUAAUGCACUAUAUAUCAAAUUCAAGAAGGAACAACAUAUUAGUUACAAAUCUUUCUUAUAAAUAUUACCUUAAUAUAAAUAUAUAUAUAUAUUUGAUUNUAUAUUUUGGGAUAAAAAAGGAAACUUAUUUGAAAAUUGAGAAAAUAGCAGAGUGUUAGGGAAAUGUCGAUAUCCAAAAUAGUUACUAAUAUUUUCUUUUAAAAUUACUAAAAAAAACUCACUUAGUGUGCACUAUAUAUUCUAGAAAAAAAAAAUUCAUCUUUAUUUUUGGUUUUAUUUGAAGUUGGAAAUUGAACCUAACUCUUUGAAUAGAAGAUGCAUGUUCUUACUAUUGAAUAUAAAAACUCAGCUGUAAAAGGUUUUUAUUCAUGUGUUUGGACAGGUGAUAAUCACAAUUCACAUGGGUCAACACUAACAAGGUAACAUGUAUCCUUAUUAAUGAAUAUGGAUGGAAAAUAUCAUAAACUAAAAACUAGAGUUUUAAUGUACAUGAUUAUCUAAUGUUAACAAUAAUACAAUCCUAGUGAAUUAAAUGUAUAGUAGAGUCUAUCAGAAUUAAUGUGAAAUUAUAUAAAAUCACAUUUUCAAGAUGCACCAGAUUCAAUGUUACUAUCAAAUCUUUGACUUGAAACAAGCAUUGAAAUGGGUAAUUCUGUAAGAUGAAUUUGGAAAUUAGAUGUGGUUGAAAGAUAUGAAAAGUGGAUUACUAGAGGCCUAUAUGUAUACCAUAUUUUCAAGUCAAAGCUUUUUUUAAGUAUGUUUUUAUUGGCAAAGAAGAAAAACAAGUUUUUAACGAUCACAUAUAGAAAAGUCUAGAAGAUAUUUUAUUUUAGUAAUUAAAAUUUCAAAUUUUAGUUUGAAAAUUUCGUGAUAGAAAUAUGAAAGAUUUAUUAGUUUCGAAUCCAUUUAUCUUCUUCUUUUAUAUGAGUAAUGAUUUGAUCAUGAAUUAUAGAUCUCGCAUAUAAAUGAAUUCAGAUACAUAUGAGAAGUAAUGGACCGAAAAAUUAAUUGUUAAUUUUUUAUAGUUCUUUUAUAAUUGUUAAUAUCUAUUGUCACAUGCAUUGCACAUGAAUACUUGUUUUCAAAUAUAUUUUUAAAUUGUUACAAAUUAGAUAAAUCUUAAUAAUAUUAAUAAUAAAAAGAUUUAAAAUAAUAACUUUAAAAUAUUAUAAAUAAAUAUAAUCAUUUUCAUUGAUCAAAAAGUUGUUCUAACAUUCGUACUUUAUACAUAUUAUAAGCAUCUACCAAAAGGUGGUGGUUUUUGUAUACUUUUUAUCAAGUAAUGAGAUCAUUUCAAUGCCUUGAUAUACAUAUAUGUAUAUACAUACAUAUAUGUACAUAAAUAUAUGUAUGUAUAUAUGUACAUAUAUACAUACAUUUAUAUAUGUAUGUCAUAACGUGUGGGUUCAAGAACCCGAUCGCUAGACGUGGUUAACUUAGGGAGUCGCUACCAAUAUUUUUUUACCUAGAUGCGAUUAGCCACCUAUUAAAUUUGUUUUAUUCGACGGAGUUCUAAAUCGACUUUAGAUCCUUCUAAAGAAUAACAAACUGGUCUACGUUUUUUAUUUAGAAUUCGGUUCGAGAGUACAGUUACGCACAGGAAAAGAUUAACACCCCUAUGACGCCAAUUCCACGAACGGUACCAUUUAAUCAUAUAUUAUUAUAACCCAUUAAUUUUAUUAUUAUGUUUUCUUAAUUUUUUUUAUUUAACUUAUCUUUUAUUCUAUUAAUAAAUUAAAAUAUUCUAUUUGAUUUUACGAGUUUAACGUACACGUAAUGCAAUUGUAAAAUGCAUGGUAUAAAAUCGAGAUAAUGUCAAACGAAAACCUUUUUAUGAGUGCACUUUUUGAAUCCACCUAUCAUGCUGGUGAGAUCCAGGAGUAUCCUCUCACUUAGGAAAAUAUCUGAGAAACUCGCCUUCGCAAAUUACCUGGGUAAAUCCUAUAAUCAGGAUAGUCAUUUGCAAGUAAAAACAAUAUUUUUAUGAAUGUAAAUUCUAAUACGGACAAAGCUUUUUAUUAAAGAUAUUUCUCCGAACCCUCCCAUCAUACUGGUGAGACUCGGAGGCAUCCUUUCACCUAGGAAUUUUUCUGAAGGAACUUGCCUUCGCAAACUCUUUCAAAAAGUUCCACCAUCGGGGCUUGGAUUCAUGUACAUCAUACAUCUAUAUGCCAUGACACUUAACAAUGCAAUAAUGAUGUGUAAUAUGCUUUUAAAUUUCAAUAUUUGUUUCUUAAUCUUCCUACAACUCCUUUGAUAUUUCUUUGAAAUUCUUUUUAUUGUUCUUCUUUGUAUGUAUAUAUCUCAUGGAUAAUAUAUGUUAUAUUUAUUAUUUAUUAUUUUAUUUUUUUCAUUAAAGUAUUUAUAUAUUGUUGCUCUAUGAAUUUUCCUUUUUACCUAAAUACUAUUUCUUUUUAAACCAAAAAUCUCAUUUCAUAAUUGUUAUUUAUGUGUAUAUAUUUUUUAUAAAUCAAUUACGUUUCUACUUUUUAUUAACCUAACCUAUUUUCUUUUUGACUAGCUAUUUUUUUAAUCUUUUCUCAUCAAUCUAUUUUAUAUUUGCCUUUCAUAUUUUAGUUGUAUUGGCUAUUGUGAAUUUACCAUCAUUGAGAGUUUUAUUAUUUUAUUAUUAUUUAUUCAUUACCUUCAUUAUUUCUUUACUUCUUUUGUUUUAUAUUUUUGUUUGAUUAGUAAUUAACUUAAUACAUUUUUCAUUCACUUAGAAUUGUAAAUAUCAAGAUUUAGAAUUAAAACCUUCCUAUUAUACUGGUGGGAUCUUAAUCGAAAUCUCUUACUUAGAAAAAUUCAUCUAAUGUUGCAACUUCAUGCACUCCAAAUAACUAUUUCAUCAGUGGUUAUUCUAAUAAUAAUGUAACUUUUUUUUACCAUCAUGUUCACUAUCAUUCACUAACUUUGAAACCAUUAUAUUUUAUUUAAUAUACACUCCAAAAUUUAGAGAAAUGAGGGAUAUCCUUGCACAUAUAUUUCUUUAAUUUUACUAAACCAUAUAUCUAUUUUAUUUUUUCAUUGUUGUUGACAAUAUUAAUACUAAUUUUAUCAUUUUUCUUGUUUAAAUAUUUUUUCUAAAAAAAAUACUAAUCAACAAUAUUAAAAAUACAAACACAUAAAAGAAUUAAGAAAUAAAAAAAAAACCCAUACAAAAUAAGUGUAAGUGACCCAACACAUAAGUCCUAAAUAACAAAACACAAACGGAACACAUACCUUUUGAUCUAUCAAAGCCCAAAUUCAAUUGUAUCUUGUCAAUAAUGUGAGAUCAUAGGCUAAGCUCCCAAGGACAAAGACAAGGGCUUGUUUCAGGGUUGUUUCUCCAAGCCUAACUAGAAUCAUGGGCUUGCCUUAAAGGCUUUACAAACUGAGCUUAAAGGAAAGGGAGACGGGCUUAGUCUGCUUCAAGUCCUAAAGGCACCACUUGGUGCUGCAGCUUAAAGAAACAAAAGUAAAAAAGGAAAGAAAAUUUGAAAGCAAUGCCGUUUCAAUCUCCUCCAAAGCCCAACUAGAACACCGGUUUCUCCAAAUUUUUGGACAAUCAGAAGCCUUCAAGUUCAAAAAAAAUCCACUGAAAAUGAUUUCAAGUUUCCGAUUGCCCGAGGAGCAUUCAAUGCUCUGUAUAUUGUUGACAAUGGAGGCCAAGCGUGCUUCUAGCUUUUUUUUUCUUUUUAAAUUUUGGUUUAAUUUAUUUAUUAAUCAUUAUUAAGAAAGGUGUCUNGCUUUUUUUUUCUUUUUAAAUUUUGGUUUAAUUUAUUUAUUAAUCAUUAUUAAGAAAGGUGUCUACAAUAUAUAAUAUAUAUAUAUAUAUAUAUAUAUAUUAAUAUAUAUUAUAAACAUCUACCAGCCAACUACAAAUUCACUGAAUGAACUACUCAAAAUGCUGUUUUUCUGGAUUGAUCCUUUCAUAGCGUCACCAAUUACAAGAAUUAAGCAAUGUUAUGUGCUCAAAGUAAAAUCAUUGCCUUGUAUGUGUGUGUAUAUACAUGUACACAUGUACAUACAAUCAUGUCUAUAUGCAUAUAUCUUAUACACACACAUAAAUACAUCCAUUAGAACAAGGUUUGACCUAAAGAUCCCUACCUAAUUAUUCAAUACUAUCCUACCACUUGAGCUAAACUUGAGUGGCACCAUUCCAGGAGUUCUCUUUUUACUUUCCUUUGAUUCCCUUUGAUAGCCCCAAAUAAUUCACAAAUGGCUCAAAAGGACAAAUACUCUCCUGCCCUCAAGCUGCUUCAUCAUGUUUUAACUCCCACCACUCACCAAGGAGAACUGCAAGCUCCUGAACCAGUAGGACAUCUAUGUACCCUUUCACCCGAAUUUAAAGGAAAGACAAACUCACUCUGUUAUAUGAGACAGGGAGUAUCAUAUACAUUCCAACUAAACCAAGACAGACUGCUUCAUUUGUGCCGUUUCAUGCCCUUAUAUAUGCAGAAGGAAAAGGUCAAAUCAAGCUUAUGAUGAUUGCUUGCUCACCACCCUCCCUCCUAAUAUGCAGGGAUGAUUUGAGCACAACACAUGCCAUAGAAGACAGAUGUAACUGCCAAUAUGAGAUCAUGCCUCAACCACAAAGAUUGACAUUAAAGUACAACUAUUCAACCUCUAGCACACUGGAUAAUCAGGAGACUUGGUCCAGUUCUCAUCUGCCAGACCUGUGCAUGAUGUGGUCAAGUAAAGAUGUUCAGAUACUCAACCACUCAUUAAAAAAUGGAUGUAUAACUUCCAUAUCAAGUACAAAACAGUAAAAAUUACAGGUUUUUUUUUUUGGCUAAAUGUGAGCUCUACUAAAUGAAGUUCUAAGAGCUGCACAAUGAAAACCAUCUAGAGAAGUACUAUAGUUUUCACUCUCCAACAACACAACUUAGUCUACAACAGCAAAGCCGAAAAUCUGUCAAAUGUAUAUCCUGAAUAGAGGAAAAAUUAGUUACAUUGAAUCCACGUAUGAAAGGAUUAAAUUAAGAUGUUUGCUUAUGGAGUGAACAUAGUUUAGGAUAAUCUGUCAAUCCGUUCACACAAUUAGAGUAAUAAGUCAAUUCAUGCCCACUAUUAUUUUCACUACAAUUCUAUAAUAAUUCAAUCCCAACUAUCUUUAGUGUAACAGUCCACUUGUAUGUAGCGCCUAUGCACCCCAUAAGCAAGGAUGAUUAGAUGAUAUGGACUCACUACUAAAUAGUAAUGCAUCGUUAUCAUUGUGACGAUAAAUGUUGAACAAAUGACUUCAUCUCGGGCAAAUGAUUGAGGCUUCUCUUCUGACUUCCUGUUUGACGUUUGUUCACUCUGCCAUAUCAUUUUAGAGAAAGAACCACUUGUGGAACAUGUUGCAGACACAACUUUUGACAAAAUAGCUCCUACCAAGGAACGGUUCCUAUCUUCUGAGAGUCUUGAACAUAAUUAAACAAAAGUUUAUCAAUAACGCAGCAAAAGAAAAGAAAACGAGAAGCUACCCAUGAAAGAAUCCGUUCUUGUAAUGAAAGAUAAAUCAUAUUAUAUUUCAAAAUGCAAUGAGACUAACCUGAAAGCUGAGAUCAAAGCAUCAUCUCCAAUGGUGACUGCACAUUAGUAACGUUGACUUGACUGCCCAACAAUAAAAAAAGCAGCUGAAUUCAAAUACCAGAAUAACUUCAGAAAGCUGCACGAUAGUAAUGUUGCAGGCACAACUUUUGACAAAAUACCUCCUACGAAGGAAUGUGUUUCCAUAACUGGUAAUCUACCAUAAGAGUUUCCUAUAUCCUCUAAAUCUUUCUUUGGUUUCUGAUCCCAAAAACGAGAAUGUGUUUCUUGAAAUGACCUUUGAAGCGUACUCGACAUUACUCAUUUAAGUUAGUUAUCUAAGUUGGUCAAACACGUACACAAAUCUAAUGCUUUGCUUCUGCAUGAGAUAAACAGGCAAGGCUCUUGCCAUGUUUCAAAAUAACUAUUACACAUUUAAGCAGGGAACUCACCUGAAUAUCAGACACAUCAAAACGUGCAAUCACGCCAGGUAUGACAACACAAACCUCCUCUGAGGAUAAAUCUUGUGUCAUAUCUUUCUUACUUCCACAGACUCUUAAGUUUACAACGUGUCUUGGAUAUACCAUCUAAAAUCAAAAAUUAAACUAAUAAGUUCACCAUUCGAAUAACGAUUUAUCUCUAACUUAUUUCAACUUAAUAACUUUAGAUCCAACUGAUGUUAACAUAAGAAGACUUCAUUCGGCUCAUCAGUUAAAAAACACAUUCAACCUAUAAGUUUACAUGAAAAUCUACAAAACACACCAAAUUAUGUUCAUUUCACUUUGCACUUUCUAAAACUGUAUCAUCCAUUGAAGGUAAAAUUAAAAAACUGAACACAUAAAUAAAUCCAGCAUUCAAUAAAUACAUCAAGCUAAGCAAACGAAAAAAGCAAUCAUUUUUGAAGAAUGAAAAAUGAAGAUGUAACUUAUUUAGAUAAUGAAAUGCAUAAUUCUACUUUUAUAUGAGGUAACUAAUUAUUCCAGUCAUUGUUCAUUUAAUCAAUUACAUAAUUUUGCUUCAAAGUAAACUUUCAAGCAAUAGCAAUAACAACCAAACCAAACUCAAAACACAUAAAAAGAAAAAUUACCUGUCUAUGAAUCAAAUCACCACGCAAAGAGUAAACCAAGAUAAAAGGAAAGUGGUGCUGGCGUUGGCGAUGAGGAUAAGAGAUCGGUUAGCGAUGGCGAGACAAUGAGCAUCGAGAGCACAGAGGAGAGAGGUGCUGGCGUUGGGGGCAGCGCCGAACUCGGACAAGUCUUCGUAGGCGAUGCAGCCGAGAUCCGUCAAGUGACGAUGGCUCUGUUUCGACAUUGCGUCGGGCUUCCGGGUUUCUUUUUUCUGUGUCUCUUGUCUCUUUGGCAACUGACAUUACGGAUUGGAAAGGAAAGAAUUUUGUAUAUGAAAGGAAAGCGGUGACUGUGGGAUCCACGUGUAUGGUUGGGAAGAAAAUUCAGAAAAUUAAUUAAAAAUUAAAAUGAAUGCAUUGGAACGUUUUUAUUUUAUUUAAAGUCUUCCAAAUUACAACAUUUUCAAUACAAAUCCUAAAUUCAUCAGGAAAAAAAUAUAUAUAUAUCUUCUUCAAAACUUGUCUAUUCCACAUAAACUUCAAAUAAAUGCUGCUGAACAUGAAUAGCAAAUUAUCCACUAAGAACACCUGGAAUUGUUCAAACCACUACCAUGGAAAAGCCAGAUGCUAGAGAAACAGGGUCCAUUGGAUUCGGUUCGUAAGCUACCUUGACAAAUAGAAAAAAAAAAACAAAGGAAAAAUCAAUUAUAGAUUACAAAAGCAACGAAAGCUUUGUUGUAAUUCUACUUUGGUAAAAAAACUCACCUAUGCAUGAUGUGGAUGUAGUGCUAGUUUCUUCUUCCUCUGUUUCUGCUAAUCCACUUUGUAACAUUGUUUUGCCAAUCUCUCUCAACCAUUCUGAUAAACCACCAUGGUCUUGCUGUUGUGAACACAAUGUAUCCCAUGCUCAAUCCUAACACCACUCCACAUCCGUAGCCCAUCAUUACAACUUUCCAAAUAAAGGCUAUUUCAGAACCUUCAUCUUCCUUAGGCAUUGGUACCGGUGGUUUUGGUUCCUCAUCAUUGCCGCAUUGCUUUGACAGGUGGAGGCCACACAAUCCCAAGUUACCACUAUAAGAAUCACUCUCAAAAGUAUCAAAUUGAUUCCCACCGGGAAUUGGUCCGGUAAGAGCAUUUUGUGAAAGAUUUAACACUGCAAGGAAUGUCAGCUUCGUCAAUUGGGAAGGAAUUCUGCCACCGAGCUUGUUUGAUGAGAGAUCUAACGAUUCAAGUGCUACCAUCUUUCCAAAAGAUGUUGGGAUAGGACCAAUUAAAUGGUUGUUAGAGAAGUUGAGCGCUUGGAGCGAAAUAAGUUCUCCGAGUUCCUUAGGAAUUUGUCCAUAGAAUAAAUUGCUCGAAAAGUCUAUAGACAUGAAAAUGUCUAAGGUUCGUGCUAACUCCAUCUCCAAUCUUUUCAUUGUUACAUUCACAGAAACAUUCAUAGAAAUUUGCUGAUAGACACUUACAUAUACUUUUCCACCUUUGGCUAUGCAAUCCUGAUAGCAGUAUUUAGAACUUUUUUGAAGGGGACCAUCAGUGUCACCUGUAACGUCAAUAUACCCCCGUGAGCUUGAACCCUGAUAAUGCAUAUACCCCAGUGAGCUUGGAUUCUGAUGUCUCUUUUGAGGUUCAUCUUUCAUUGCUCUCAAAUUUUGGAAGAAUUUUGUUGGCAAGGGGCCAGUGAGCUCAUUAUGAGAGAGAUCAAUUAUUUGCAACGAGGAGAAGUUAGACGAAGCUAUGGAAUUGGGCAUGGGACCAUACAAUCUAUUAUUUCGCAAAAGAAGAACUUGUAGCUCAGGAAGUGAAGCUAACCAAUGGGGAAAGGUAUCAGUAAACUUGUUGUUCCUUAAAUUCAAAACUUUCAAAGAACUACAAUUAGCCAAAGAUUGCGGCAAUAAUCCUUCCAAUUGGUUGUCAUUAAGGAGAAGAUAUCUCAACUGAUCAUUUGUAAAAGAAUCAGGGACUUUGCCAUAAAAAUUAUUCAUCUCCAAAUUCAAGAACUUGAGAUAAAUGCUGAAAUUUCCAAUAUAAUUUGGAAUGGUUCCAUUCAAGUUAUUUCUAGACAAGUCAAGAAACACAAGUGAACUUUGAUCGCGAAUCAAAAGAUUUGACAGAAUUGGCCCUUGAAGCAAGUUGGAUCGAAGGUCAAGAACUCGAAGAUUCUUUCCUGGAAAUUGCUCCAAAGUGGUCAAAGAGUUAUUAGAAAGGUGCAACUCGAGCAAGCUUUCCCACCCUUCUGCUUCCCAUUUGGAAAUUCCACCACAAAUCUUGUUAUAGGAAAGAUCUAAAAUCUCCAAAUUUGAUUUUUGAAAGAAACUUGGGAAUUGUCUUAUGCUACAAAAAGAGAAUGACACAGUAGCAAGCUGGGGGAAGGAAUAGUUUGCAUCAUUACCGCCUGUGCUUAAUGAUAGUAAACUAUUAUUAGAAAGAUAAAGAUGGGAAAGAUUUUCGAGUUUUGCAAGCAUAUUUGACUUGAUGACACCACUCAAGUUGUUUGAUGAAAGAUCAAGUUUUUCAAGGUUCACAAGAUCAAAAAAAAAACUGGGUAUUGGACCAUGAAUGUCAUUAGAACUCAAAUCAAUGUUUCGGACAGAAUUAGGCUUCUGAAUUUGGUCGAUUGGGCCGGUGAGUUUAUUAUGGCUGAGAUCUAAAUCUUGCAACGAUGGCAAAGUAAACAGCCAAGAUGGUACUCCACCACUUAUUAGGUUAUUAGAUAACCAAAAUCCUUCUAGCAAUUGAAGCUCACUAACAUGAUUUGGCAGUGGACCUUCUAAUUGAUUAUGUGACAAAUUUAGUAGGGUAAGUUGUGUGAGGUUGAACAUAGUUGUUGGAAGUUGACCACUAAAAUUGCAAGAAUCAAAUUUCAAAGUAGUUAAUCUGUUAAGGUUUUCAAAAGCAUCUGGAAUCUGUCCUUCAAAAUCAUUUUCAGAAAAAUCUAAAAAGACAACUUGAGUGAGAUUUCGAAAUGAUGCAGGAAUUGAGCUAGAGAAUCCAGAACGAGAGAGAUUAAGAUGGGUCAAACUCACUAACUUAUUAAAUAACUCUGAAGAGAUAGAGCCAUCGAAAUUGUUGUGAGCAAGGUUGAGUUGUUGUAGUCCUUGAAAGUGGAAGAGGCUGCUGUCUUCAAGAAGAGAGCCAUGAAGGUUGUUGGAACUGAGAUUGAGCCAUUGAAGUCUUUGAAGGUGGAAGAGGCUGCUGUUCGCAGGGAGAGUGCCGUUAAGGCAACUGUUACUAAGGUCGAUGCCAAUGACAUGACCCGUCACCGUGUGGCAAAAGACUCCAUCCCAUGAACAGCAAUCCGUGCUUUCAUUCCAAGAAUUUGUCCUUGGGCAAUCAUCACAAUAAUGAUCCAAAGAAAUGGUGUUUUUGAAUUCAAGCAAGGCAGCUCUCUGUUCUGGGAGGCAUAAAUGAGCCGAAUCAAGAAAAGAGGAAGAGAAACUCAAUAAACAAUGGACCUGGAAAUGCAAGAACGCUAAAAGCAGGAAAAGGAUUGGAUACAACAUCCUAACUACCUUUCCUAUGUUUUCUCGAGAAAAAGGAAGUUACGAAACAAGGGUAGUCGAAAAAGGGCAAGCUAAGGGGGUGGAACUGAAAAUGAGUUGUGGUUGAGGUUGAGGGACAUUAAUUAUAAAUGAAGUACCUGAGAAGUGGAGACAUCUCUUUUUCAAGUCUUUGCAAAAUGUUUAUAUUAAUGAAUUUCCAGUCAAGUCUUGUCAACUUGAAAAUUUAUGUCUGGAAUCAAAAUUAAAUUAACGGAAUAAAAAGGAAAAGUGUAUGUACCGAGUGUGACAGGAUGGCACUAAACAAUAUUAAAAGAAACUUCAAGAUGAUAGAAAGGAGAGGAAUCGGUAAAUUGCUGGAAAAGUGUACACGCAUAUUUUUCUCAUCAUUCCAUUGCAUUUUCAAGUUCAAAAGCACCUACUAAAAGUUAGAGUAGCAUUAUUUUUCCUUAUAUUUUGUUUUUACUAUUUAACUCACCUGCUAAAAAAUUUAUCAAUUUUUGAUAAGUCAAUUUAUUUGUAAACACAAUGCUCAAAAUUGAAUCAAUUUAUGAUACUUCGAUAAAUAGUACAAAACAAACGACAAGUAAGAAUUAUACAAAAAGAAUAUUGAAUAUUGUUUUGAAAACAAUCCAAAAGAUUGUGACAUGAACUUUGAAACAAAAAGAUUAAUAAAAUUGAUCAUAUAAGUGACAAUUCAACUGUGAAAACUAUCAAGUCAAAAGGAAGAUGGAAAACAAUUCAUUUCUCCUUAGUUCUCUUAUAAUUAUUAGUAUUUAUUAUCAUGUGUGUUGUACAUAAAAUUCUUUAAGUUUCAUGAUGUGGAAGAUGAGAUUUUUUUCUUAAUUGGCAUAUAAACACUGAAUUUUAAUAAUCUUGUAAUACAAUCUAAUGAAAAAAACUAGAAAAUAUGGGAUUCUUUUUGGUUUUUUAACAAAAAAAUUAUGAUAUUUUUGUUGGUCUUAUAUUCCAAAAAAAAUUUAUUAACAGCAAAAAGAAAAGUAUAUUGAAAGAAUGAAAUUUGAAAAGCCAAAAGAAUAACAAAAAGAAGCAUUAUAGGCUCAAUAUAUUUUUUAUCCUUAAUAACAGCUUAAGGGUAAUAAAAUAAAGAAGAGAGGUAGAUUUAAAAAGAUUAAAUUAUGUAAUUAAUUUUUAUAUUUUAUAAAAAAUAUGAAUUUAGCUUUUAUAUAAUAAUUUGUGAAAAAUGUGGAUUUAGGGAUGGUGAGAGAGAGCAUUUUUUGUUUGGCUUGUGAAUACAAAAUUAGACUUCUAACUAGUAAACUAUCACUUGCAAUGAUGAUAAACUACAAGUCUACGAAUAAACUAGAACGGACUUAGCUUCUUCUUCUUUUUCUUUAAAGGCAGAGAGGAUUUAACUUAAUUGUAAACAAGUAUCAUAUUUGUCAAAGAAGUUAUGAUUACAGGUCUUUAUGAAAAGGAUUUCGAGGGCACGCAGACAAACAGGACAUGUCCUGAAAGCAGCUAAAAGGGUAAAAUAAGUGUGUAGUUGAGGAUUUUCGCCAAUCUUUUUUGUUAAUUGGUUGUUAAUUGUUUUUCCCUGAUCUUUGUAGUUAAUCUCAUUUGAUUUAGGACUAAGAUGUUUGUCUCCCUCUAUUCGAUUGUUAACAUUUUUUGUCUCCUAAUUUUUUUUUAAUCUCAUUUAAUUUAAGGUUAAGGUAUUUGAGAUUAAAAUUUGAUGGAUUUUUGUCCAUUGAUAUCCACAACAUUUUUGCCACAUCAGCAAGUGCACAUCAACAUUUUCACCAUAUCAACAAGUGCCAUGUUAGCAAAAUGCAUGUUAUCUGUUCAAUCAAUGCCAUGUCAACACAUAAUCAACACCAUUUACAUUUUUUUUAUAAAAUAUAGAGACUAAUUCUAAAAUUUAAUUAUUUAAAAAUUAUUUUUAUAUAUAUCAUCACUGAAAAUUUUUAAACCUGUAAGCAGAGUUAGAAAGUUACCAUGUAUCACAUAUUAAAUUAAUAGACAAAUUAAUAUAAUAAAUAAAUAAAUACAUGAAAAUAUUCUAAUUUUUUUUUGUUAAAUUUAAGAACUCAACAGGGGAUGAUAUGUAGUCCAAAAAAGAUAGUCUUUGUUUACAUUGUCAUGCUUUAUACACAGUUAGUCUUCGGCAACUUUCCCAGCAAUUACUGAUUGCUUCAAAUGUGGGAUAUGCUUUUGCUUUUCUUUGGUCUUAAUUAAUUAAUUUACUUCGAAUUCCCAUUACAUGCUUAGCUUUUGUUUGAUCUUUAAUUAAUAUAUUUACCAGGACUCUUCAGCUGAUAUGACUUCUCUUUUCUAGGUGUUGGGUGUUAAAACAAUGAAAGGGACCUCCUUCCCACGAAUUGGGUCCUAAUAAAUCAAGCUUUUUUACUAUCGCAAAUAAUUAUUUAAGGCUUUGUUUUCCUAAUAAUUUAAUGGUUUCGAACAAACCAAGACCAAGUCAUGACUCUCUUUCAAAGUAAAUCUUAAAAUGUUUCUGUAGACAUAAUUCCUGAGCAUAUAAUUUCUUAAGCAUGCUACUUGAAUUGCUAGUUUCUUCAUCCUCCAUUACUAUUAUAGGUGAUUAUAUAGGUGCAUUCCAUGUAUAAUUUUAUGUGUUUGAGAAAGUACUUCUAGGAAAAAAAUAGUAAUGAGAACAAAAACAAAUAAUUUUUUUCCUUUUCUCCCUCAAGAGCAAUUUUUCUUUUAAAAGUGAUUUUUUUUAAAAAAAAAUGAUUUUAUUAACAAUAAAACCAAUAUGCCAUCCGACGUCUCUACACGAUUGCUAAAGACUUCUGUUAGCAUAUAAUUCUAACUUCUGCGUCAUCAAGACUUAUGAGAUCUUCUCAUGUAAAUCCUUACAAUUGAUAUUAUAGCAGCAUAAAACCAUGGAGGACCAAUUAGGAAUUCAGUGGAAAAGUGAUGACAGCAAUAAAUAAUUUUAUCAUCUAUGGCAAGGUUGUUAAAUGUAACCUUUAUCAAGUUUAAAGGAUUUAUAUAUAUAUAUAAUUAAAGGAAGGGAAAUUCGAAUCUUACUCUUUAGGUAAGAGAUCAUGCAUCAAUUAAUAAGUCAAUGUUUAAAUGUUUUAUUAAGUCUAAAAUUAUUUUUAAUAAAUUCAUACAUUUGAUUCAUUGAUUGACACAAUUAAAUCAAAUUUCUUUUUUUUCAAAUAAAAUAAAAUAAAAAUAUAAAACGAAUAAAAUAGUUUUUUGUCAUAUAGAAACGCAUCAAUGGCUGUCCAGUUCACAUUUUAGAAAGCCAUUUUGAUGGGAGGUGGGGGUGCAACUUCAAUUGUCCUUUCCAAGAAAGCACCAGCAACAUCACAAGAUAUGAACUAGUAAUUACACAGCUUCUUAAUGUUCCAUAACUGGUAUUCUAUUUUUUUUUCCUUCUGGCUAUUCCAAAACGGAAUCUGUUGCUUGAAAUUACUGUUGAAGCAUACUGUUACUGUAGGAUACCAGAUGAGGGAAAAAUUAUAGUCAUAAUUUAAUUUUAUAUUUUUUUAUAUUUAAAAAAAAAAAUUACAAAAUUUUAAUUUUUUUGAAGUAAAAAAUUAUGCACCAACUAAUGAAUUAAAUGUUCAAGUGCGAUUUUGCAAUGCUUUGCUCUUACGUCAUAUCAUAAUUAACACUAUCUGCAUUCAUGUCUCGUUCCAAUUUCACCAUCUUGAUUUUUUUUAUUUUUUUUUCAAGAAAAAGAGAGAUAACUUAAAAGUAAGAAUCUAUGUCAAAAGCAAAACGUGUGUGACGGGAUGGUACUUUUUUUUUUAUGAAAAGUGUUGAUUUUAUUGAGCCAGCGUUCAACCUGCCACUUCAAGUCUUUAGUCUUGAUUGACUAAAGACUCUUGGUGGCAUAAAAGUUGUUUUAGCUGGAUAAAAGCCUGUACACUUGUGAACAUAAAGAGAUCUACCCAAAGGAAAAUUGGCAUGACAUUCCCUGAACAGAAUCCAGCCCUGAAAACAAAAGCAUCCUAAAAUCAACCCGAUUCCAGACAGCAAGACCCUCCCAGUGGUUACAAAAGAGCACUCCCACCGCAGAGAUCCCCCUCGGAGGAUGCCGAUCAUCUCAACGCAAGCAAGAAGUCCCAAAGAAGUGAUCAAAAAAGGACAUGUGAGAAAACCACACCAAACUUAACAAUAUUAAAGGAAAAGCUUCAAGAUGAUAGAACGGAGAGGAAUCUAGAAAUUGCUGGAAAAUUUUAUAAGCAUGUUUUUCUCAUCCUUGCAUUGCAUUUUCAAGUUAAAAAGCACCUACUAAAAGUUAGACUAGCAUUAUUUUUCUUUGUAUUUUUUUUGCUAUUUAACUCACUUGAUAAAAAAAUUAAAUAAUUUAAAAAUAAGAUUUAUCAAUUUAUGAUAAAUCAAUAUAUUCAUAAAUACAAAUAUUCAAUAUUAAAUCAAUUUAUGAUUCUUUUGUCAUUGAUAUAAAACAAAUGAAAAGUAAAAAUAAUACAAAAACAAAAUUGAAUAUUGUUUUGAAAACAAUACAAAAGACGGUAAUGUGAACUUUGAAACAAAAAAAGUAAUAAAAUUGAACAUAUAAGUGACAAAGAGAUGAUAAUUGAAAUAAACAUUUAAUUUUUGUUCCUUUUUAUUAACAAAAAAUUAAACUAAACUUCAUGUUUUAGUUGUAUAACUUUUAAAAUAGAUUAAACAUAAAAAAUCAGAUAGUUGAAUUGAAAAUUUUCCUAAAAUGCCCCGUUUGUUGGAGUUUCUGAUUUUACUUCUAAAAUUAAUCCAUAAUUUUCUGUUCAAUUUUUUUAACAGAAAAAUGCAGCUAUGAAAUCAUUUUUGUAUGUAGUUGAGGUAAUUAAAAAAUUAAAAAUUUAUUGAAUAAAGGAACUUCUUAUUAUAGAUUGCAACAAAUUCAGGUCAUCUUCAGAACAACUUUAAGAAAUUGGAAUGAUUAUUAUUAUUAUUAUUAUUAUUAUUACAAUUAAAGUGAGGGCCAGAGGGAGCUUUUUCUGUUUGUUUUUUUCCAAGAAAAAGAGAGAAAGCUCAAAAAGGAAGAAAUUCAUUUCACAUGCAAGAAGCCGUGUGUGACAAAACUAAAACCACUUUCACACACAAUCAAACUGCAUUUGCAUUUUCACCUUAAAACCACUUUGCUAAAACUUGAAAAGGAAAAGCAUGAAAGCGUCUUCACUCUUUCAAACAGUUUUUUCUCAAAAGAUUGGGCCUGCUACUCUUCACUCAACAAACUUAAUUCAGUCUUGCAUGGAUCCUUAGCUGCAAAAUUAAACAAAAUGACAAGAAGAGGCUAUGAAAUUAAAAGAAUAUAUACAAGAAAUACAGUAAAGAAUAUAUAUUAUUAUAUAUGUUUAAUGGCUUAUGAAUAUGAUAAUAUAGAUUCCUCGAUCAUCAUUUAUGCAUUUAAAUUAUUUAAUUAUUUAUAUUAUUUUAAUGUUUCAAUGUUAACAUUUUUAUUUAUAAUCACUAUUUAAAUUUGAUUGAGGAGUUUUAAAUUUUUUAUAUAAUGUAUAGAAUAAAGAUUCAAUUUGUAUAUACCUAUUUAAGUAUAUUAAAUUGUGGUUCUUGCCCUCAAAAUUAGAGAUCAAGAUUCUUAUUUCAAAUUAUUAUAAUGAAAGUAUGUACUACUACUUUUUCCAUUUAAUUUUUAAUUUAGAAUAUCUAAAUUAAACAAAAGGUUAACAUUAUUUUGAGUUGUUUGUAUUUUUUCCCUUUUCAUUUCUUUAUUAUUUUUUCAUUCAGUAUUUUUUUUUCUUAAUUGGCAUAUAAACACUGAAUUUUAAUAAUCUUGUAAUACAAUCUAAUGAAAAAAAUUAGAAAAUAUGAGAUUCCUUUUGGUUUUUUUACAAAGAAAAUAUGAUAUGUUUGUUGGUCAUAUAUUCAAAAAAAAUUAUUAACAGCAAAAAAAAAUGUACAUUGAAAGAAUGAAAUUUGAAAAGAAAAAGAAUAACAAAAGAAGCAUUAUAGGCUCAGUAUAUUUGUUAUCCUUAAUAAAGCCUUAAGAAUAAUAAGAUAAAGAAGAGAAGGUAGAUUUAAAAAUUAUUUUUGUAUACAUCGUCAAUGAAAUUUUUAAAAUCUUCAAGCAGAGUUAGAAAGGUACCAUGUAUCACAUUUAAGUAUAUUAAAUUAAUUAAUAAAUUAAUAUAAUAAUAGAAACAUAUAAAAAUAUUUUAACUUUUUGUUAAAUAUAUAGUCCAAAAAAGAUAGUCUUUGUUUACAUUUUCAUGCUUUAUACACAGUUAGUCUUCGCAGCUGAUAUGACUUCUCUUUUCUAGGUGUUGGGUGUUAAAAUAAUGAAGGGACCUCCUUCACACUAAUUGGGUCCUAAUAAUUCAAACUUUUUUAGCAUCACUCAUAAUUAUUUGAGGAUUUAUUUUCCUAAUAAUUUAAUGGUUACGAACAAACCAAGGCCAAGUCAUGACUCUCUUUCAAAGUAAAUUUUAGAAAUGUUUCUAUAGACAUAAUUUCUGAGCAUAUAAUUUCAUAAGCAUGCUACUUGUAUUGCUAGUUUCUUCAUCCUCCAUUACUAUUAUAGGUGAUUAUAUAGGUGCAUUACAUGUAUAAUUUUAUGUGUUUGAGAAAGUCAUUCUAGAAAAAAAAAAACAUAAUAAUAAUGAGAACAAAACCAAAUAAUUUAUUUUUUCUUUUAUCUAUCAAGAGCAAACUAUUUAUGGAAGUUGCGUGGGAUCUCCUCAUGAAAAUCCUUACAAUUGAUAAUAUUAUAGCAGCAUAUAUAAAACCAUGGAGAAUAAAGGAAUUUAGUGGACAAGUGAUUACAACAAUAAAUAAUUUUGUCAUUUACAGCAUGGUUGUUAAAUAUACCCUUUAUCAAGCCUGAAGUUGCUUUUAACGCAUUCAUACAUAUGAUUCAUUAUUUGACGUAAUUAAAUCAGAUUGCUUUUUCUUUAAAUAAAAUAAAAUAAGAAAGAAGGAAAAGGGGCAACGUAUUGUCUUGUCAGAUAAAAAAGCAUCAACCAUAUUGUCUAGUUCACAUUUCAGAAAAGCCAAUUUUCAAUGGGGGGUGGGGCACAGUAGUAAUUUUCUCAAAAAGGCAUAAAUCAUAUUUAUCAAGAACAAGAUAUGAACUUGUAAUCGCACAGGUUGUUAAUGUUCCAAAACGGAAUCUGUUGCUUGAAAUUACUAUUAAAGCAUACUUUAGGUUUAGGAUACCAGCUGAGGGAAAAAUUAGUCAGAACUUCAUUUUGCAAUGUUUUGCGAUUGCUCCUGCAUCAGAUCAUAGUUAAUACCAUCUUGGUUCAUGUCUUAUUCCAACUACAAUAUUUAGUAGAUUAUUACUCCACCUAAAAGAAAGAAGUUUUUGAAGAAAAUACAAUACAAAUCAUUUUUAGUCUUCGUGAUUUGUGCUCUUUUAAGUUUUUAAGUUUUUUGUUUAGCGCAAUACCUUUUAAUCAUCAUAAUUGAAAGGUUGAAGAGAUAUUUUUUAUUGGCAAAGAAGUAAAACAAGGUUUUAACCAUCAUAAUUGAAAGGUUGAAGGGAUAUUUUAGCAAUUAAAACUUGAAAUAUAUGAAAGGUCUAUUAUUUUUUUAAUACAUUUAUCAUCAUCUUUUACGUGACUAAUAUUCAUUUAUAAAUUAUGAAUCUUUUGUAUGAAUGAAUUGAGUUUUAUGCAAGGUAAUGUAUCAAGAAAGUUAAUUGUUAAAUUUCUUUUGUUUUAGUUCUUUUAUGAAUAUUAAUAUUUAUUGUCACAUGUAUUGUAAGUAAAUACUUCCUUUCAAUUUUAUUUUCAAAUAACAAUUAUAUGUGAAAUAAAACUAUUUCUAAAAUAUAAAGUUAAUUAUCUAUAAAUAAAAGAUAAUUCAUGUUUUAAUUAUAUAUAAUUGAUAUUUUUUUAUUAUUAACCAUUAAGGUAUUCAAAACUGUUAAAAUUAAUAAAAAUAUUUUUGAAGGAAAAUCAUUAAAUAUAAUUGAAAAUCUUAUUUAUAAAUGAGAUAAAAUAUUAUUAUAUUUAUAAUGAAAAAUAUUUUUAAUCAAAGUUAUUUGAUGUGAUUAAAUUCUUACAAAUUAGAUAAAUUUUAUUAAUAUUAAUGAUAAAAAUAUUUAAAAUAAUAAUUUAAACAAUAUAAUAAACAAAUAUAAUUAUUUUCAUUGAUCAAGAAAUUAUUCUAACAUUCAUACUUAUAUAAUUAUAUAUACCUACCAGCCAACUACAGAUUACACGACUUGGGGGAUGUUAUUUGCUGAAAAUAAAAUCAUUGUCUUAUAUGUGUGUAUAUAUACAUGCACACAUAGACAUUCAAACAUGUCUAUAUGCAUGCAUCUUACACACAUAAAUACAUCCAUUAGAACAAAGUUAGACCUAAAAAUUAUCAUUCAUUGACCAAAAAACAAGUCAAGUUUCUUUAUCAAAUUAAGCCAUUUUUUUCCACUGCAUUUGCAUUAUCAUUCAUUGACAAAAAAACAAGUCAAGCUUCAAACAGGAUUCAAAGGAGAGGAGAUAGGAAAUUGCUGGAAAAGUUUUCCCAUCCUUCCACUGCAUUUGCAUUUUCAAGUUAAAAGCACUUUUCUAAAAGUUAAAAAGGAAAAAUCUUAUAGAAAGAAAAAGCAUGAAAGCGUGUUGAAUGUAGUUUUCAAUCUCUUUGAGACAGUUGUUUUUCAAAUGAUUGCAUGUAGUUUUCCCUUAACAAAUUUGUUAAAAUAAUUAUACAAAUUAUUUAGUUAGAGGUAUUAUACAACACUAUAAUCUGGUUAGAUUAUAAAUCUAGUUAACAAUUAUACUGUAAUACUAUUAGUUAAUUAGAGUUAAAUUAUGAAUAAAAUUAAGAUAACAUACAUAAUUUAGAUUUCCCAAUCAAAAUAAAAAAUGAGGAUAGGUUUAACCACAGAAAAAAAAACUCAUCCACUUUGUUAUUGCUUGAUAUCUUGAUCACGAACUUCGCUGCCACUUGAUAUCUUCACUUCAAAAAUCUUUUACUCUUCAAGAUUUUUGAAAUGUUCUGGAUCUUUGAAUGCUUAUGAAUGAAUCAAAUGGCUUUGAGGAGCCCCAUAUUUAUAGUGUUAGAUGAGAGACCUUGAUGAGGAUGUGGUCCUUUUGAAUUAUCUCUAAAUUAUUUUAAUUUAAUUAAAGGUGAAUUAUGAUGACUCAUUGAAAGUCUUUUGAUUGGCCGAACUAUGAGUCCUUGAAUUUUGAUUGGCCAAAUAUAAGUUUUAUCUCUAAAUUUACUUAGAGAUAAAUUAAAUAAUCAAAUUUGAUUUUUAUCUCUAAAUUAUCAUUCAUUAGAGAUAAAUUAGAUAAUCAAUAAUUAAAUUUUGAUUGAUCAAAAAUAUGAAUAUUAUUUUUAAAUUAUCUUGAUUUAUUUAGAGAUAAAUUAGAUGACCAAUAAUUAAAUUAUGAUUGGUCCAAAAUAUGAAUCUUAUCUCUAAAUUAUAUUGAUUUAUUUAGAUACAAAUUGGAUGACCAAUAAUUAAAUUUUGAUUGGUCAAAAAUAUGAAUAUUAUCUCUAAACUACAUUGAUUUAUUUAGAGAAAAAUUGGAUGACUAAUAAUUAAAUUUUGAUUGGUCAAAAAUAUAAUUUUUUUUUUUAUAAUUGUGGGAGGGGGAUUCGAACCCUGCUAUUUUAAGUAAGGGAUCAUGCCCCAACCAAUGAGCUAAAUGCUCAGGUGCGGUCAAAAUAUGAAUAUUAUCUUUAAAUUAUUUUUAUUUAUUUAGAGUCAAAUUGGAUGACCAAUAAUUAAAUUUUGAUUGGUCCAAAAUAUGAAUAUUAUGAAAUGCCCCGUACUUUGAUAUGGUGACAAAUAAAACUUAUCGGAUGUGAAUUGAGGUAUAAUAAGGUAUUUUGAGAACUAAGGUGUCAAACCCUAUUCUAUAAAAUAAUUACGACGUCAUUUACAUGCUCAAUAGAAUGUUUGCAUAUUUAGGAAGUUCGAGAAAUCGUUAAAAGACGAUAUUACCCCUAAUGGUACCAUUAAGUCAAUUAAGCCUCGAAUUAGUUCAAAUAGGAAUUUUAAGGUGAAAUUAAGAGUUUCACAGUUUAGGGGUGACUCAAAAUGGUAAUUCAGAGUUCGAGGAUCAAUUUGGAGUCAAACCGAAAUUUUCACUAUCUAGGGGCAAAAUGGUCAUUUUGCAAUUUGAGGACAAAAUGGGAAUUUUAGAAAAGAUUUUCUUAGCCCCAUUUGACAUGUUUGAGUAUGAUAUGAGUAUUGAAGUACAAUUGGAAGAUUUAGCAGUGAAAAAUAUGAGUUUGCGGUAUUUUUAGUAUAUAAGGGCAAAAUGGUAAUUUUACCACCCGAAAUUGAAAAUUUAAUUUUUGAAAGGAUUUUGAUCAAAUUUAAUUAUUUGGAGUGUGAAAUGAGUAUGAGGAGUGAAAAUUAUGCAUUAUGGCAAAUUUUCAAUUUUUGGGGCAAAAAAAAAGGUAAUUUUUGAAAAGUUCGGGGGCAAAAGUGUAAUUUUGAAAAAUUUACUCCACCAAAACUUUGAAAAAAUUUGAAAAUUUCACUUAAGACUUGGAUAAGUCAAAGGGAAUGCAUGGUGGAAAAAGUAGGACAAGUGGAUGGGUCAAAAAAAAAAGAAUUAAUAAAAUAUUCAAAAUAUGAAUAAACUAAUAAAAAGGCAUAAAAAAAUCAGCCCAUAACCCAUUCUUCUUCUUCAACAUUCGGCCAAGCAAGAAACAAGAGAGAGAAAGGAGAAAAUAAAACCCUAGCCAAGAAAUUUAAAGGGAAAAUUGGUGGAAAUUCAAAAAUCAAGCAAAAAAAAAGGUAACAUUUCUUAAAUUUGUCUUGUGCUUUACCUUUCCCAUGCAUUUCCCAUCAUUUUUCAUGGUUGAAUCAUGUGAUUUGAGGAUGAUUUCAAUUCUGGUCAUAUAUGUUAGUGUUUAGUGUUAGUUUAGCAUAUUUAUGAGUAAAACAACAAGAAAAAUAUUUAUUUUCUCCCUGAAUUUCUCUAGGCCGAAUCUAGCCCAUGGUAUGUGAGGAUGAGGUUGACUUUAUUUUAAGAGAAUUGGGUGGAAAAAUGAUGAAUUAUGAGGUUGAAAAUUAAAUGGGAAUUUUCGGUGCAAUAAAUUAAAAUUUUUACCCACUAGGGGUAAAAACAUAAUUUAUAGUCCGGACUGAUAAAUGGGACCAAAUUCACAGUCAUUGAGUUAUUGUGGAUAUAAUUGGAUAAUUGAAAUUGAAAUAGAUGGAAUUGGAGUUGAAUUGGGGAUUUUAGGAAUUUACACUAUGUAUAGGCGAGUUAGGUCGGACACCGCAAUUAAGCGAUUGUUUAGACAUUUCAAACCCUAUCUAGUGCAUACGCAUGGAUAAGAGCCUGAAAUAAUUUAUGAUAAAUUGACACAAUUUAUUGAAUUUUGUGUCAUGGAUUAUGGAUAGGUGGUGAGUCAAUUAUUUCGGGUAAGAGACUGCACCCGAGGGCAAAAGAUAGGAGUAUUUCUACUCCUAAUACUGUGAGUAACUUUAUCAUCAUUUUAAUUAUCUAAAGUAUGAUUUUAAUCGAUUUUGAUGGAAUUUUAUGAAAAUGAGUUUAAAUGGUUAAUUUUUGGUUUUACAAAUAAAAUAUGUUUAAAUAAAAUGAUUUUAUAAAUUGUUUUGAAACGAAAUAACGAUUUUGAAAAAUAGAGCAAUUGGAGACCACUGGUAUGUUGUAGAUUUAUGAUUUGAAUAAAUGGCUUAUGAUAAUAUUUUCAUGAAUGACUGAAUUGGUAUUUAUGUUGAAAUAUAUGAAAUGUGUAUUUAGCCUUGACAGGCUGUGAAUUACAAUAAUUGCCAUGUCAUGCUAGAAUGAAUUUUAUUGUAUGGUGGGUUAUUUAACUAGCCACUGCAGUAGGCGGAUUUUCGUGGGCCAGCCUAUUAGAGGGGCACGAUAAAUCCCGUUAUGUCUUACCUCGGUAUGAGAGGCGCGGGUGGAUAACUCCUGAGGCUAACAAUUUUAGAGUUCACUUCACGCCGAACCACCUCGUGAUGAUGAACUCCGCUAACGCCAAGGAACAGCUAUAUGUUUCAAAAUAAAAAUAUGAUUUAUGCGAAAUGUGAAUUUUUUUAACAGCCUUGACGGACUCGGUUGGGAUAGCCCUCGAUCAAGGUAUCCUUGAUAACUGAGUAUGAUAAUGAUUUCGACACGAGCUAAAGUUUUAAGAAGUUCGUAAGCCAUACUGAUUACUUGAUUUAAAUAAAUUGAUUUCAUUUGGUUGAAAUAAGUCGAUAAAUGAUAAAUUACUGUUUAAUGAAAUGUUUUUAUAGUCUCAUUUUACUCGCCUUUAGAUGUUUUAAAUUAUAUUUGUUUACUCACUGAGAUUAUAUAAUCUCACCACCCUCCUUUCCAUCAAUUUCAGGCUCAGGAUAGUCGGUAGAUAGCUCAUUUCAUCGAUGGUUACAAUUGGACUGGCAUCCUCAAAAUAUGUAGGUUUAUCUCUUUGGAUACUUUUAGUCGUUCAUGGGCCCACGUGUCACUGCAAAUUUAAUUUUAUACUUUGAUUAUCUGUAUUACAAUAUAUAUGAAUUUAUUUUACUUUUACUCUGUAAAAAUUAUUUAUGCAGUGUUCUUAAAAUAUUGUUUUAUGAGAAAAUUGAAUAUUUUAUUCAAUAUUUUUAUUUUAUACUAAUAGUCAUAAUUUCAUUUUAAACGAAUGUUUUAGACAUCCAAAAUUAUUUUUGAUUAUAAAAUAUGUGUUUUCCACUUACAUACUAUAUUUUUAACUAAUUUUGAGAUUUUUUAGAAAAAUGACUAAAAUGCCCAUGUGAGAAAAUUUUCGUUUUAUCUGUUUUAAGUUAGAAAUAGCUCAAAAUCCUUUAGAACAUAAUAUUUGGCAAUAGUUACUCACCGGGGAAAACGAAAAACUGAUAUUAAGCCUUGCGGGAUUCUGGAUGGCAUUUUGAGAGAUAAGUGCCCAUCGGGACACUACGACAGUUGUCACGGGCUUAAAGGGAGUUUCGGGUCGUGACAAUUUUAGUGGUAUAAGAGCUUUUUGUUUUAAAGAUAAGAGUUUUUGGUUUUAAAGUUAUUUUAAAAACUACAAUGUCAGUGUGGCCCAAGUUAAGUUAAGUUAGUUAGGUUAAAUCAGGUUAGGUUGAGUAGAAUAUAUGCAUUAGUAUAUACAGCCUGAGGUAGCGUAAACACGCUUUGUUUCCUCUUAUAGAUUAGUAUGCCUCCUCGAUACGAACACCCACCUCUCACUAGAUCGGUUGGGAGGAGAAGAGGUCGUUCCCAACAUCGUCAGCUAGAUCCUAUAGAGGGGGAAUCGACUGCGUCUACUAUUCGGGCAGCACCUACUGUUGAACAGACCAAGACUUUUCCACUUCCUCCGCCUUUUCCGCUAUCUACUAGUAUUCCUGCCAUGCCUCCUGAGGCAGUUCAGGCAUUGGCAGCCUUUUUUAUUACUCUUGCUGGCCAGGCUCAGGCUGGUCCAGCUCUUCCUACAGAUCCUCCAACUGCUCCUUCAAUACCACCACCCCCACCUCCUGUCCCACCACCAGUGCUGGAUGUUUCUAAUUCUAAAAAGCUUAAAGAGGCUAGGCAACAUAGUUGUGUUUCUUGUAUGGGUGAGUCAGACGCAACUGUAGCUAAAGAAGUGGUGCGAAUGGCUUUAAGAGUUGAGAAGCUUAUGAAUGAAAAUAGGAGUCUGCGAGCUGAGUUAACAAAAAGGAGAAAUCUGAAUGUAUCUUUUAGUCAGCCACCAAAGAGGGGCAAAGACUCCUCUAUUUCAGGAAGUACUACUACUGUUUUAGUGACAUAUCCUCAAUCUCCAUUUCCACAAUCACAGCAGAGACCUUCGAGGUUUAGCGGAUCUACUAUGGCUGGUUCUGGGAAGAGUUCUAGAGGUUCUCAUAGAUGCAAAAAUUAUGGGAAUUAUCAUGUGGGGCUGUGUAGGGGGCCUGCACGAUGUUUUUAUUGUGGUCAGCCGGGUCACAUUAGGAGUGACUACCCACAGUUAGGACGGGCUACGACAGUUGCUCCAUCUCCACCAGCUCAUACAGAUAUGUAGAGGAGAGAUUCCUCUAGAUUACCACCGAGACUGGGAUGAUUUUGACAUACCACCAAGGGUAGAUUAAAUAUGCUGAAAAUAGUGCUCUAAUAAAGUGCAUAUGAUAGAAAGCUAGUUUGUAAGUUGUAGUUUUCAUGAUCAUAAAAUAUAUAAGGAUUAUUAAUAUAUGGACAUACACUUGGAGUUGUAAAUUACAAGUUUGGAGUAUUUACGAUAUGAUUAAAUGGAAUUAGCAUUAGGCAAGGCAUGUAAAUCUUCUAAUUAAAUUCUGUGGAGUGUGCAUGAUAGUAGAAUGGAGGAACAUAGUGUCGUGAUACUAUAUGGUGAAGUUACUAUACAAUAUGGAAAAAGCAUUCUAAAUUGGGAUUUAUUGAUUGAUGAUAAGUGACGGGCAAUCUGAUGAUACAUGUAGCUAUGAAUAAAUUUGGAGAUUUUUGCUUAAGCAAAUUCGUACUAAAUGUUAUGGUAAAGAUAUAUGAAUGUUAGUGGCAAAAUAAAUACGUUAAAUCAAUGUUUUGAUUGUGCACUUGUGAUGGAAAGUUAGUCUUGCUAAUUGUGGUAUAGACUCAGAGGGAAGCCACACGAUUGUGAAUAAUUGAGGUAGUAACUUUAAAGGUAAAAGAGUUACAGGGAUAAAGUAAAUUCAAACAGUUGCAACGCUAUACUACUGAUUAUCAAACGCUGUCACGUUAAGAACGCCUUAUGGUUAGAAAGCAUGAGUAGACUAUGAGCGGCAUAAAGAUGAAACUCACGAGUUGAAAUAUGGCUAUUGGUUUUGAUGCUAAGCUUUGUUGUUUGGAGUCUUCAGUGCAUUAGGGAGGUAUUAAGAUAAAGAUGAUGAGUGAAAUUGUAAAGUUUCUUUAUUGCCUUAUAUAUUGGCAUGUAAGAGAAAGAAAAGUUAGAGAGUUUUUGAGAUGGUUACAUAAAAAAAAUAAUAAAUUAACAUGUGGAGUGUUAAGAUGAAUAAUAUGAUGAUUGAAGUCAAAUCUUAAGAAAUAAGGAAGACAAGAGAUUAAGUCUUGUUAAAGACUAAUGAGGAAGCGAGCAAAAGGUUAGAUGAAUAUAUGAGAUGUUGAUAAGAGAUGUCAAUACCAAGUGAUGAGAGUGUGAAUGGAGAUUUCAAGAAUGAUAUAGCAAAUGAGUUUAUAUAGAAUAAUGUUAUGAGAAUGUACAAAUCUUGAUUUGACUUUGUUGAAAGGAAAGGAUUAGUGACAACACAAGUAAAUUAUGGGGUAUGAUAGAAACCCUUGGAGAUAAGUUGAAGCAUGAGUAGUUGGGCAUGCCUUUAUGGAAAUGAUAUACUUGGUGUAUAAAAGAGUAAAUAAGUGAUUAAGUGUUUCAAGAAUGUUUAAACAUCUUCAAGGAAGAAUUAUAAAUUAUAUGAGAUGAGCAUAAGAUGUGAGAUUUUUAAAACUUGUUGAGGAACUUAACGGCUAAGUCACAAGUUCAGUGAUCAUAUGUUGUGAGACAUAAGUUUAAGAUAGAUAUUCUCAAGGAAAUACUCAAGAGAAGUUUUGCUUUGGAUCUCGUUAAAGCAAGUACUAAGUUAUGUGAUUAUAAAAAGGAAGCUGUAAGCUGAAAGUGAUAUUCAUAUUAAUAUUAAAAAGUACUUGGGGGGAAUCUAGUUUCAAGUUUUACAAUUUCAAGUACAAUUUAUAAAUUGGAUAAGGAAGAAUGAUGUUAUGUUUAUAUGAAAGAGUGGAACAAAGGAUGAUAGAAGUUAACCUUGAAAAUGAAGUCAGAUAAAGAAAUUUUCCUAAGAUAGUAUGGGAAUUGGAAUUCAAAAAUGCUUGAGGCAUACAUGAUUCAAAUGAGUUUGAGUCUUAAGUGACAAAUUAAUAUCGGAAUGCAAUAAGGAUACAAUAUAUGUAAGAGGCAUGAAGGAUAAUCAAGGAAAAAUGAUGACUUUUAGGAAUUAUAGUAUUGCAUAAGAUGCAAUGAUUAAGUCAAGAUAAAUCUUUGAGAUAUCAAUGGGAUUAUAAAGCAUACACGUACAAUAGAUUAUAAUUCAAUGGAGAUGACAUUGUGAUGCAAUGAUAUAUAGUACAAGAAAACUCAAGCAUAUGGUUGGAAAUGAUAUGAAUGAUAUGAAGUUAUACGCAAGUAUAAUAAGAAGGUUGACAUGCACUAUAAGAAUUAUUAUAUUGAACUAGGAUUGGGAUGUGAAUAAAUAAAGGGAAAUGUAGUCCAAGGCAUGUGAACACAUGGAUCCCUAUACAUAACGAGAAAUGUUGACAUUUGAAAAUGCAUGUACAUAUGUAUAUAUGAAAUUGAUAAUUUUACUAACUAAAGUGAAGAAUGGUUCUUAGUGAUUGAGAGAUUUUGAAAUAGUGUCUAAAGAGGUCAGUGAGCUAAAGUGUUAACAGACAUGCAAUGAACGAUUAAAGUUAUGAGUGACUUUGAAGGUAAACUUUGAAUUGUUUAAGUUCUUAAUGGAACUCUAUCAAAGGAAGGGUAUGGACCAGUAUAAGAUGGAUGAAUCAAGGUUGAGAAAUUUGGCAUGAAGCAAAUUAAUAAAAUGAUGAUUAAGUAUACAUAAGUAAGUAUGAUAUGUGAUCGAAAUCAGUAUAAUUNNNNNNNNNNNNNNNNNNNNNNNNNNNNNNNNNNNNNNNNNNNNNNNNNNNNNNNNNNNNNNNNNNNNNNNNNNNNNNNNNNNNNNNNNNNNNNNNNNNNNNNNNNNNNNNNNNNNNNNNNNNNNNNNNNNNNNNNNNNNNNNNNNNNNNNNNNNNNNNNNNNNNNNNNNNNNNNNNNNNNNNNNNNNNNNNNNNNNNNNNNNNNNNNNNNNNNNNNNNNNNNNNNNNNNNNNNNNNNNNNNNNNNNNNNNNNNNNNNNNNNNNNNNNNNNNNNNNNNNNNNNNNNNNNNNNNNNNNNNNNNNNNNNNNNNNNNNNNNNNNNNNNNNNNNNNNNNNNNNNNNNNNNNNNNNNNNNNNNNNNNNNNNNNNNNNNNNNNNNNNNNNNNNNNNNNNNNNNNNNNNNNNNNNNNNNNNNNNNNNNNNNNNNNNNNNNNNNNNNNNNNNNNNNNNNNNNNNNNNNNNNNNNNNNNNNNNNNNNNNNNNNNNNNNNNNNNNNNNNNNNNNNNNNNNNNNNNNNNNNNNNNNNNNNNNNNNNNNNNNNNNNNNNNNNNNNNNNNNNNNNNNNNNNNNNNNNNNNNNNNNNNNNNNNNNNNNNNNNNNNNNNNNNNNNNNNNNNNNNNNNNNNNNNNNNNNNNNNNNNNNNNNNNNNNNNNNNNNNNNNNNNNNNNNNNNNNNNNNNNNNNNNNNNNNNNNNNNNNNNNNNNNNNNNNNNNNNNNNNNNNNNNNNNNNNNNNNNNNNNNNNNNNNNNNNNNNNNNNNNNNNNNNNNNNNNNNNNNNNNNNNNNNNNNNNNNNNNNNNNNNNNNNNNNNNNNNNNNNNNNNNNNNNNNNNNNNNNNNNNNNNNNNNNNNNNNNNNNNNNNNNNNNNNNNNNNNNNNNNNNNNNNNNNNNNNNNNNNNNNNNNNNNNNNNNNNNNNNNNNNNNNNNNNNNNNNNNNNNNNNNNNNNNNNNNNNNNNNNNNNNNNNNNNNNNNNNNNNNNNNNNNNNNNNNNNNNNNNNNNNNNNNNNNNNNNNNNNNNNNNNNNNNNNNNNNNNNNNNNNNNNNNNNNNNNNNNNNNNNNNNNNNNNNNNNNNNNNNNNNNNNNNNNNNNNNNNNNNNNNNNNNNNNNNNNNNNNNNNNNNNNNNNNNNNNNNNNNNNNNNNNNNNNNNNNNNNNNNNNNNNNNNNNNNNNNNNNNNNNNNNNNNNNNNNNNNNNNNNNNNNNNNNNNNNNNNNNNNNNNNNNNNNNNNNNNNNNNNNNNNNNNNNNNNNNNNNNNNNNNNNNNNNNNNNNNNNNNNNNNNNNNNNNNNNNNNNNNNNNNNNNNNNNNNNNNNNNNNNNNNNNNNNNNNNNNNNNNNNNNNNNNNNNNNNNNNNNNNNNNNNNNNNNNNNNNNNNNNNNNNNNNNNNNNNNNNNNNNNNNNNNNNNNNNNNNNNNNNNNNNNNNNNNNNNNNNNNNNNNNNNNNNNNNNNNNNNNNNNNNNNNNNNNNNNNNNNNNNNNNNNNNNNNNNNNNNNNNNNNNNNNNNNNNNNNNNNNNNNNNNNNNNNNNNNNNNNNNNNNNNNNNNNNNNNNNNNNNNNNNNNNNNNNNNNNNNNNNNNNNNNNNNNNNNNNNNNNNNNNNNNNNNNNNNNNNNNNNNNNNNNNNNNNNNNNNNNNNNNNNNNNNNNNNNNNNNNNNNNNNNNNNNNNNNNNNNNNNNNNNNNNNNNNNNNNNNNNNNNNNNNNNNNNNNNNNNNNNNNNNNNNNNNNNNNNNNNNNNNNNNNNNNNNNNNNNNNNNNNNNNNNNNNNNNNNNNNNNNNNNNNNNNNNNNNNNNNNNNNNNNNNNNNNNNNNNNNNNNNNNNNNNNNNNNNNNNNNNNNNNNNNNNNNNNNNNNNNNNNNNNNNNNNNNNNNNNNNNNNNNNNNNNNNNNNNNNNNNNNNNNNNNNNNNNNNNNNNNNNNNNNNNNNNNNNNNNNNNNNNNNNNNNNNNNNNNNNNNNNNNNNNNNNNNNNNNNNNNNNNNNNNNNNNNNNNNNNNNNNNNNNNNNNNNNNNNNNNNNNNNNNNNNNNNNNNNNNNNNNNNNNNNNNNNNNNNNNNNNNNNNNNNNNNNNNNNNNNNNNNNNNNNNNNNNNNNNNNNNNNNNNNNNNNNNNNNNNNNNNNNNNNNNNNNNNNNNNNNNNNNNNNNNNNNNNNNNNNNNNNNNNNNNNNNNNNNNNNNNNNNNNNNNNNNNNNNNNNNNNNNNNNNNNNNNNNNNNNNNNNNNNNNNNNNNNNNNNNNNNNNNNNNNNNNNNNNNNNNNNNNNNNNNNNNNNNNNNNNNNNNNNNNNNNNNNNNNNNNNNNNNNNNNNNNNNNNNNNNNNNNNNNNNNNNNNNNNNNNNNNNNNNNNNNNNNNNNNNNNNNNNNNNNNNNNNNNNNNNNNNNNNNNNNNNNNNNNNNNNNNNNNNNNNNNNNNNNNNNNNNNNNNNNNNNNNNNNNNNNNNNNNNNNNNNNNNNNNNNNNNNNNNNNNNNNNNNNNNNNNNNNNNNNNNNNNNNNNNNNNNNNNNNNNNNNNNNNNNNNNNNNNNNNNNNNNNNNNNNNNNNNNNNNNNNNNNNNNNNNNNNNNNNNNNNNNNNNNNNNNNNNNNNNNNNNNNNNNNNNNNNNNNNNNNNNNNNNNNNNNNNNNNNNNNNNNNNNNNNNNNNNNNNNNNNNNNNNNNNNNNNNNNNNNNNNNNNNNNNNNNNNNNNNNNNNNNNNNNNNNNNNNNNNNNNNNNNNNNNNNNNNNNNNNNNNNNNNNNNNNNNNNNNNNNNNNNNNNNNNNNNNNNNNNNNNNNNNNNNNNNNNNNNNNNNNNNNNNNNNNNNNNNNNNNNNNNNNNNNNNNNNNNNNNNNNNNNNNNNNNNNNNNNNNNNNNNNNNNNNNNNNNNNNNNNNNNNNNNNNNNNNNNNNNNNNNNNNNNNNNNNNNNNNNNNNNNNNNNNNNNNNNNNNNNNNNNNNNNNNNNNNNNNNNNNNNNNNNNNNNNNNNNNNNNNNNNNNNNNNNNNNNNNNNNNNNNNNNNNNNNNNNNNNNNNNNNNNNNNNNNNNNNNNNNNNNNNNNNNNNNNNNNNNNNNNNNNNNNNNNNNNNNNNNNNNNNNNNNNNNNNNNNNNNNNNNNNNNNNNNNNNNNNNNNNNNNNNNNNNNNNNNNNNNNNNNNNNNNNNNNNNNNNNNNNNNNNNNNNNNNNNNNNNNNNNNNNNNNNNNNNNNNNNNNNNNNNNNNNNNNNNNNNNNNNNNNNNNCAUUUUGAGAGAUAAGUGCCCAUCGAGACACCGCAGCGAUUGUCACGAGCUCGAAGGGAGUUCCGGGUCGUGACAUAUUAUCUCUAAAGUACAUUGAUUUAUUUAGAGACAAAUUGGAUGACUAAUAAUUAAAUUUUGAUUGGUCAAAAAUAUGAAUUUUUUUUUAUAAUUAAGGGAGAUGAUUCGAACCUUGCUUUUUUAAGUAGGGGAUCAUGCACCAAUCAAUGAGCCAAAUACUCAGAUGCGGUUAAAAAUUUGAAUAUUAUCUCUAAAUUACUUUUAUUUAUUUAGAGACAAAUUGGAUGAUCAAUAAUUAAAUUUUGAUUGGUCCAUUUUAAAUAUUAUCUUCCAAUUAUCUUAAGUGAUAAAUAUAUGACACAUAGGUGAAUUGGUUCAACUAUGUGUCUUUGAAAUAAUCCAACCAAUAAAUUAAUUAUUUUAUAAUUAAUUACAUGAUUAUGACAUCAUCAAGUCCACAUGGUGGCAAUUGGAUUAUAAUGUUUCUCCUUCUGGAAAUGCCCCCUCAACUUGAUAUCUUUAUCACGAACUAAACUUGAUAUCUUGAUCACAAAGUUUGUUGCCGCUUGAUAUCUUCACUUCAAAAAUCUUUUACUCUUCUCGAUUAUUCAAAUGUUCUCCAUCUUCGAAUGCUUCUGAAUGAAUCAAAUGGCUUCGAGGAGGCCCCUAUUUAUAAUGCUAGAUGAGAGACUUUGAUAAGGAUGUGGUCUUUUUGAAUUAUCUCUAAAUUAUCUUAAUUUAAUUAGAGGUAAUUUUUGAUAACUCAUUGAAAGUCUUUUGAUUGGCCGGACUUUGAGUCUUUCAAUUUUGAUUGGCCAAAUUUAAGUUUUAUCUCUAAAUUUUCUUAGAGAUAAAUUAAAUAAUCAAAUUUGAUUUUUACCUCUAAAUUAUCAUUUAUUAGAGAUAAAUUAGAUGACCAAUAAUUAAAUUUUGAUUGGCCAAAAAUAUGAAUAUUAUCUCUAAAUUAUCUUGAUUUAUUUAGAGACAAAUUAGAUGACCAAUUAUUAAAUUUUGAUUGGUCAAAAAUAUGAAUAUUAUCUCUAAAUUACCUUGAUUUAUUUAGAAUCAAAUUGGAUGAGCAAUAAUUAAAUUUUAAUUGGUCUAAUUUAAAUAUUAUCUUCAAAUUAUCUCAAGGGAUAAAUAUAUGACACAUAGGUGAAUUGGUUCACCUGUGUCUUCGAAAUAAUCCAAUCAAUAAAUUAAUUAUUUUAUAAUUAAUUACAUGGUUAUGACAUUUCAAGUCCACAUGACGACACAUAAUUGAAUCAUAAUAUUUUUCCUUCUACAUACCUAUUUAAGUAUAUUAAAUUGUUGUUCUUGGCCUCCAAAUUAGAGAUCAAAAUUCUUAUUUCGAAUUAUUAAAUGAAAGUAUAUACUAUUAACUUUUUCAUCAAAAUUUUAAUUUUCAAUCUCUAAAUUAAACAAAAAGUUAACAUCGUUUUGAGUUGUUUGUAUCUUUUCCCUUUUCAUUUCUUUAUUAUUUUUUCAUUCAUUACUUAUCAUUCGAAAAAAUAGAAUAUAAAUGCUAAUAAUUGGAUAUCUGGAACUUGAUUCAUAAUUUCCAUCAACACUUUAACUAUAAGAUCGUUUAUUAUACAAGUACGAAUUUAAUUAACAAGUUCUCUUCAAAUUUUUUUAUUAUUUCCCAUUCUAAUUUGUUGCUUAGGAUGUUAGUAUUUGAUCUAGAAUAAGCUCAAUAAGAUAUUUAGAUUUUUAAAUGCUUUACUUUUUUCAAACAUUGACAUUACCUACUAUGUUUAAAUUGAAAAAGGAAGUACCUGAGGAGUGGCGACAUCUCUUUUUCAAGUCUUUGCAAAAUGUUUUAAGUUGUUUUAUAGUAAUGAAUUUCAAGUCAAGUCUUCUCAAAUUGAAAAUUUAUGUCUAGAAUCAAAAUUAAAUUAAUGGAAUAAAAAAGAAAAGUGUAUGUGUCAUGUUAGAAUGAAAAGCAUCAAAGCCACUGUAUCCUAUCCCUUGUGAGACGUUAGUAGGAUUUGUAUAUUUUUCUUGAAUUCUCAUUUGAUGUGUACUUUUAUUGUAGGCUUAUUGAGAUAUGCUUAUUAGACUGAGAAAUAUCUCAUUUGAGAUAUGUUAUUGAGAUAUGCUUAUUGAGAUAGGAAAUUGCUGGAAAAGUUUUCUGAUCCUUCCACUGCAAUUGCAUUUUCACGUUAAAAGCACUUUUCUAAAAGUUAAAAAGGAAAAGCUGUUCUUGUAGAAAAAAAAAGCACGAAAGCGUGUUGAAGGUACACAUUUAAAUUCAAUCUCUUUCAUACAGUUGUUUAUCGAAUGAUUGUAUGUAGUUUUUGCUCAACAAAUUUGUUAAGAUAAUUAUACAAAUUAUUUAGUUAAAACUACUAGACAAUACUAUAAUCUAGUUAGAUGACAAUAUUUAAUUAAUAAUUAUAUUAUAAUACUGUUAAUUAAUUAGAAUUAAAUUAUAAAUAAAAUUAGGAUAACAUACAUAAUUUAGAUUUCUCAAUCAAAAUAAAAAAUGAGGAUAGGUUUAACCAAAGAAAAAAAAACUCACCAACUCGGACAAAAAGCAUCCCAAAGAAAUGCAAAAGCAGCAGCAACAACAAAGAUUAGUCGAGGAGCUGAAACUAAUCUGCAAAAAUAAAAGCAGAAGCCAUCACGUAAUCAUCCCUCAGCAGCCAAAAACUAAUAAAACAGAGAACCAAUAGCGCAAGAAUGAAGCAAAGAAAUGCAAGCUCACACAACCAGCAGAAACGAAAAUCACAUCAAAGGUUCAAAGAAGCGAGAACCAACCAAUAAUUAACCGCAAUGAAUCCCAUGAAACAAUCGGCAAAAUCAAAAUCCAUUCAAGCAGAUCAGGAUGAAGCUUAAACAGAGUGAAGUAACAACAGAUAUUGAUCCCCCCCAACACCGGGCUUGGCAAGUGAAUCAGCAAUAGUGUUUCCAGAUCUAAUAGCGUGUUGAAUUUGCCACUGUUUAACUUUACUAGCCAAAACAAGGAUAUGAAGCACUUGAUUCCUCAAAUUCCAUGGAGCCAAAUCAGGGGACUUAGUCCAUUUAAUAGCUCUAACUGAAUCACUUUCAAGAAUCUACCAGUGAGAAGAUGCCCAUGUUGAAGGCUUGUAUGAUCUAAUUCUCUUUGGGCCAAAUCCGUGGACAUUAAGUUCUUAAGUUCUUUUCCAGUUCUUCUGGAAAUCUUUUCGCAAAAACUCUACAGUAACUGGCAGCAGCUAAUUUACUGAUUUAAUGUGCGUUAGAGAAAGAUUGUUGGAGUUAAAUCAAUGCUGCAAACCUGUGUUAAAAAUCAAACUUGAGGAAGGCUAACUGUUAAUGACUUUUGACACCUUACCAUAAAUCAAAUCUUUUCCUUUAGAAUUAGAAACUGAACAUAGCCAUCUCAGCACUUUGAUUUUACUCUUAAAAGAAAUAAUUAAGUAUCAAUGAUGUAACUAAUACAUACAUGAGGUGCUUGUAGUGAGUUUCCCUCCACUUUCCUUUGGUAUUUUAGGAAAGCAAAUUGAAAAGGAAAAAAUGGCCCUUCUUAAUAAAUUUAGAAAUCUCUGAGUCAAGAAAACAUGGAUUUCCAAAACCAAUAUAUCAGAAUCAAAAGUACCACCGUUAGGUAGGUAGCCUUAAAGUGAAAUUGUGAGAUCACUAGUAUUUAUCUUUUGGAUUGAUUAUAUAGUAAAUGUGAGUAAGCAUUGAAUUAAACUAGAAGAAAAGAAAAUCCAGAUUUGUCGAAAAAUCUAAUCCAAAGAGCUAAAAAAACAAAAUAUUAUUUACUGAUCUGAAACUUUCAGUAAUGAAAUCUGGAAUUUCCUCUAUGUACUUCAAACAUUUCCUAGUAUAGAACUCAACAACUAGAAGACAUAAAGUUUUGAAACAAAAAAAACAUUCUCUGCAAUAUUACUAAAAGGACUAAAUGAAUCCAAGCAGCAGUAUGUUACAUGCUUACAAAGAAUAGCUGAAGCUUACAUUUUAGCAGAUCCUACAGAAGUAAAGAACCCCAACAUCUUGACAACUAGGUCACUAUGGGAAAAAAAAAAAAGAAUACAUAGAGUUAAAAACUUUAUUGGAAACUAUUUAUCAAAGUUCGAAGAGUUGCUUAUAGUUAUAUGGAACAGCUGUCUUCAGAGUACUAGUCGUAUUGGCUUAUUUCUUCCUCUAGGUUUGUGGAUUUGCCUUCUGACUCUUUGGUGUGGGGCUCUCUGGAUUAUCUUCACUAGCCAAGCUGGUUUUCCUGUUGUGAAUACAAUGUAUCCCAUGCUCAAUCUCAACACAAGUCCACAUCCAUAUCCCAUCAUUGCAAAUUUCCAAGUAAAUGCUCCUCCUUUAUCAUCAUCUUCAUCAAAUAUUGACGGAGGAGGUUCUCUUCCCUCACUUUCGCCACAUUCAUUUGACAAUGGAAACCCACAAAACCGUAAGUUACCUACGUAGGAAUUAUUUGUGAAAGUAUCAAACUGAUUUCCUUUAGGAACCGGUCCCAUGAGAUUGUUUUGAGAAAGAUUUAACACCGCAAGAAAUAUCAGAUUCCUUAAUUGCAUAAGGAUGCUUCCUUCAAUCAUAUUUGAUGAGAGAUCUAAUGAUUCGAGUGCUAACAACUUCCCCAAUGAUAGUGGGAUAUGACUUGUAAGGCUGUUAUGAGAGAAAUUGAGCACCAAAAGAUCUUUAAGUUCUCCGAUUACUUCAGGAACCUGUCUUUCGAAUUGAUUGCUUGAAAAAUCAAUAGUUGUGAAAAUAUCUAAUUUUUUUCAAAAUUUAUCUCCAAUCCUUUGAUUGUUAUAAUUAUGGAAUCAUGAUAAUAUAACUCUUCAAUAUAAUAUGGACCGGUAGGAUCUACAUGGAUAUCCUUCAUAGCCUUCAAAUUUUGAAAGAAUGUAGUUGGCAAGUGGCCAUUGAACUCAUUUGAGAGAGAUCAAUGAUUCUCAAACUAGUAAAGAUAGAUGUGCCCCUCAAAUUUGGUGCCGGCCCAUGAAAUUUAUUCGAUUGCAGGACAAGGAUUUGCAGACAUGAAAGUACACCUAACCAAUGAGGAAAGGAGUCUUUCAAGUUACUGUUGCCCAAAUCUAAAACUUCCAAUUCACUGCAAUUCAUCAAAGAUCGUGUUACGGAUCCUUCUAGAUGGUUGUCAUUGAGGUUAAUGCUUUUCUACAAACUACCUUCUUGGGAUUUUGCCAUCGAAGUUAUUCAUUCGUAAAUUCAUAACAGACAGGGAACCACAAUUUCCAAGACAUUUUGGAAUGAUCCCACUCAAGUUGUUCUUUGACAAGUCGAGGACUUGAGGGAAAGUUAUAUCGUAAAACCCUGAAGGGAUUUCUCCAGUCAAUUCAUUUUCUGAAAAUGAAGAGGUGAUGUAUUGACAUUGGUGGAGUUGGAAGUGGUACUUGAAGUGAAUUUGAGUGAAGGUCAAGAGUCUGAAGAGUCUUCCCAGGAAAUUGCUCUACAUUUGUUAACAAAUUGAAAGAAAGGUCCAAGUAUCUCAACUCUCCCACCCUUCGGCUUCCCAUUUGGAUAUGGAACCCUGAAUUUUGUUAUUAGAAAGAUCUAAAUCGGACAAAGUCUCGGAUGCUCUUCAGAAACUUGGGAAUUGUUGUAUGUUGCGCAAAGAGAAAGACAAAGUAUAUAGCUCGGGGAAGGUAAUUGACAUCAUUGCUACAUCUACUCAAUGAUAAUAAACCGUUAUUUGAAAGAUCAAUCUCUUGUAAAUUUCUAAGCUUUGAAAGCAUGCAUGGCUCAAUGUUGCCACUCAAAUUAUUUGAUGAAAGAUCAGGAAAAGCAAGGUUCACUGGUAGACUAAACAGCCAACCUGGUACUCUGCCAUUAAGCAAGUUUGCAGAUAAAGGAGGUUUUGACGAUUUGAAAGUCCACUUACGUUGUCUGGAAGGGGUCCCGCUAAAUGGUUAUUGUUCAAGCCUAUGUCAGUAAGUCUAGUGAGGUUAAAUGCUGAUGAUGGCAAUAAACCAUGGAAAUUGUUAAAAGAAAAAUACAACUUAAUUAGUUUCUUGAAGUUCCCAAAAACAUCUGGAAUAUGACCUUCAAAAUUGUUAAAUUUUAAAUGUAAGAAAGUAAUUUUGGUGAGGUUUCCAAGAGAUAAAGGGAUUGACCCUGUGAAAUGACAAAAAGAAAGGUCAAGUUCUUCCAAGUUUUCAAGAUUUCCCAUUGAGUCUGGUAACUCCUCUAAGAAACUUGUUCCUGAAAGGUGCAAAAAUCUAAGAGAAGUACUCCGAUUUGAUUUAGGGAGAUAACCACUGAGAUUAGGAUUACGGAUUAAUAAGAUUUUUUCUAGAUAUGGAAAGCUGAAAUUUUCACUUGGAAAUUUCCCUUGCAGUUGACAGACAUAGAGACUCAAACACUUUAACGAGGAAGUCAAGUUCAGAAAGGAAUUUGGUCUAACCAAACACAUAUCCACUUGGUCAAGGAAAAGAUUUUCUUACUUUGUUAGGUUAUGCACAAGCAUGUUAAAAUGAUGGUUGUCGAGCUUUAAAAGAAGAGAUGACUGAUCAAGUGAACCCAGUUCUGCCAAAGGAGAGAUAUGCUCUGUAACUGAACAGUCGAUGCCUAUAUGAGAAAGAUUGAGAUAGGUUAGACUCCUCAAUUUACUAAACUCAGGAGGAAUUUGAGAACCAGUGAACUCGAGGUGAGCAAGGUUAGGCCAACGGAGAUCCUGAAGCAGGAAGAGGCUGCUGUUGGAUGGAAGACUUUCUUUAAGUCGACUACAACUGAGAUCAAGGCCAAUCACGUGACCCGUCAUGCUAUGGCAUGUGACACCCUCCCAGGAGCAACAGUCUCUACUUUGGCUCCAGAAUUCUGUCUUAGGAUAAGAAUCACCACAGGCAAAGCAACUAGGAAAAGACAGGCUGCUCUUGAACUGGAUCAAAGCAGAACUAUGUUCAGGAGGGCAUAAUUGUGGAAGAGGAGGAGAUGACAGAAGAUUGUUCACAAGAUUAUUAGGCUUAGUUUGUAGGUAACAUUUAGUUUCCGGAGUACCAUAAACAAAGAUUUGCACAACGAACAUUCUUGAGCUUUUAUUAGAGUAGUGCAAGCUUCAAACUUUUAUUUAGGAACUAAGUAAGUGAGGUGGUUUGUCCGUCUCCAAGGGCUGCAAUGGCACCAUAUUUGUUUUUUUAAAAAAAAUUAAUUGGAUUUCAUUAUCAGAAACCAGGAAUAGGCUCCCUAGAGAACAAAAGAGCACAUGAUUUUAAGAUGCUAUGCCUUGAUCAGCAUAUCAUCUCAAAAUUUUGUCAUCUUGCCAAAAGAAAACCAGCUUACAAAGAACCCCAUAAAAACCCCUAUCAUCAAUAUACAAAAAACAAAAUGAAACAGCAAAUAGCCUCAAUAAGAAACCACAAGUCUCCUUGUGCAAAAGUCAUUCUUGAAAGGAAAGUCAGCAAGCUUGCAAUCUGAUCAAAAACUCAGGCCCUUAUAUCACGGACCUUGGCUCAAAAGCCUAACCAUCUCAGCCAAGUAAAUGUCAAAAAGCAACAGAGAGAAACGAUCAAACCUGAAGCUUGAAUUCUUCACGCAGCCGUUCAAAGAAAAAGAAUAAAAAUCUCCAGCCUCUUUACUACUCAAAGGCAUUCAAUAAAUCCUCUUAACGUCUGACCCCUUCUGUCGCUAGACUAUAUGCAAAUUGAUUCUUUUCUCUAAAGAUAUGGUUGACUUCCCACCCUUUAAUGUUCCUUUUCAAACUUUCAACGUGCAUGAUCCACUUCCUUAGCCUCCAAAAAUAAGGAGACUUGUAAGGACCGACCGGAGUAAAGUGACCCUUCCACCUAUUAUUAGCACCUUUGCCUUCCAUCUUGCCAACCUAGCCUCAAAUUUCUCAAUAAUAGGAUUCCACAUUCUAACAGAAUUCUGCUUGGCUCCGAUUGGAAGUUCUAGAUACACAAAGGGUAUUUCUCCUAUUCUACAAUCUAUACUUUCCACCCCCCUUCUCCAUGUUUGAUUAUCCACUCCUAUUCCUAUCACCCUACUCUUGUUGAAAUUGAUUUUUAACCCCGAAAUGAGUUGGAAACAUCUCAAGACUCUUUUGGCAAUGCUGAGAUUCUCAACUUUCGGUCUACAAAAAACCAUGGUAUCAUCGGCAAAUUGAAGGUGUGAGAUUAAGAGGUCAUUGUUACCUAUUGGUACGCCUUGAAGAAUAUCGAAAGCUUCAGCUUUCUCCAUGAGUCGACUAAAAGCCUCUGCCACAAUGUUGAAGAGAAAAAGGGAGAGUGAGCAACCCUAUCGAAGUCCUCUCUCCAUCCUAAAAGGUUCCGUAGCAACUCCAUUCACAAGCACAGAGAUUUUCACUGUUUGAAGAUAGCCCCUCAUCCACUUUCUCUACCUUUCCCUAAACCUCAUUUUUUUUCAUAAUAAACUGAAGGAAUCCCCAAUCCACACUAUCAUAGGCCUUUUCAAAGUCAACUUUCAAAAGAAAGACUACCUCUUGUCCCUUUUUCAGCAGAUCAAUAACUUCGUUUUCAAUGAGAGCACAAUCCAUAAGCUGUCUUCCUUUUACAAAAGCAAACUGUUUCUCUCCAAUAACUUCACCAAUGACCAGUCGGAGCCUAUUAGCUAGGAGCAUUGCGACAAUCUUGUAUAAGCUCCAUACAAGACUAAUCGGUUUAAACUCCAUGAUGGGGCUUGGAUUAGAGACUUUCGAGAUUAGCGUAAUGAAAGAGUUAUUCAAUCCCUUUUCAAGCUGUUCUUUUUCCUAAAAAUCCUCAAGACACUUCAUAACUUCUUCUUUAACCAAGUGCCAUUAGUUCUUAAAAACACUAAGGUUGAAGCCGUCCUGCCUAAGUGCUUUUUCUCCAUCACAACUGCAUAUAGUCUCCCACACUUCUUUGCUAGAGAAACCUUUUUCUAAAAAAUUUGAUGCCUCUUCACUCAAAUUUUUAAAUUGACAAUGAAAUUCUUUUAAAGGCAACACUUUUCUUCUUUUGUAGAAAUCAGUAAAGUACUUGGCAAUCUCACUUUUGAUACCUUCUGGCUCACUGAUGCUUAGAUUCCCCAUUUGCAGAUGUCGAAUUGUGUUGUUACGCAUUCUAAUGGAGGCCAUGGUGUGAAAAAAUCAGGUAUUACGAUCCCCAUCCAUUACCCAUUUAAGACAUGAUUUUUAUGUCAUUCCCUAUCUUCUUUUUUGUACAAACCCCAAAGUUCAGCUAUUUUGUUCAUCACAACUUGACGCUCUCCCUCUUCCACCCUUCCCUGUUGCCACUUUUCAUUAAUUUCAUGUAGCUCAACUUUUAAUUUUGUAAUUUUUUCACUUAUGUUUCCAAAUGCUUUUUUCUGCCAUUCUUUCAACACUGGCUUUAAUCCCUUGAGUUUCAUCCAUAUACCUUUUUUCCUCCCCCCACAGCCUUGCGAAGUCCUCUAGUACUCUUUCACUAACUUAUGGAAACUCUCUUCUUCCAUCCAGUGGUUGAAGAAUUUGAAAGGUCUGGGGCCCCAAUCCACUCUCCCUAGGCCCAAGAUGAUCGGGUUGUGAAAUGGAGACUGGUAAACACCUCUGGACCAGUUCGUUGUCAUUUUCCAUCAGCUUCACAUCCACCAAGAAUUAAUCAAGUCGACUAAAAGUAGGAUCCUCUAGAUUGUUACAUCAAGUGAAUUUAGAUCCGACCAGUGGUAAAUCAAACAACCCCACCUCAUUGAUGAAUUUGUUGAAUCAUGCAGCAGCUUUUCUCACAUCUCCUCUUUCAAUUCUUUCAUCUUCUAUCCUUACUGUGUUGAAAUCUCCUCCCAGUACCCAACAUAAAUCAUUACCAGUGACAAUUUGUUUUAAUUCUUCCAACAUUUCAUUUCGAUCUCUUUCAUCAUUUGGUGCAUAAAUGUUCCCAAGACCACACCUAGUAUUGCUCUUAGUAAUCACCCCAAUAAGAAUAAUGUAGUUUCUGUGACUAAUCACCUCUUCUAGCUGAAAAAAAUUUUCCUACCACAUACAUAAUAAACCUCCUACUCUACCAUCUAAACUAACAGCAUUACUCAUAAUUUUAUCUUUAACCCACAGUCUCUCAUACAUUCCUUCAUAAACAUUCUGCACUUUUGUUUCCUGUACAAAAACCAUAUUUGGCUUACAUCUGCCAAUGGCUCUCCUCAGUGCUCUCCUUUUUUUCCCCUACCUAAACCUCUGAUAUUCCAUGAUAGUAGAUUCAUAAAAAAAAAACACAACACCGAAAUUCUUACCUGACUCCCUGUUUUGGUGUUCCUUACUUCUUCCCUUCCUCUGCCUCUGCCAUUUGUUUCAAGACCUCGUUCCUCUCAGCAUCAAAUUCCAAACUUAAGCAUCUGCUUACCUCCAUAGUCUGCAAUGCCUCCUUCCAUAUGGUUUCACAUCUUGAAUCAACCCUUGAAAUUUCUCCAUGAAGUCCCUCUAAUUUCUUUUUUCGUGAUUUCACUCUAUUUUUUUUUAAUUCUUUCUUACCUUUUUUUAUUGUUUGUUUUUUUUUUUUUUUACAUUAACUUUCCCUUCCCUUAUUGCCGUUAUUUCUGUUUGUUCUGUUUCCUUUGCUCCUCCUUCUGUUUCUUGAUCCUUUAUUUUCUUUUGUCCCAUAUUGUUCUUUUUGUCCUUGCUUUCCCUCGACUUAAUUCUCCUUUGCCUUCCUUCAUCUUUCUCUUUAACUAGGUCCAUAAGCAUUAUAUCAUUUGACAUUGACAAACCCGGAUCUUUAAACUUCUGUUCCAACACCUUUCCUUGUCUUCUUAGCUUGGUUUCCACCACCCUUAACCUCUCUUCAUGGACUGAGCUUUGAGCUCCUCCACCAAAACACCUUUCUCCUUCACUAGAUUCUCUUUGUCCUAUCGUAUUAUCUUUCUCUUAAUUUUUCUUCCCCUUUCUAUUUUCCUGAUGAUUAUCAACUGAACCAACUUUUGAGCUGUCACACAAGUUGUUUCUCCUUUGUAAGCCUAAGCUUACUUUUCUCCUAUCUUGAUCUUUUGCCCCACUAGGCCCGUAAUCCAUUCUCAGGUAAUGAAGGCCCUCUCUCCCUCUUUGAAAUGCAGAAUUCCAGCCUCUCAUCUCUUCUUCUGGGCUUGUAGAACCUUCACUAGUGGCCCACUCUCUUUAUGAAACUAUACAUGUUUCCUUGCCCUUUCUUGAUGGCCUACAUGUUGCUUUUUUUGACUUUGGACUACUACUUUGUUGAUUGGCCCCACUUUCUUUUUCGUUUGACCCUAACUUCUCCUUUUCCAUUUCAAUGUGUGUGGCUUUCUUCCCCGAUUUCAAAUUUCCCUCCCUUUUCUCUUUUCCCCCCUUUGGCUUGCUCUGAACAGUCCUAUCAACUUUCUGUUGUGUUCUCUUAAGUGAAACAAGUGCAUCAUAUCUAUUUUCUAUCACCUUUCCUUGGUUUUGUUCCCUAUAAUUUAUCUGACCCAUUGAUUUCCCCUUAAGUGCCACCUCAUCAUCAUCCAUGGUGGUUGAUUUCCUCCCCAUUGUGUUAUGUUUCUCCACCCAUCAGACCUCAUUUUGCUCUAUCGGUCUUGGUUCACAACAUGCCCAUGCUUUGCAUAAGGCCUCAUCGCAGGCUUGCCUCUCCAUAUCACAUGAUUCCUCCCUAAUGAUCGAUGUUCUCAUUAUGUAUGCUUUCCCAUUCACUAUGAUCUGUUGGUUCACGGGGACAUUCUUUUUGCUCAUUAUUUCAACUUUGAUGACAGCCACAUCCAACCGACUUCUCCUUUCAGUUUCCUGGUCAACUUUAAGAAACUUUCCCCAGCAAUUACCAAUUUCUUCAAACAUUUUCAAGUUCCAUAGAUGAGUAGGAAGUUCCUCAAUUUUCACCCAUACUUGGUAUCUCCGUUCAUCUUUCUCCAUGUUGUAUGGCUUGAUGUUUUCAAACCAAACUGAGAAAAUGUCAUAAUAUUGGUCAAGCACGACUUCCAUUUCACCUUUGUUGCCAAAAGUGACUAUCACGUUGAGGCCUCCUGCUUGUCUCACAAGCACCAUAAUACCUUCCUUUUGCAAAUAACUUUGCACCUCUCUAUAACAUAUAUGACUUUCGAGAUGCCCUAAAGCACUACAUCUAAGCCAUUCAACCUCAUCCCCUGUAAUUUCAACUCUUAUUCCAUCCACCUUAUUCAAACCAAUCCCUGCCUUUGAGAUAGUUCUCCUAUUAUACCAUUAGUUACUACUUCUUUGUAUGACGACAUGCCUCUUUCUCUGAUAAGUUCUUUUAUCUUUUUUUGGACCAUUUGGUUCCUUCCUCUGCUUCCAUCCUUGGCCUUAUCAGCUUAUUUGACUAUCAGAAACCUUCCAUCCAGUUCAAUAUUUUGGCCAUACCUUAUCGCUUUUAACAGCUCAUCUUAAAAGCGAUAUCGGACAAAAGUAUAUUUUGUUUCUCUUUUUUCUAACUGUUUUGGAAUAAAGAAAUCCACAACGAUUCCAAAUCGGUCAAAAAAGUUUUUUAGGUAUUUCCAUUGCACUCUGCUGCUCACGUUAUUGACGAAAGCAGUGAAGACCCUAUUUGUCCACCUCAAAAAAUCCUAUAUUCUGUUCCUCUCUUCCCAGUUUGCCGCCCGUGUCCACCCUUCUCCCUCUCUUGCAGUCUUUCCUAAGCUACGGUAAUCUAACCAAUCUCUUACUCUCACUCUUUCUCUUCCUCAACGUCUAUUUCUCUCAACUUCUCUCUCUAAUUCUCUCUUAUGCUCUCUCAUUUUUUUUUCUUUGCCACCAUUUUUGUUACCGUCAGGCACUGUAAGUACUAAGAUUACCCUGGAUUGUUAUAGUAACAUAUUUGGAUCCUUUUCAUUUCGAACUAGCAAUUAUACAACAAUUAUAGAAUUAAUGUGGUUUGCAACCUACCUCUUCACGGUUAAGAGUCCAUUCCAGGAGCUGUCGCUUAGAUCAUUUGCAACAAUGAGUCAGUUGGAAAAUUUCCAUAACAAAACUCAUUGUUCUCAUCAAAAGAUUCAUAGAAACCUCCAAAGAAAGGCUUAUAAACAUUUUGAGAUAUUUUUAAUGGCUUUUGAUUAUAGAUUUGCCGUGGACAAAAAGAGUAGGGAGUGAACAAAAAAGAAGCCAUGAUUAAUCGUGGCUAGAUAUUAGCUUUGCAAGUUUGAUCUGUAUUUAAGAAAAAUGUUGGAGUUAAAACUUAAAACCAAUGCUGAAAAAGUUUAUUAAAAAUUGAACACAUAGCUAUCUCAACAUUUCAGUUUGACCUUGCAAACAAAUAAUUAAAUAAUAAAUAAAAACAGGUUAGCAUAUGCAGGCCAAAAAAUUGAUUUGUAAGCUAAUAGUAGUGUAAUAAAAGAAUGAAGCAAAUCCAAAACUAAUGUGCAUCUAAUUAAUUUCUUCCUUCAAAUUUUCUUUUGAUGAUUGGAAAAAUAAACUUAAAAGGAAAAAUAUAGCUUCCUAAAUCAAGUUAAAUAAACUGAGCAAACAAAACAUGAAUUUCCUUAUUAUCUUUCUUAUGUAUCUUAAGUUGCUGUAGCAGAAAGUGAAACUUACUUCAACGUAGAAUUGUGAAGAUGAACAGUGAUCAAGUUAUUAUGAAUAUAUUGUCUUAUUGUGCUCUAUUCCAAUGCCUGUGGUGUGUAAUUAUUUGAAAUUUUGGAGAACUUUGAGAGAACUCAAAUCAAAAUCAACCAUCACUUGGUUGUUCAAAUCAUCACCUUAAUUUCUCCUGGGCUAGGCAACUACAAUCCAAUUCUCACUAUGUAAACCCCAAUUUCAUGACCCUCCAUCGCCUACCUAUAUGUUAUGUAAUGUGUUGUGAGCAAGCCUAAGGCCCAAAGACAUAAGGGGUCUCAUCAGAAGAUUCUUAUGUGACUUCAACAAUAGAUAUUCCAUCUGUCCCAAAAAUAAAAAGGAUAGGCUAUAUAUAUUCCCUAGCAAUUGUCAACAGUCGGGGAUCGAAAGAUACUAACCAUAAUACUAUCUCUCCUUUCUUUCUCAUAUCCUCUCCCUCUCUAUUCUUUCCUUCUAUUCCGCCUUCGAUGAGUUCUUACUCACUUAUAAAGCAUCAGUAAAGGAAUCACAAGAAAACCUCUAAUGUUCAUUUUUUUUAGGCCCGAACGCAUCAUCUUAGCCCAGAUCAUCCAACAAGAUAAUUCACCUACAAAGACAAAUCGAAAGUAAUCUCUAAUAUUUAUUGGGAUAAUUUUUUCAACCUUUAAAGAUAGAGUAUUUUCAAAAAUAAAUUUUUUUAAUUUUAAUUAUUUUUAGCCAAGAGAAAAGAUUUUUGGACAAAAUUACCCUUAAUAAACCUUUUCAUAUUCAAGUUCUCCUAAAUUUUCUCUCCCACCAUUCGUCUGCUUUGCUCCGUAUUGUGCUAUGCUCUCAAUUUUUCUCUAUUGUCAUCCAACUUUCUCUAAUUUUACCACCAUAACUAUCUCUUUGUCUAUCUUUUGUCAUCUCGUCAUAUGAUCAAAGAGCGUGACAUGGAAGGUAACAACAAAUUCUUGGGUUUAUUAGUCUAUAUUUUGAAAACCCUCUCUCUGUCUAUCUCUUGCCAUUUCAUCGUCGAUCUAUAGACCAAAAAGCAUGGCAUGGUGGGUAACAACGGGUUCUUGGGUUUAUGGGUGUUAAGUUUCUUCAGUGAUUCAAGUCUUGUAGAACAUGCCUUAGCAUGUAAUAAAGUGAUUCAUGCUUUGGCAUGUAACAUCAGUAGAAAGAAAGAAGAUUUGGUGUGUAACAUAUGGUUCUGAAGUUUUGACCUUGGCAUGUAACAUCUGGUGUUGAAUCUUUUUUAUGAUUAUAGGAAAUGUAACAAAUAAAAUAACCUAAAAACUAAUUAUCCAAAUUUGAGAAUUUUGGAUUGUAUCUUUUUAUCUAAAUCUAUUUCAUCCCAGCCAUUUCACCCCAGUAGUAAUGUUGACAUUAAAUAAUUUUUCAAGACAUCUUCCUUUCCAUGUCAAAUUCCUUUUUGAUUAAACGUUAUCUUUAUCAUGAAUAUGUUUAACUCCAAGGGUUUAUGUUCCAUUCAAAUACAAAGAUAGAGACCACAUUACAUUUAAAAAAUGUUGUCAUUACAUGUUAGGUUAAAAAAAUGUCAUUACAGUUGAAAAAAAAAUCAUUACACACUUUAACUCCAAGAGUUUAUGCUGUAGUAAAAUAAAAAGAAGUUACAUGUUUAAAAAAUAUUAUUGUUACACGUUAUAUUAAAAAAUUUUAAGCAACACCAAAACUUUAGCACCCAAUGUUACACACCAAGGCCAAAGGUUCAACACUAGUUAUUACAUGCCAAGGUUAAAGCUUUACCACCAGAUGUUGCAUGUCAAUGUCAAAACUUCACCAUCAAAUGUUACACGCCAAGGUUAAAGCUUCAACACCAUAUAUUACAUGCCAAAGCUUCAUUCUUCCUAUUGAUGCUAAAUGCCAAGGCAUGAAUCAAUUUGUUACACACUAAGGCAUGUUCUACCAGACUUAAAUCACUGAAAAAACUUAACUCAUAAACCCAAGAACUUGUUAUUACUCACUAUGCCAUACUUUUUGGUUUGUACAUCAAUGAUGAGAUGGCAAGAGAUAGAUAGAGAGAGAGUUUUAUGAAUGUAAACCAAUAAACCCACGAAUAUGUUGUUACCUUUUAUGUCAUGCUCUUUGCUACGUAGAUCGAUGAUGAGAUGACGAAAGAUAGACAAAGAGAUAGAGAUAGUGGUAAAAUUAGAGAAAGUUGGAUGACGAGAGAGAAAAAUGGAGAGCAUAGCAGAAUAGGGAGCAUAGCAGAAUCGGACCGCUAAACGUGGUUAACUUGGGGAGUCACCACCAAUCUUUUUUUACCUAGGUGUGAUUGGUCACCUAUUAAAUUGGUUCUAUUCAACGAAAUCUUAAAUUGAUUUAAAGUCCGUCGAAAGAACGAGAAAUUGUCUAUAUUUUUUUGUCAAAGUUGAGUUCGGGAGUACAGUUACGCAUAUGGAAGGAUUAGCACCCCCGUGACGCCCGUUCCACAAAUGGUACCAUUUAAUCAUAAAUUAUCCUAACCCAUUAAUUUUAUUCUUAUGUUUCCUUAAUUGUUAUUUAUUUAUUUCAUCUUUUAUUAGAAUAUUCUAUUUCAUUUUUUACAGGUUUAACACGUAUAUUAUGCAAUUGUGAAAUGCAUGGCAUAAAAUCUGGAUAAUGCCAAACGAAAAUCCUUUAUUGAGUGUACUUUCUGAAUCCACCCAUCGUACUAGUGAGAUUCGUAAGUAUUCUCUCACCUAAGGAAAUACCUCAGCAACUCGCCUUUGCAAGUUUACUUGGUAGAUCCCAGCAUCGGGAUAGUCGUUUAUGAGUAAAAAAUAGUGUUUUCAGAAUGCAAAUCCUAAUAUGGGUAAAAGCCUCUUAUUAAAGAUAUUUCUCUGGACCUUCCCAUCGUACUAGUGGACUUCGGAGGUAUCUUUUCACCUAGGGAGUUUACCGAUGAAACUCUCAUUCGCAAGCUUUCUCGGAAAGUCCCAUCAUAGGAGCUUAUACCCGUAUAUAGAAUAUAUCUAUAUGCCAUGACAUUUAACAAUGCGACCAUGAUACGUGAUGCACUCACAAUUAUAAUGUUUGUUCCUUAUUUUAUUAUUUCUCCAUGUGAGUGUAUGCACGUUGUUUUUUANCAAACCUUCCCAUCGUACUGGUGGAGUUCGGAGGUAUCUUUUCACCUAAGGAGUUUGCCGAUGAAACUCGCCUUUGCAAGCUUUCUCGGAAAGUCCCAUCAUAGGAGCUUAUACCCGUAUAUAGAAUAUAUCUAUAUGCCAUGACAUUUAACAAUGCAACAAUGGUACGUGAUGCACUCAUAAUUUUAAUGUUUGUUCCUUAUUUUAUUAUUUCUCCAUGUGAGUGUAUGCACGUGUUUUUUAUUUACUUAUUAUCCCAUUUUUAUUUCGUUAUGUAUUUUGCUAUGCAAAUACUUAUUCAUUUCAUUAUAUGCAAAAUUUUCAAAAUUAUAUUUUUAGACCAAGUAUUUUCAUUUUAUUUAUUUUUAUUUCAUAAUUAUUAUUUGUAUAUGUAUUUUAUACAUUCCUCUUUGUGUUAUUAUUAUUGUUAACAUACUUAUUGUUAUCAUUAAUUUCUUAUUUUUUUGCAUUUUUGACCAAUUGGUAAUUGAGUAUAUGAUUUGUAUUUAAAAUUAGAAUCAUCGAAAUUCUAAAUUAGGACCUUCCCAUCAUACUGGUGAGGUCCUAAUCAAAAUUCUUAACCUAAGGAAAUCCAUUUAGAAUUGCGACUUCUCAUGUUCUGAACGGACAUCCUAUCAUCGGUAUUGAUUCUAAAGUGGUUGCUAUAUAUUUUAUAUCAUUUUUUAUUGUUAUUGUUGUUUAUUAUUAUAUUCUUAAUUAUUGUUAUUAUUAUUUUUGUUCAUUACUUUUUAUUAUUAUUAUUAUUAUUAUUAUUUAUUUUAAAACAUUCUAUAGUUUUUUUUAUUUCUAUCUAAGCUAAGCAAAUUUUUAAUUAAAUAAGCUGGAUAAGCCCUAAAUAACAAGUCCAAAUCGACAAUAAAUGGGAAAGGCCUCACCUUACUUGGGCUAGAAUGAUGGCCCAAGUUAUCUGGGCUGCACGGAGGCGUCCCAAGCCUGCUUCGUUGGUCCACUGGGCUUUCCUCCCCAAACGCACCGUUUGGGGCUCCGGAGACUCCCUCAAACGACGCCGUUUAGACUCUAAACCUGGGUAUAUAAGCCCUUUUUUUUUACCUUUUUUCUUAUUUUCACCUUUCAUUUUCUCUCUCUAGUUGGCCACUCUCUCUCUCUGCCUUCUCUCUAAAUUGACGGCAAACCUUUCUCCCUCUCUCCCUUGCUGCGACAUUGCAACUUCCUCUUUAUCUCCGUAUCCCUUUACUCCUUGUCACUGGCCGGAUUAGGAAACCAGAUUCGAGACCCCUUACGGACUGCCCUCUCUUCUCCAGCAGCCUUCCUUUGCCGCUGGCGUCCCUUCCGAUUCUCACCCUACCCACGCAAUCAACUCUCUCUUUUGCACCAAAAAUCGCCUCUCACCAAAUCUGACUAGUUUUCUCAUCUUCUUUUUUUUUUUGUUUUUGUGUUGUGUUUGUUUUGAUUUUUGAUCUUUUGUUAUUGUGGCUAGGGUAGUCUGCUGGUAGAAAACUUGAGUAUUUUGGAUUUGCACGUCUCAAUUGUUUGAAGAAAAAAAUGAGAUUUUUUGUUGAUGGAUCUAGUUUUUUUGUUUUUGCAGGAUUGAUGUUUUUUUUUUGAUCUGGCUUUCUCCGAUUUUUUCAAAAUCUGCCUACAUUUUAAAAGAUCUGGAUUGUCUAAAAUUUUGGACAAUCUCAAGAGUGCAAUCAUGUGAUUUUCGUAGGGCUCCUGGCACAAGCAAGCCCGGGGCAAGUAGUUGGAGGUGACGGGAGAGGGAGGCUGAACAAACGUUCAGUCUUUUCCCUUCUCUGUUCUUUUUUUUAAAUUUUAUUAUUUUUUAAUUUUUUUAUUAUGUUAUUUGAUUAUUUUAUUUUUAUUAUCAUUUAUUUUUUUUAAAUGGGUGUCUACAGUUGCCCCUCUUUGUACAUUCUUGAGAAUCAAGAAUAGUGCAAAGACGUAGACACCUUCUUUGGACCAAAUUAAAUAUCUUUGUUCCUUUUUUUAAUAAUCAAAAAGCUCCUCAUCUCAAAACGAGGCUAUGUAACUUAAAAAAAAUCUUGAAACUAAUUACCUGAAGGUUUUAGGAAAGGUUUUAUGAAUGUAUCCGGAGGUUUUGAAGAUGUUCCCGAAGGUUUUAGAAGAAAAGGUUGUUCCUCAUCUCAGAAUAAGGCUACAUAACUUUGAAGAAAUCUUGAAACAAAUUACCCGGAGGUUUUAGGAAUGUACCCGGAGGUUUUAGAAGAAAAACUUGUUCUCAUCUUAGAAUGAGGCUACAUAACUUUGAAGAAAUCUUGAAACCAAAUACCUAGAGGUUUUGGGAAUAUACUUGAAAGUUUUACAAAUGUUCCCGGAGGUUUUGGAAGAAAAAGUUGUUCCUCAUCUCAAAAUGAGGCCACGUAAUUUUGAAAAAAUCUUAAAACAAAUUACCCAAAGGUUUUAGGAAUGUGCCCGGAGGUCUUGAAGAUGUACCCGGAGGCUUUAAAAGAAAAAGGUUGUUCCUCAUCUCAAAAUGAGGUCAUGCAACUUUGAAGAAGUCUUAAAACUGAUUACCCGGUGGUUUUAAAGAUGUACUCGAAGGUUUUGAAAAUGCACCCAAAGGUUUUAAAAGAAAAAAGUUGUUUCUCAUCUCAAAAUGAGACCACGUAAUUUAAAUUUUCUCGUGCCAAGAUAAUAGGGCUUAGACGUGUUGGAUGCCAGCUACAGUGGGCUUAAACAUAUCGGUGCCAAUAUAACUGGGCUUAAACAUCUUGGAUGCCAGCUAAAUUGCGCUUAAACUCCUUUUGUGCCAACGUAACUGGACUUAUACAUAUUGGAUGCUACUUUAAUUGGGCUUAAAUCUCUUUGUGUCAAUAUAACUGGGCUUAAUCAUUUUGGAUGCCAGCUAAAUUGGGCUUAACUCCUUUUGUGCCAACAUAACUAGACUUAAACAUCUUGAAUGCCAACUAAAUUGAGCUUAAACUCCCUUGUGCCAAUGUAACUGGACUUACACAUCUUGGAUGCCAGUUUGAUUGGGCUUAAACUCCUUUUGUACCAACGUAACUGGACUUAUACAUCUUGGAUGCCAGUAUAACUUGGGCUUAAAUCUCUUUGUGCCAACGUAACUGGACUUAUACAUCUCGGAUGCCAGUUAAAUUGGGCUUAAAUCUCUUUGUGCCAACGUAACUGGACUUAAACAUCUUGGAUGCCGGUUAAUUGGGCUUAAAUUCUUUCAUGCCAACAAAAAUGGACUUAUACAUCUUGGAUGCCAGUUAAAUUGGGCUUAAGACUCAAAUCUUUCUUCACUUAAUUGCUUGAAAACUGCAUUAGUCUUGAUAUUCGUUUGAAAAUUUCAAUUUUGAUGAUGCAAGGUCAUGUGCUGAUUGGGCAUGUAUGCAUAAUUGAAUGAUGGACAAAUGAUGUAUUGCUUCCUUUUGUUUUGCGCCAUAUAUUCCUCACUUGAAAGAUCAUUUUUCUUGUCUUCACAUUUUUUGACGAUGUUCUUGUGCAGUAGCCAAUUUCUUCGCCUUCAAAGAACCUUUUUGUUAAUCUCGUCAUAUUAAUUUAAAUUCUUGAAACCACUUUUCUACAAUGGAUGCGAACAAAAGCUCACCAGUUCAAAUUGGAUUUCAAUGCUUCCACACUUAUUGAUCAUGAAAGCUCUUCCUUGCAUUGCUUUUUCCCAUCUCUUCUUUUUUUUUUUUUGAAAUGAAUUUUGUCUUUUUCAAAAGUGCUUGUCUGAUCUCACAAAGAUCAUAAAGACUCUCAUUUUUCUUUUUUCCUUUUUGUUUUCAAAAACAUCUUAAUUUUAACAAAAUCACAACAAAAUUGCCCCACACAAUUAUUUCCAUGAUCAAAGAUAGUUGAAUCUUGGAGCAAGAAUGUAUCAAAUCCACACUUUUCUUGCGGAAGUGAUAAAAUAUCCAAGUUUGGAAAAACAUGUGAUAUUUGAAUCUCUUAAAAAUCAGUGAUUACCAUUUAAAAUGACUCGGGUGGGUCAAGUCAUAAUUUGAUCUUUCAAAUGGAUUGAAAGGUUUAACAAAUUAAAGUCUUGCAAAAAGGUCUUGCUAUUUUAUGGGGAAAUGAAGGAUCAAUAUUUCUUCGUCCAAGCUCACAAAUGUUGCACGAUUUUCUCAAAUUUGUACUCUCUGAAAAUCAAAUUCUUUACAAAAAGACUCAUUUCGGAUUGCAAAUCAAUUUUGACACUCUCUUGUCUCAUGAUGUGUGGCAUUUUGAUAGAUGUCAAGACUAGCUUUAGAGACUUCAGAUUUGUAAGGUUAUUUUGGAAGAGAAUGGCUCAAAGUUCAGCAUUGGUUUUAUGACAAAUCUUGAAUUUUACAUUCUUGGACAUUUGAAGGGUCUCCAAUGCACUCUAGUUGCUUUGAAAUGAUCUCUAUUGUGCUUCUUAUCAGUCAAAAUCACAAGUGGUUUCAUAAGUUCCCAUUUUUGCUCUAGGUUGCCUUUUCAGGUUUUCACCCUAGAGCUCAUUUUUUUCUCUUUUCUCUUUUUUUCCCUUUUUUUUAUUCUCCUUGUCAUCUCUUUUUUCUUUUUUUCAUCGAUUGUUCCAUCAUGCACUUGAAAAAGAUUCAAACUCUAUCCAAAAUGGAUUGACGGAUUGACACGGAUCAUCAUGGCAAAGAAAAAGAGACCAAGGCCUCAUGGAUUUUAUAAUGUCUUUUUCUAGAAAAAAUCUCUUCAAUUUAAGCAUCCAUACUUGAUCAAAAUGGACUUUUUUAAAACAUGUAAUGUAGGUUAAGGUUAGGGGCUUUGAUAGAAUGGGUAAAAAGGCUCAAAACAUUAUAUUUAAGGGUGUUCAACCAAGGAUCAUUCAUGUGAAAAUCUUCUAAGACAUUUGUCUUUUCAAUUUUUCAAAGCAUAUUUUUCCAUCAAUUUUCUUUUUCUUUUUUUUUCAUCACUUUUGAUCAUCUUUUCCAAUUUUUUUUUUGAUGGGUUUAAAACUCGAAUUCUUUUGCCUUCGCCUCUUUAUACAGGGUGUUUUAUUUCUUCAAAUGAGAUCUUGUCCUCCUUGUUCUUGGACAAUAUUCUCAUACAUAUUUGCCCUUCCAAUAUGAGAGGUGAUCCUUGGUCAAGGUGUAUUUAGAAAGAAUUUGAUAGGCUCAAAGGGGUAGCAAGCGGAUAAUUUCUCAUUUGCAAAUGGGAGAAUGAAACAUGGCCACUUCUCAUAUCAAAUAUGGUUACUUGCCUUGAAGAGCAAUCCUUAGAAUGGAUGAAUAUUGAAGUUCUUUUUUUUUUCUUUCUUUGGCAUUGUUUGAAUGUCUCAAGUACAUGCUGUUACUAUCAACUUUUCUCACUAUUCUCUUAUUUUCUUUUUUUCCUUUUUUUUUUCAUACCUUCACAACUCACAGCUUGACUCAAAUUUUCUAAAAUGAAAGAUUCACUGAAGAUGCCCUUCCUCGAUCAACCACUCAAACGAAGACUUAAGCAACAACUCUAAGCAAUUAUGACCAUUUCAAAGCCUUCAGAGAUCUCAUUUCAAUCCUCAAUUUCAAAAAUUGCUCUUGUUAGCAUUUCUAAAUGAGGGAGAAACAAAGGUUAUUUUACAAGUCAGUUGUCUUGAAAGUAUUGGAAAAUUUUUCCUCUUCUAACCAUCUUGCCCCCCAAGUAUGGAUGGAGGACAACUUUAGGCAAUGGGUGGAAAGGUUCACAUUUUGGAUCAGAUUGAAAAAAGUUAAGUGGUUUUGAUGUAUUUGAAGCUCUGGCUAGUCUUGACACUUAUCAAACUACCAAAUUCAGAUUCUCUCCAAGAGUGCAAGAUUUUCUUUAUUUUUGGAAAAAUGAAUUUUACCUUGUCACAACAUUGAUCAUUACUUAGACGAAGACCAUCAUCCUUAGAUGUCAAAUGAUAAAACAAAUGAAGUUUCAGAGCUUUUGCUUAUUUUUGGAUUCUGGCCCUUGAAUGGCCUUUAUUCACUUGGUUAAGGGAUUGAGAGUGUUUAAAGGUAUGGUUUGAGAAUGUUUAUGAAAAUGAGUUCAUUUGCAAAUAGCAACCACCAAUUCUUUCGAAAUUCUUUUCACCAUUUAUUUUACAAGAACCUUUUCUUUUUCUUUUUUUUUUUAUGUAUGAUUUUGGAAACAAGUAAUAUGGGGCUUUAUUUUUAAAAUUGCUAACAUUCAAAGAACUCAUUUCUUUUUUUUUUUUAGAAAGAGAAAUAAAUAAACAAGAACCACAAGAAAUUUGAGCAAUUUUGAAACUCAAUUUGACUCAUGACAGCAUGUGAUGAUGAAAACUAAACAAUCACUCAUCUCAAAUUACAUGAUCAUGCAUGAAAGACAAAAGUCCAUAUUUCCAAGAGUUUCUACCUUCAAAGCAUGUACACAACUAGAAAAUGAUCAAGGAUUGCCCCCGAAUUGGCAUACCACUCAAUUAUUCCAAAACCCAAGCCUUGUAUCCAUCACCCUUGAUUUUUAUAGUUGUUGACAAGUUCUUUGAAUUUAGUUGGGUUUUCAUCGAUUAAACCUUGAACUUUGUUCUUGAAUGCAAUGCAAUUCUCUGUGGAAUGACCUUCAACCCCAUAAUGGUAAUCACAUUUAACAUUUGGGUUAUACCAUCUUGGGUAAGGAGAUUUCCUAGGCUUGGGAGGAAUAAUAGAGAUCUUAUAGUUUUGUACCAAUAAAGGGAAAAGCUCUACAUAGGGCAUUGGUAAUGAAUGGUACACUUUGGCUUUCUUUCUCCUGUUGCUUUGAAGGUAAUCUGGAUUAAUUUCUUGGUCAUUUGAAGUGGACAUGUAAGGUAAAGGAGCUUGUGCAAGUGAUGAUUGAGUGAAAGGUCGAGAUAGAUUAUGGACAUAUGCUGAUGGGUGUGAAUGAGCGCCCAUAAGAUCUCCUUCUAUGUCACAAAAUUUCCUUUUAUUUCUCUUUUCAAAAGCCAUUGCUUGAACUCCUUUAUCAAAAACAUCAUAUUCUCAUUUGACAAGAUCAUUUGCUCGAAAGUCUACAAUCUUUCCCUUUCUUAUUCCAUCUUCAAUCCUUCCCACGGAGAACACCAAAUCCAAAAAAUCUGAAUUAGCAUUACCCACCAAUUUGUCGUAAUAUGGAGGAGGAAGAGUAUCAAUAAAUAGAGAAUUUAAUUCUCUAUUAGUAAGGGGUGGUUGGACUUGUGAUGCUACUUCCUUCCACUUAUAAGCAUACUCCUUGAAACUUUCAAAAGGGUUUCUUUCCAUGUUUUGGAGGGUUAUUUGAUCAGGAAUUGCUCUUAGCCUAUGCAUAUAUUGUCCCAAAAAUGCUCGGGCUAAAUCUGUCCAUGUGCAAAUACGAUUUUUCUCUAGCUUGAAGUACCAUUUAACCGCAGCCCCUUUCAAACUAUUUUGAAAAAAUGAAUGAGCAAUUUCUCAUCAUGGACAUAUGGAGACAUCUUGUUGCAAUACAUGAUCAAAUGUGCUUUAGGGCAUUUGGUUCCAUCAUACUUUUCGAACUCUGGGACUUUAAACUUGGGUGGGAUAACUACAUUAGGCACCAAACUUAAUUCCUUUGCCUUAACGAAAUCAUAGAGAUCCAUUCCUUCUAUGGCUUUAAAGCGUUCUUCUAAAAGGUCAUACUUCUGUUGUACUCUCGAUUUUUCUCUUGAACUUGAUAAGUCAAGUGUAGGAACCUGAUUAGAAAAAAUUACCCUUGGAAUUUGCAUAGUUUGCCUUUGUGUCGACGACUGACUUAAUCCUUGAAAACUUGAAAAUCCUUCGAUAGUCACCUUCCUUUCAUUGGCAUUCACCAUCUCCAUUAGCUUUGUCAACUGUUUUCUAAUCUCUUCCUGGGUCUUCUCCAUCUUGUUUAUCAAAUUUGAUUGAUCAUCUCCCAUAAUUCUAGCUUGAGCCCCUGUAUUGUGCCAAUCGUAAGUGGGCUCCCUUGAACUUUUCUCUUUUCACAAUAUAUAAUGUGAAAAGCAACGAUAAUCUUGCUUCUUCUUUCAUGAAAUGUAGUAAAGUCAAGUGAUGCUACUUGCCACAAAGGAAGGUGAAUGAUGCAUGCAUGUGUAUCCAAAUCGAAGAAUGUUUGAAUGCAUGAUGGGAUGAUUAAAUGUUUGACAAUUGAUUUGAAACACAAAGACACUUGAUUAUGAAUAAUGCUCCAACACGAUUACAUUUCAAACAAACUUUCUUUUUCAUUUUUUUGAUUUUUUUUAAACAACAUCUAAGAAAAUGUCUCAAAAGUUAACAUAAUUCUUCACGAACACGAACUUACUCUUACAAGAUUCAAAAGAAGUUAAAGAUUAAAAUGUCCUAAGGUCUAAAAAACUUAAAAAAAAAUCAACACAGUCAAUCCUUCUUUCGUCUGACACUCAAUUGUACUCUCCAUAACCAUACCCCAUCAUCUUUGCUAGAUCGAACCAUUUGGCAUCUAUUAAUGUUUGCACUCGAUACUUGAAGGCGUCACAAUCUUCGAUGGAAUGUCCCAUAGCUCCACCAUGAUAAUCACAUCUUGCAUCAGACUUGAACCACUUUGGGUAUAGAGGCCACAAGGGUUCCAAAGGCACCGAGACAAUAAGAUGAUCAUGAACUAAUUGAUAAAAGAGUUCUUUGUAGGUGACAGGUAUAGGGUCAAAUUAUUUUUUCUUUUUGGAUUAUUUUUGAGGGGUGCCUAUACUAGGAGUAGGGGUGAUUGAUAAUUGUGCUCGUGGUUGGCUUUAAAAGGCCUGUUGAAAAUGAGGUCGAAAAGUGCUUGAACAGGAGUAAGAAUUUAGCCGUAAAUUGAUUUUCGUAGGUUGAAAAGUGGUGGGUGGAGAAUAUGACCUUGGUUGCAACCCAUUGCUCUGGGGUUGUGUAGCAUUUGGAGAUCCCAUCUUGGUCAUGAAACUUUUGAACUCAAUCAUUUGCAUGUUCAACUCAUCCAUCCCUUUUACAAUUUUUUUUAGACCUUGAUAUUUACUUGAGCCACUGAGCAACGUGUUGGGUUCAUCAAGGACAAAUUGAAUUUUAUUCAGAGAUUGUUUCUAGUGUGGUUUGAUUUGAAGCAAUGAGGACUCUAGAAGGUGAUUUCCUUUGGCUUCAUUGAGACAUUCAACCAUUUCCAUCAAUUUGGUUAUCUGCCCUUUGAUCUCUUGAAGGUUAUGUCUAAAUUCUUCUUGAUUGCGUUCCAAUGCACUUAUCCUUGCUUCCAAUUGAUGUUCCAUAUCGUUUAAUCCUAGCUUGGGUUCAGAUGAUGACCUAAACCAAAAUAACUUAGAAACAAAAGUUUAGAAUUUUACUAAAAAUUUUUCAAAAAGGGAUUUAUUUUCUUUCCUAUAAAGCUAACAACACUGUAGGGUUUUUCUUUAUUAGAACAAAUAUGAAAUGAUUGCAUGUAGAUGAAAAUAUGAUAUUUGCAUGUAUGCAUGAAAUGUUAUGAUGCCUUGAUGCAUGGAUGGUAUGAAAUGAAAUGGAAGACCAUAUUAUCGAAAAUCAUGUAUAGUGAGAGGUAGAAAACUUUAUUCAAAACUAAAGUCCCUUUCUUUUUGUGGUUUUUGAAGAAAAUGGAAGAAGUAAAAAAACCUUUUUAUGUUCUCUCUUCUUGCUGCUUAAAUGGAUAACCAUUUUCUUUUUCUUUUCUGUUUCACAAGAAGCAUUAUUUUCUCUUUUUACAUUCCUCAUUUAUUUUUGUAUGAGAAGAAGUUUUUCUCUCUUUUUUUCUUUUAUUUUUAUGGAUAAAAGGAACUAAAAACCUCUCUUUUUUUUUUAGAAGACCUCACUCGAAAGAAAUGCCUUUCUUUUUUUUCCUUUCUUUAUAUAUUUUUAUUUUUUUUUUCUCUUUCUCUCUUCUUUCUUUCUUUUUUUUUUCAUGAAAGAAGAAACACACUCCCUCUUUUUCAUGUUUAUCCUUUAUUUUUAGGAGAAAAUAAAAAAGCUAUUUUUCUGAGAUAUUUAAAGUAAAAGUACAGAGAAAAGUGUUCUAAAAAUAAUGAACGUAAAAAAUCUUGCUCCUCUCUUUUUUUUUUAUGGAAACAGAAAGAAAAUUUUUUUGUUUUUUUUUUUUUUUUUUUAAAAUCACUUUAACAUGUGUUACUUUUAUUUUAUCAAAAAAGGCUAUUAAGAUAGAUUUGUUCCUUCACGUGUCCUAAAUUAGGGUGUACUGCUCAUGACAAGUUCAGUAAGGUUCUGUCUAUGGGAUGGCCCCUUAUGGUUUUUUAUAUAUUGAGUUUGGUUUUGAAUGAGGCUAAAGGUUCCCAAAUUGUUCUUCACUAUCGUCCAUAUGGACUAGUAAGGCACCCCAGUCCUCACCCAUUACAAGCUUCAAACGGACUAGAUUCGAUCUGAGUGAGAGUUUUCACUAGCCCAUGCAGAGAUUAUCACCUCACGAGAGCGUAGCUACUAAACUCUCUCCUAAUAAGGACAAAACUUGGGUAGAAGGCUUAUGCAUGAAUGCAACAUGUGUUGUGUGUGUGAAGGAACAUACCAGCCUUUGACGGACAAUCUCACAUCCCUUUAUCCUAAAUGCCCCACAAUUUAAAAAAAAAAACAACAAAAAUAAAGAUCGUGAAUCAAUUAAUGCACAAAACCAUAAUGCCAAAAGAAAAUGCUCAAAUUUAAAGGAAACACUACAUUAUUUACGGCUUUAGGAUAACUUAUGAUUAAUUAUGUCUCGACUCUCUAGUGUCCCCAGUGGAGUAGCCAAGCUGUUUGUAACGUGCAGGUCCGGGAACCCGACCGCUAGACGUGGUUAACUUGGGGAGUCGCCACCAAUCUUUUUUUACCUAGUCCUCAUUACCUAUUCAAUGAAUCUUAAAUUAAUUUUAAGUCCGUCGAAAGAACAAGAAAUGGUCUACGUUUUUUUGUUAAAGUUGAGUUCGGGAGUACAGUUACGCACAGGGAAGGAUUAGUAGCCCCAUGACGCUCGUUCCACGAACGGUACCAUUUUAUCAUAUACUAUCCUAACCCAUUAAUUUUAUUCUUAUGUUUCCUUAAUUGUUAUUUAUUUAUUUAAUCUUUUAUUAGAAUAUUUUAUUUUAUUUUUUACGAGUUUAACGCGUACAUGAUGCAAUUGUGAAAUGCAUGGCAUAAAAUCUGGAUAAUGCCAAAUGAAAAUCCUUUAUUGAGUGUACUUUCUGAAUUCGCCCAUCGUACUGGUGGGAUCCGGAAGUAUUCUCUCACUUAGGGAAAUACCUCAGCAACUCGCCUUCACAAGUUUACUUGGUAGAUCCUAGCAUCGGGAUAGUCGUUUGUGAGUAAAAAACAGUGUUUUCAUGAAUGCAAAUCCUAAUACAGGUAAAAGCCUCUUAUUAAAGAUAUUUCUCUGGACCCUCCCAUCGUAUUGGUGGAGUUCGGAGGUAUCUUUUCACCUAGGGAGUUUACUGAUGAAACUCGCCUUCGCAAGUUUUCUCGGAAAGUCCCAUCAUAGGAGCUUAUACCCGUAUAUAGAAUAUAUCUAUAUGCCAUGACAUUUAACAAUGCAACCGUGAUACGUGAUGCAUUCACAAUUCUAAUGUUUGUUCCUUAUUUUAUUAUUUCUUCAUGUGAGCGUAUGUACGUGUUUUAUAUUUACUUAUUAUCCCAUUUUUAUUUCGUUAUGUAUUUUGCUAUGCAAAUACUUAUUCAUUUCAUUAUAUGAAAAUUUUCAAAAUUAUAUUUUUAGACCAAGUAUUUUCAUUUUAUUUUUUUUUAUUUCAUAAUUAUUAUUUGUAUAUGUAUUUUAUACAUUCCUCUUUGUGUUAUUAUUAUUGUUAACAUACUUAUUGUUAUCAUUAAUUCCUUAUUUUUUUGCAUUUUUGACCAAUUGGUAAUUGAGCAUAUAAUUUGUAUUUAAAAUUAGAAUCAUCGGAAUUCUAAAUUAGGACCCUCCCAUCAUACUUGUGAGGUCUUAAUCAAAAUUCUUAACCUAAGGAAAUCCACUUAGAAUUGUGACUUCUUAUGUUCUGAACGGACAUCCUAUCAUCGGUAUUAAUUCUAAAGUGGUUGCUAUAUAUUUUAUAUCAUUUAUUAUUAUUAUUGUUGUUUAUUAUUAUAUUCUUAAUUAUUGUUAUUAUUAUUUUUGUUCAUUACUUUUAUUAUUAUUAUUUAUUUUAAAACAUUCUAUAGUUUUUUUUUAUUUUUAUCUAAGUUAAGCAAAUUUUUAAUUAAAUAAACUGGAUAAGCCCUAAAUAAGAAAUUCAAAUCCACAAUAAAUGGGAAAGGCCUCACCUUGCUUAGCCUAGAAUGAUGGCCCAAGUUAUCUAGGCUGCACGGAGGCGUCCCAAUUCUGCUUGUUUGGUCCACUGGGCUUUCAUCCCCAAACGCGCCUUUUGGGGCUCUGGAGACUCCCUCAAAUGACGCCGUUUAGACUCUAAACCUAGGUAUAUAAGCCCAUUUUUUUGCCUUUUUUCUUAUUUUCACCUUUCAUUUUCUCUCUCUAACCAGCCACUCUCUCUCUCUGCCUUCUCUCUAAGCCGAUGGCAAACCUUUCUCCCUCUUUCCCCUGCCCCGACGCUACAACUUCCUCUUUAUCUCCCUAUCCCUCUACUCCUCGUCGCUGGCCAGAUUAGGAAACCAGAUUCGAGACCCCCUACGGACUACCCUCUCUUCACCGACAACCUUCCCUUGCUGCCGGCGUCCCUUCCGAUUCUCACCCUACCCACGCAAUCAACUCUUUCCUUUGCACCCAAAAUCGCCUUUCACCAUAUCUGACUAGUUUUCUCUUCUUUUUUUUUUGUUUUUGUGUUGUGUUUGUUUUGAUUUUUGAUCUUUUGUUAUUGUGGCUAGGGUAGUCUGCUGGUAGAAAACUAGGGUAUUUUGGAUUUGCAAGUCUUGGUUGUUUGAAGAAAAAAUGAGAUUUUUUGUUGAUGGAUCUAGUUUUUUUGUUUUUGCAGGAUUGGUGUUUUUUUUUUUUGAUCUGGAUUUCUCCGGUUUUUUCAAAAUCUACCUACAUUUUACAAGAUUCGGAUUGUCUAAAAUUUUGGACAGUCUCAGGAGUGCAAUCAUGUGAUUUUUGCAGGGCUCCUGGCACAAACAAGCCCAGGGCAAGUAGUUGGAGGUGACGGAGAGGGAGGCUGAACAAACAUUCAGUCUUUUCCCUUCUCUGUUCUUUUUUUUUUUUAAUUUUUUUAUUAUGUUAUUUGAUUAUUUUAUUUUUAUUAUCAUUUAUUUUUUUUAUUUUUUUAAAAUGGGUGUCUACAAAAUGACUGGCAGGAGAGAAAAUUUUAGAGCAUUUAAUUUGUUUGAAAUGGUUUUAAGGGUAUUUUUGUCAUCUCAUGGCUAAAAUUGGUUCAAAACAGUUAACUUUAUAUUGAAGGUUAUGUUUGAAAUGAGCUUAUGAGUAGCAUUGUUUCUUACAAUUUCCUCAUAUUUAUUUGUUCAGAUUGGUUGCUUCAAGACUACGCAUCACCAAUAUUACAUGGAUAAUCAUAUUAAAAUAUUAUAAUGAUUAACAAUGUAACAAGUAGAACCUAAUUGUGUCCUUAUUGUAGAAUUCACUGAACACUUGAGCUAUUACAAGUUGAUGAAAUACAUAAUUUUUUUUUAAAAAACCCUAAUUUUUGACACCUUUAAAAGUUAUAAUUGUACAUGUUUCUAACUUUUAUUUUUCUUUUUUCCCAUUAGAAAUAUAAGCAAUAUAACUAAAAUCUUAUAUCUCUUUAUAAGUGUUUUUUAUGAGAUUAUUUUUACAAAUAAAAAUUAUAAUUACAUAAUAUAACUUUUAAUAUAUACUAUAAUAUAAAAUAAAUUUAUAAAUAAACCAAAAGUUAUCCACCCAAUAAAAUAGAUCUAUAUAAUACAAUAAUAAAAUUUAUUUGGCUUGAGUUUUCAUAGCAUAACAUAAAACUAAAGACAAUUUUGAAAAUUCAAUAAAUUAAAGAUAACAUCCUAAAGCAACCAUCAUGCGAAGAAAAAAAAUCAAGACAGACACUUGCCUCCGAAAUAAAGAAAAGGAAACAACCAAUUACUAGGUAAAAUAAAAGCACCUUGACCUUGAUAAGUUGAACUUGCACUCAAACUUAUUUUCUCGAUUUGGGAUUCAAAGGAGUCCAAUGGAAACGUCAUCAACAUGAUGGUAUUUUCAUCAAGCUUGCUUGUUCGAACCCUUCAAAAACUUGAUUUUGAUCUUCUUCAGCUUAGCAACGAUGUUUUUAAUGUUAAUCCUUUCUUCUGGCAACUCUUUUGAACAUUCUAAUGCCAUUGCAAAAUAGACAAUGCACAAUCUUUUAUUGCAAAAAUGUUCUCACUCCUUGGUAGUAAUUAGCAAAUUGGCAUCUACAAUUUGAGUUAAUGCACAUGGUAAUGACUCAGUCACCCAAUGUAUUAAGCUCAUUUCUCCAACAAACAUUUCAUCUGUGGGCUUUUUUCUUGUUAAGGUUUCAAUUAGAAGAAUACCAAAACUGUACACGUCGCCUUUUAUGGAAACAACUCCUUGUGUUCCAUAUUCUACAUGCAAGUCAUUAAAAAAGCAAUCAUCAAAGUAUGCCAAGAUUUUACAUGAAUUAUCAUAAUGAAUAAAAAAAGUUUAAAAGUUAAGCAUUACCUGGUGCCAUAUACCCAAUUGUUGCUAGUGUUAUGGUUUGUACUGUUGAAUCCUCUUCACCUAAUAGCUUUGCAAUGCCAAAAUCACCCAAAUGUGCAACCAUAUCUUCAUCUAAUAGAACAUUGCUGGGUUUUAAAUCACAAUGGGCCACAAGAAUUGUCUGACCAUGAUGGAGGUAUUCUAAUGCAGAUGCCACAUCAAUCAUAAUGUUCAACCUAUGCAAAAUAUCAAGACAAUAGUUAUGAGAGUAUAACCACUUCUCGAGACUUCCAUUAGGCAUGAACUCAAGCACCAAGGCUUUAAAAUCUACAUUGCAGCAACUACUGAUGAUUUUGACUAAAUUCCGGUGGCGAAUGUUGCGCAAGACCUCACACUCAACUUCAAAGCUCUUGAAUGAUCCUUCUACCUCCAAAUUAAAGACUUUUAUGGCAAUGUUCAAUCCAUCUGAAAGAGCACCUUGGUAUAUUGAGCCAAAACUCCCCACACCAAGUAGUUUGCUUUCACAAAAACCAUUUGUGGCUUGAUGAAGCUCUUGGUAUGAAAUUCUUCUCCAAUUUGCUAAACCAAUCGAAUUUUCUUGAUCAAUUUGUUGCUUUGAAUGCUUUCUUUGGCUUUGGAAGAAGAAGACAAUUAAGGCAAGAAUUAAUAGCGUUGAGCUAACUGGCAAUAGAAUAAAUUCUAUAAGCUUAGUAGCUUUCCUUGAAUGUUUAGUAGAAUUACUUGUGCAUGGUGGGAGUUGCGGUCGAGGUGCACCACAUAGCGCUUCACUGCCCAUAAAUGAUUGAAUUGUGCAGUUGGCAAAAGGUCCUCCGUUAGGAAUUUCGCCAUGCAGUCUAUUGAAUGAGACAUUCAAAUACUCAAGAUGCAAGAGUUUUUGCAAGGACUUUGAAAUAAUUCCAGAAAAAUUAUUCCUUGACAGAUCCAAGAAUUCCAAUCCUAUCAGCCCACCAAAUAGCUCAGGUAUAGACCCAUACAAUCUGUUACCGGAUAAUGAAAGAUGAGUUAGGUCUUCAAGAUCACC
This 103336-nucleotide long non-coding RNA is filed under the name Theobroma cacao (cacao). Its description in RNAcentral is "long non-coding RNA (TCAC_LNC004282)". Lineage: Eukaryota; Viridiplantae; Streptophyta; Magnoliopsida; Malvales; Malvaceae. The record is from RNAcentral.